UUCUUCCUUCUUAACAGGAGCAAAUGGAGAGAAAUAAAAAGGGAGAGAAGGCCGGCUAAAAAACGAGAGAAGCAGAGAAAGAAAGGAGGAAGAAAAAAGAGAGAAAGAGUGAGCUGGGAAAGAGGGAUUUGUGCUGCCACUUAGAGGAGUCAAAAGAGGAGAUUUUUGCUACAAAUUUUAAGGGAAAAGAAAGCUAAGUUGCUGCUGGAUUUUGAGGAAAGAAAAAGAGAAAGAGUUGGGUUGUGGUGGUUGACGGAAAAAGAGAGAGAGCUUGGUUUUUGGUGACAAAAUGGCUGAAUAAAAAGAGAGAAAAUUUGAGUUCUUUGGACUGAUCUAGAGCUGACCAACGGUGGAAGUGGAGAGGAGAAUUCAAGCCGCCAGUAGUGAAGGUUGAGAGCUGCCGAUGGUGAGAGAAAAAGGGGAAGAAAGUGCAGCCGAUUGGUGCAUGAAAGGAGGGAGAAGAAAGGAAGAGAAAAACGAGUAAAAGAGAGAGGAAGAAACGGGAGAGAAAGGUAAGAAAAUAAUAAAAAUAUAUAUAAUAAUAAUGUUAGAAUAAAAAAUAGAUAUAUUAAUUAAGUGGGUUUUAAUAUUUAAGAGAAAUAAAUAAAUGGUGCAUUGUGGUGAAAGGCUGAAGGAAAUAACGAACUACUGGUAAGAAAGAGUAGCUCGAUACGUCUUUGAAUUAAUAGCGACGUAACAUCCCGCUAUUUUGAGGUGAGUAAGGGGUGUCUAUUUUAAAAUUUUCGUAAAUAUAUAUUUAUAUGUAUUAUUUAUUUUAAAUGCGAAAAUUGUGGAUAGUAUGUGCUUGUAGCAAUUUUAGAGAAUUGUGAAUGCAAAUUAUGUUUAGAAAUUGUUUUGAAUAUAUAUGUAUAAAUUAUAUGUAAAGUGUUUUCAAAAUGGAAAAACAAGCCUUUCGUACUAUUUUACCUCAAAAUCUGUGCCUUAUAUUUGUGCAAUGUGCAUCCAUGAUUAUAAUGUUUAUUCACCAUGCGAGUUAUUAUUUCGAAAUUCAUGCACAAAUUUAUUUUAUGAAAAUGAUAAUAGAUUUUAUCAUACCUUGUGUUGAAUACUUUGGAAAUAAUUUUGAGACAAACUUUUAAAGAUAUAAUACAAUUUCAAAAUGAUUUUACAAACUGAGAGAUUCGAGAGUAGGCCGGUUGUUACUUCGGUUAAGUGUAACCCUCGUGCACGAUUGAGCUCUAGCUAGAGAACUAUUGGGUCACCGACGGGCGGUUAGGCGUGGUUGGGGUCACGACCUGUGAUAUAUGUAUGCGUGGUUAGGCCACCAGAUGAUUACACAGUUACGACUGUUUGAUUCUCCGAUGUCGGCCAACAUCGUGAGACUGCCAUGGCACAUGAGAAUCCGGUGGAAGCGAUGCUCCCGGAUGUUAUUACGUGGUAGCGGAACCACGGGUUUAUUUUCAUUCCCUUCUCGAGAGUGGCAUCUCUGGUUUUUUAAACUCAUAUUUCUUUGCAUGGUGAAAACAGAAUUUAAUGGUUUUUCUGCAACUCUCCUUAUUUUUACGGUGAAAUGAAUUUUAACUCCUCCGGUGGGAGGUGAUUUUUGAUUUACGUAUGAGUUUGAUUAACAUUCGAUUUCAUGGGAGCUUGCCGAAUAUACUGAUUUGAUUUGAGUAAAAUAUCAAUUGAUUUUGACGGCGAAAUUUUCUUCAUGUAAAAUUAUUUUAAUUCAAUAUUUCAAAUGAUUGACUUGGAUAAGGUUAUUGAUCUGUUUUAUAGUAAAGUUUUUAUCUACCUUGGUUGAUUUACCAAUUGAAGUGUUUACAAUGCGUAAGAAAUCCUCGGUUUUUCAUAUAAGGCACAAACUCCCGUUCGAAAUAAAUUGUUUUUGUAAUCCUGUAUUUUUAUAUUCAACUGAUCUGCUAUUGCUUGUUUCUCAUCUACACCCUACUCACGGAGCCGAUGAUCAUUGAGUCUGUGAGACUCACACCCCUCUUUUCCCUCUUUUGCAGACAAAGAUCGACCUAACGAGUAAUCAUCAGUGCGUUCAGCUCACCGCAAAUAGGUAAAGGCAUCUCAUGGCCUUUUAUUUUGAGUUGCUCCACUGUUAGAGAUUGAGUUGUAGUACUUUGAUUUUAUUAUGUAAACAAAUAUUAGUUUUGAUAAAAACAUAAAUUUUAGAUUCUUGAACUCAAUGUAUUUAAUUGUAAUAUUAUGACUUAAAGUCAAAAUUUAAUGGCUAUGCUUCUUGUGAAAUUUUAAGUUAUAAAAAUAUAUAUAUAUGGUUCAAAUAUUAGUACGGAUUAGUAAAGAUGUACAAUGAGUUAUGGAGAAAUUUUUUUUUUAGGCUUGUUCGAGAUUUGACGGGAUCUCUCGGAGGUCUCGGACGCCGGUAGCGACUGAGGAGGGGUUGUUACACUUGUCAGAUAUGAAACAUGCAAACAUACUGUGUUGAUCCUCCUUUCUUACCAUGGACCUGCAAGGAUCUUGAGAGGCUCCCCAAUUGUAGCUUCUAGUAUACAUAUCUUGAUACUGAUAAUUCAUCUAGAAGACAACCAUCUACCACAGCAGCAUUUUUUUGACCUUGAAUUGUCAACAUGAUGCUAUAUUUUCUGUAUACAAAUAUCCUUUGUAUCGCUGGUUAUGCUCGCCGUUUUUGGAACCAAAGGUUCUUGAUGCAUCUCUGCCAGGUAUGUCCUGUUUAUUCUUACACGACGGCACAUUCUGUUAGUACUACACCAGUAUAUGAUGUGCAAUUAUAAGUUUUAUAAGUCAUAUUUUUCACAGUAAGCUGCAGCCUUAUUUUUUGAGAUAAUUGAGUUUUUAUUUCAGCAUCCAAAGGAAGAAGGAAUUCUGUGAAAAUGUUUACAAGCUGGGGAAACACCCAGAAAACAGCAGCUAACUAACUAAGCUGGAAUUAUGACCCAGCUCUUACAUUGAUCAUUGGAAAGUACAAUACAAGAAGAACUAAUACAGGAAGCUGCAGUCUUAUCACCAAGGCUUGAUUUCAUGCUUCGAUCAGCAUCUUUGCAUUCGUGAAUAUCAUCAUCAUCAUGCACCAGAGAUGCUUGCGCUUUCAAAUCCUCAAUAUCAAAAUUCCAGGCGCUAACUCCUCUUUGAUACUGACUCCGUGAUGUAGCUUCUUGUUCUGCUGAAGGCAUAUUCUUGAGAGCGAGUUGUGCAGCAUCGUUAAGCUGAAGGGGUUUCGCAGGAUUCGACAGCCGUGGCAGAGGAGUAAAUAAUUUCUUCACAGAAAGCUCAGGACGCUUUGCAUGCUUAAAAAACGAGUGCUUCAAUAAUUUCUCUGCAGUGGGUCUCUUUGUUUGAUCUUUCACCAGGCACAUCGCAACCAUAUCUUUGAAAGACUUGGAGAACUUCUUAUCACGAUCUUGAUCAAGUCGUGGAGGAGCAUUUUGUAUGGUCAUCAAGAGAACCUUCAUGGGUGGAUAUUUGGAAAAAGGUGCAUGACCAUGGGCCAACUCCAAUGCUGUUAUGCCGAAUGACCAUAUAUCUGCCUUGGAGUUAUAUCCAGUUCCUGGCUGCAUGACCUCCGGUGCCAUCCAGCAAGGAGUCCCCACAAAGGUAUUUCUCGAACGUUGUCUGUCUCCUGAAUCGAACAUGCAAGCUGAAACACCAAAGUCGGCGAGCUUAACUGUUCCAUUGUUAUCAAGCAGUAUGUUCCCAGCCUUGACAUCCCGAUGAAUAUGUCCUUGUCGGUGAAGAUAAUCCAAAGCCUUAAGAGUUUCCUUAAGAAUGGAAGCGAUAGCAGCCUCUUCGAAUCCAUCGGGAUAGGCCGUUUUCAUGCGAUGCAAGCAGGAACCCUCCGACAUGAACGGCAUGACUACCCAGAGGUUGCGGUCAACUACGAACGAAGAAUAUGCCCGAAGAACAUUAGGGUGAUUAAUCAAUCUCAUUGUUUGAGCUUCCCGACGUACGUCAUCCAGAUUAGUACCGCUGCAGCGAUCAAGAUCCAAACACUUGACAGCCACGACGUCCUUUGAAGGAAGAUAGAUUGCUUUGUAAACAGUAGCAGUGGCUCCAUGGCCGAUUUCUUCAAGAAGCUGGUAAUCUCUAGGGUUAGCUGAGUAACUCCGAGUACCUCCCAUAAUAAGAGUAACAGAGCGCGAGGAGGAAGACUGUGACUUCAAUGGAUGUGGUUUAUACACUGAAGAGGGCAGGGUAGGACUUUGUAUGGAUUCAGUGGUUAAAUGAAUUAGAGUUUGGGGAAGCAAGAAUGUUUAAGCUUAGGGUUUGGGUUAGUGCUUAUAAUUAGGGUGGGUUUUGUUGGGAUUACUAGAAAUUAUAAUUUGCGUAGAGUUUUAUUGCUUUGGUGAUUUCUAACUCAUGGUUUGAAUUUGAAAUUUGAAGUUCCUUUUGUUAAUUUUCAAAAAAAAAAAGAGUAAUAUGAAAGCAAUAACUCUAAAAAAGAAAACCAAAGUUAUAACAGCUUCUGCUUUAUAAUUAAUCUUAAUUACGUUAAAACUAUAGUUAAGAUUUAAAAAAGAGUUCAAGGUCUAGAGCUUCUGCUUCAAAAAUUGAAUCCAAAUUUAAGUUAAAAUGUGGCAGCUAAAAGGGGUACGUAAUUUCUCUCCCACUCCUCCUGUUUUUAUGUUCCAAAGUCUGGCUUUGUUCUCUGGCUGGUGGUGUUGUCCAUUUUGCCUGGUCAUGACACUUUUCCACCACUGCUGUUUCUUAUCUGUUCUGUGUUGUAUUUUCUGCAGUGUUCUCUGAUGGGCUAUUGCUGUGUUCAUUGCUGCUUCUUUGAGUCUUCUGCUCCGCUCCUCUGGUGUUUCUGCUCUCUUCAGCUCUGCGUUCCCUGAUGGGGUUUUCUGCUGGUUUUCUACUGUUUUGGUGUUCUUCUCCUAUGCAGCUUAAGUCUAUAAUCUGGUCUGCGGUUCCUGCGGGGACUUUGUCAUUACGUUGGGUGCUUUUUUGUUGGCUUUGCCUCUGCCAGUCAAGGGCUUUCGUUAUGUUUCUGUUGGUUUUCAUUGGAUGUGUUCUGCAAAUUGUGCUGUUGCUCCCGUGAGCGGACACCAUCUUUUGUACAUCUUUUUUCAUUAAUAUAAUCUUUCCUUUUUUGGCUGAGAAAAAAAAUGUUAAGAGGGGUACAUUGUGUCAGAACUUGAGUAAGUAGGGAUGUAACAAAGAAAGAGAAAACAUAGCAGCGGGCAUUAUGUGCCAAAAUUAAUUGGGAAACAUGCAACAUGAGCAUGUCCUAGAAAGCAUGUAAGAACAAAAACCCUCCCAAAAAAAAUAUUAAAUUUUUAUAUUUUUUUCUGUCAUUGGGAAGUGACAAGAAGAGAACAACAGUACAGCACCAAAGAAAAGGUUGUUAGAUUCAGGAAAAGCUUCCACAAAUCUUUCCUCCGUUUGGUUUCUAACCAUUACCAUUAGAGACAACAGUCUUUUAGAAAAAUAAUGCAGAGAUGAAUCAUGCUGUAACGUAUGCAACCAUCGUUUACCACACAAUAAUACGUUUCUUUUGCAGGAAGGGGCAUUAAACAAAAGAGCAGACGAUAAGAAAUAUUUCCCAUUUUAUCAACAAGGUCACCAUCUGUGCAUGUCUGUUCUAGACAACAAAAUGAUGAUCGCAUGAAAUUCGCCCCCCUUUGAAACCGGCAAACAUACGGGUAAACAGGGAAAAAGCAGCUUCCAAGUUGAAAACCAACCACGAAGCGCAACGGAAAUUCAAGCCCCCCAGACGCUAAUAAUAAUAUAGCGCCGCUGAGAUUAUUAUUUGAGAAAUCUAUGUCAAUGAGAAGUGAGAGAAACUGCAAUGAUCCUGGAAUUGUGCCUUGAAGUUGAUUAUGAGAAAGGUCAAGAAUGCUCAAUGCUUUCAGACUUCGAAAAAUGUCCAAAUUAAGAAUCAUCAAGUAAAACAUUCCCAGCCAGCCUACUUGUUUCUUUCUUGUUAAGAGGCAGGACUGGCCUGCUCAUCCACUUAUAAUUUCUCAUUGAUAAUUAUAAUUACUUCUGGCAGAGAAAAUAAAAAGGACAUUAAGCUCAAGCUAUCUGGAAUUAGUCCUGACAAUAAAUUGGAAGAAAGAUUCAAGUAUAUCAUGCUGCCAUUGCUAGUGAAAAAUUUCAUUGUCAAGCCAUAAUAAAGUCUGACGGUUGUACAGGAAUUGGAAUCCAACAGAAUUAUACAACUUUUCUAGUCCGAUUCCUUCCACAUACUACAAAGAGUUGGCUGGAUUGUAAUCUCUUUCACCUCUAAUUUUCAAAUAUGCUUACUUACAUUUAAGAUUAUUCUCGAAAACUAAGCCUACUUGAUUGGCGAGGUCUGAUGGAAUGUUACCGGUUAAAUGAUUAUUGUUCAAAUCAAGCCAUAAGAGGCUCUGGCAACUGCCAAGCUCUGGUGGGAUCCUUCCAAUAAAUGAAUUAUGAUUUAACUGCAGAAUCGUGAGUUUUGGAAGAGUUCCAAUGUCAGUAUAUAGGAAUCUCUCUUCUUACCUGAUUGAAAGAAAGUGACAACCAAGUGAGAUUUUACAGUUGCUGAGUGAUGCUGGAAUUAUUCCGGUGAGGAGAUUGUUGGUGAGAAGAAGCGUUUCCAAAUUAUUUCCAACUAAGCUGUAACACCCAGACCCAAAUGACAUUUGGGCUAACGCAUCAACAUUGCAUUAAAAUAUGACAAAUAGGCCUUUUAAGUUAAUUAAAUAUAAUUGAGCCCAAAAUCAUAGUCUUAUGCUAGGGUUUAUUAGAAUAUAAACUAGGAUUAAUAUAAAUAGGUUACUUAAGUUUAGUAGCCACGUUUCAUUUGAUUGAGAAAACAAAUGCUUUAAAGUGAAUUUCACAAAAAUUUUUCUUUGUGACAAGAUUUGGGGAUUUUGAAGAGAAGUUUGGAGAAUAAAAAUUAAAGGUCAUUGUUGGAUUCAUCAUUACAAGGAGAGUAAAAUCCUGUUUUAAAUCAAAGAAAAAUAUUUCAUUGAUUUAGAAGAAUUUGGAUUGAAAUUGAAAAGGAAAAUUUACGUGUAAAAUCAUGUAUCAUGUACUGUCCUAUCACUUUAAAUCUGAUUUGAAAUGAUUUAUGGAGUUUCACUAGUUGAUUUAUAUAUGGUUGGAAAUCUACAUGAGUCUAUUUUCUAGCAAACUAAACGGAAGUGGAUUUCGAGUUUCCUAUGUAAAGAUAUGAUUUUUUUUUGUAAAGACAGUACAAACUGCCUAACAGCAAUGUCAGGGGCAAUUUCAAAAAUUUUCUGCACUUUUCCUAUAAUGAAUUAAGUGUUGAAAUUUAUAUGGAUAGAAAGCUUAUUAAUUCUAGUUUCCAACGCAUUAAACAAAUCUCAGUUUCGAGUUUCAUAGCUUAAGACAUGGUCAUUUUAGGGAAUGAUGUGCAAGCUGCCCAUAUUUUUGAUUUAGGAAGGUUUGGGUUAUUUUUUGUAGUUUCAGGUGAUAAAUAGAUUUUAGAAAGUUAGAUUGUUUUUAACAUGUUUAAAUGAUUGCUAUUAGGCUUUUGAUUAUUUUGGGAGGAAGCAAGUUUGUUAGAACGAAGAAAGGUAAGUAUAUCAUCACACACCUUGCUUGUUUUGAAACUAUAGUAUAUAUAUUUCGUUAAAGAAUCAAACGCUUUAUUUCAUUAUUUUCAGUAUAUAAAAAUAGGGUCAAGUAUAUAAUUAUUUUCUAUUUUAGGCUUAAUAAUAUGAUGAAUAAUGAUUGAUGAAUGAUUUGGUUUGCUCAUGUGAUGGAAAAUGGAUUUACAAAUGAUUUGAGUUAUACAUACGAUGAACAUUGUUUUAUAAAUGUUUUGGUUGAUUUAUAUGAUGAAUGUUAAUUUAUGAACAAAAUGAAAUCUUUGAUCAUCUUUAAAGAAUGUUUUAAGGGCUAUGAAGUAAUUCUUGGGGAGUGGGAUAAUGGACACCAGAACUAGUUCUACCUUCCUACUAACUGUAUAUUAUAGUUAACACAUAGCCCUGCUAAUGAGAUAUAAUAGUUAGAAAUGAUCAUGGGAAUAAUUAGCCGAUACGGUCCUUGUCAUGGAAUAUCAUAGUGACCGUAGCUACGAUAAUGAAAUUUUAUGAGUUUCAAAGAUUCAAACUAUGAUUUGCUUGAAUGAUAUUUUAAGAAUGACAUUUGAUGAUCAAUAAUUUGUGAACUUACGAAAUUCCUCAUUUUGGACAUAAUGAUUUGUUUAACUAUUUGAAAGCAUGAUUUAGUGAAAUGCUUUUGAAUGAACUAUAUGAUAUAUUGAAAACGAUACUUGAUCUGGUAGGAUGUGUGUGGUUAUAUUUGUUGAGUUGUGGUUUGCUCAUUUCUUCACUUACAAUUUUGCAGAUGACUAGAGAUUGAGAGCUUUAGAGUUAUGGGAGCUAAGAGAAUAAUUUGGGAAGUCUACCUUAAUAUCAAGAUAUUGUUAGUUUUGUUGAAACUCCUGUUAUGUGUAAUUGAUUUUUAAGUUUUAAUUGUCUAAUUUAUUAUGUUGGAGACUUUAUUGGGAUUGUAUUAGUUACAUAGAAGAGAAUGUAAGUAUAUAAUUAGCAAUAUGACUUCAUUUGAGGACUUCUAGAAUAAUAAAAUAUAGAAAAAUUUCAUAUUACUUUGGUUCUUAAUCUUGAGCUAAUCUGAUCAUGUCAUGUCUCGGUUUCGUGGCAUGACAAAAGCAUAUGUCCUCCAGAAUUAAGGAUGGUAAUGGAUAACUUGUUAUAAAAAACUUGCGAGUACUUGACCCGAUUAUAUAGGGUUAGGGUACUUUAUAAUCGAGUUUAGGUAGGAUUCGGGUUGUGAUUUCACUACCCAUAUGGGGCUCAUGUAGGGUUCAAGUAUCACCUUUUGAGUACCCGAUACUCAAACCCCGAUUAUGUUUUUUUUAAUUUCAUACAAUUAAAGACAAACUUAUAUUUUUAAUUAAUUUAAUUCAUGAAACUAUGAUUAUCAAUUAACUUGUAAUAUCUUUUAAUACAUAUACUCUAUAUAUUGUGUUAAUUUAUAAGGAAUAAAAUUACUAUUAUAUAUAUACUUUUAGUAUAUAUAUUUUAAAUAUAAACAUCUUUACUUUUUAUUUUGUGUUAACGUUACAAAAAUUGUAACUUAUAAAAUUAUUAAUUAUAAUAUAUGCCUUUAUUUAUAUAAACUUAUAAAAUAUAUACCUAAAAAGAAAUUGUGAGAUUAGAAUAGUUUUAGAAUUUAACUAUUUUUUUAAUUGUAUGGACAAACCCAUAUACUUAAUUAAACUUGUAAUGUUUAAGUUGUUUUUUGAAUAUUUGUUUUUAGUUAUUUAAGCUGACAUUUGAGAUAUUUGUUUUUAAUUAUUUAAAUUUAAAUUUUAUUGUUUGUGUGCUUUUCUAUAUUUAAUUAUUAGUGAAUUAUUUGGAAUAUGAGUAGAAAUAUUAUUGUAUAUAGAUAUAAGUACGAAUUCAGGCUUAGGUAAUUGGGUAUCCAUGAAGAGAAUUUUAAUAAAUUUUUUACAUAAUCAGGUUUUUAAACGGAUUUGGGUAAUUAUCAGAUAGUGAAUAUGUAUUAGGGUUGGGGUUAAGAUAGUAAAUUUAAAAAAUAUUUAGGUAAUUAUAGGAUUUGAAUACCUUACCCAUUAACAUCCCUAUCCAGAAUUUCACCUAAGCCAUUUCCCUACAUGAUGAAGUCAGAAAGAUGUGGUAACAUCCCCACAUUUGGUGGAAUGGAUCCACGUAGAUUGUUCAGGCUUAAAUCAAUUGUCCUCAAUUUCUUACAAUGUCCAAUAUUUGAAGGUACUGUUCUCGAUAGAAAAUUUCUUGCAAACAGUGAUUUUUGUAAGGAAGAGAAGGAGGCCGAAAAAGAACAAAGCCCUGAAGGUAUAUUCCAGUUAAGGCAUUAGAACUAAGGUCAAGGACUUAAGUUGGUUACAAUUUUUUAGAGACAGAGGAAUAGAAGCGCCGAUGUUGUUAAAUGGAACUUGAAGGAUUUGUAGUCUGGGAAGAAAAGUAAUAACUGUUGUGAGAAAGUUCUCGGAAAGUUGAUUGUUUCCAAGAUUGAGGCUUUGCAAAGAAUCACAGGACUUAAAUGUCUUAGGAAACGCACCAGAGAGUUUGUUUUUGAAAUGAUCAAGCUCUACUAGAGUGCCACAAGUCCACCCUAAUUCUGGGGGAAUAUUGCCAAAGUAGUCAUUGUCUGCCAAAUUUAGAUGCUUCAAAUUUCCCAAAUUUCCCAAUGCAGCUUGGAUUAUAUCCUGCAGCUGGAUAUGGGAGAGGUCAAGGUUCUUAAGCAGCUGGUAGUUGAUCAAGCGGUGAGGAAUCCAGAGCCAUAAAGAGCAUUAUUCAACAGGUUUGAGUACCUAUACCAAAAAAUUAAACAGCCUCCAAAGUCAAUCAUAAAGAAAUUAACAGAUAAAUUAUUGUGAGAAAUGUUCAAAAAUUUGAGGGACUAAGGUAAAUCGACAAAAAGAAGAGCAAGGAUAUCUCUCGACAACAAGUUAUUAGUAAUGUAACACUUCGUGUCCUCGUUUAAUCGUCAAUAAGACUUAUCAAUAAGACGAAGGGACAAUUGAUGUAAAUUUAAGUAUCGAAAAGUGAUCACGGACGAAAAGAAUAUUUUAAAAUAAAAUAUCAUCAAUUACGGGAAUUAAUCUGAAAGAUGGGCACAUGUCUAAUUUAAGUGGGAGAGAAUUUAUAUGUAAACUUUAUUAUUUUGAGAAAAUAAAAUAAUUAAAUUAUGAGAUAAAAAAAUAUAAUAAUAGUAAGAAUAUAUUUUUAAGUAAUGAAUUGGGUUAGUAGGGGCCGACCCUUUGAGGAACAAAAGGAGUUGAGAGUGAAAUUAGGGUGAUGAUGAAGACAAAUGUUGAAAAGGCCGGUCAACUAAGUAAAAAGGGAAUUCAAGCAAAUUUAUUAGUGUGAAGUGAUUUAACAAGCAAUGGAAGACAUAAAAGAAUGGGGGCUGGCCAUUUCAAAAGAGGAAAGAAAGAAUAGAAUAAUUAAAAAAAAAAACAAAGAUGAAAAGAGAGAAGAUAAGAAUGGAUGUCAUCUGCCAUGUGACUUAUUAAGAGUCAAAGUAAUAGUAAAAUAAUAAAAAAAACUAUCUCUUUUUAUGAUGAAAGAUGGUAGCGGCCGGCAAGGAGUAAAAAGAGAAAGAAAGAUUAAAUGAAAGGAGGGAGAUAAGGACAAAAAGUCGUCAUGUCCGUUCUUUUCUCCCUUCCACGUGAAAGUCAUUUCUUUUUCUUCCUUCCUAACCAGCAGCAUAUGGAGAGAAAUAAAAAGGAAGAGAAGGUCGGCCAAAAACUAGAGAAGCAGAGAAAUAAAGGAGGAAGGAAAAAAAGAGAAAGAGAGAGUUGGGAAAGAGAGAUUUUGUGAUGCCACUUAGAGGAGUCAAAAGAGGAGAGUUUUGCUGCAAAUUUUAAGGGAAAAGAAAGCUGAGUUGUUGUUGGAUUUUGAGGAAAGAAAAGAGAGAAAGCUGAGUAUUGGGGUGCUGCCGACGGUGAGAGAAAGAGAGGAAAAAACGUGCAACCGAUUGGUGCGUGAAAUGAGGGAGAAGAAAGGAAGAGAAAAACGAGUAGAAGAGAGAGGAAGAAACAGGAAAGAAAGGUAAGAAAAUAAUAAAAAUAUGUAUAAUAAUGAUGUUAUAAUAAAAUAAGAUAUAUUAAUUAAGUGGGUUUUAAUAUUUAGGAGAAAUAAAUAAAUGGUGCAUUGUGGUGAAAGACUGAUGGAAAUAAUGAACUAUUGGUAAGAAGGAGUAGCUUGAUACGUCUUUGAAUUAAUAGCGAUGUAAUAUUUCGCUAUUGUGAGGUGAGUAGGGGGUGUCAAUUUUAAAAUUUUCGUAAAUAUAUAUACCUAUACGUAUGACUUAUUUUAAGUGCGAAAAUUGUGGAUAACAUAUGUUAGUAGCAAUCUUAGGAAAUUAUGGUUGCAAAUUACGUUUAGAAAUCGGUUUGAGUAUAUAUAUGUAUAAAUUAUAUGUAAAGUGUUUAGAAAAACGAGACACAAGACCUUUAUACUGUUUUACAUCAAAAUUUGUGCCUUAUAUUUGUGCAGUGUGUAUUCAUGGUUAUAUUGCUUAUUCACCAUGCGAAUUAUUAUUUUGAAAUUCAUACAUAAAUAUAUUUUGAGAAAAUGAUAGAUUUUAUCAUAUCCUAUGUUGAAUACUUUGGAAAUAAUUUUGAGACGAGAUUUCAAGGACAUAAAGCGAUUCUAAAAUGAUUUUUUUUAAACUGAGAGAUUCGAGAGUAGGCCGGAUGUCACAUCAGUUAAGUGUGACCCUCGUGUACGAGUGAGCUCUAGCUAGAGAACCUUUGAGUCACCGACAGGCAGUUAGGCGUGGCGGGGACCAUGACCUUUGAUAUACGUAUGUGUGGCUAUGCCACUAGAUGAUUACGCGGUUGCGACCGCUUGAUUCUCCGAUGUCGGCCAACAUCGUGAGACUGCCAUGGCAUAUGGGAAUCCAGUGGAAGCGAUGCCCUCGGAUGUUAUUACGUGGUAGCGGGACCACGAGUUUAUUUUCAUUCCCUACUCGAGAGUGGUAUCUCUGGGUUUUCAAACUCAUAUUUCUCUGCAUGAUGAAAACGAAAUUUAACGAUUUUUCUGCAGCUCCCCUUAUUUUUUUGGUGAAAUGAAUUUUAACUCCUCGAGUGCGAGGUGAUUUGUGAUUUACGUAUGAGUUUGAUUAACAUUCGAUUUCAUGGGAGCUUGUCGAAUAUACUGAUUUGAUUUGAGUAAAAUGUCAAUUGAUCUUGACAGUGAAAUUUUCUUUAUGUAAAAUUGUUUUAAUUUAAUAUUUCAAAGAUUGACUUGAAUAAGGUUAUUGAUCUGUUUUGUAGCAAAAUUUUUUAUCUACCUUGGUUGAUUUACCAAUUGAAGUGUUUACAAUGCAUAAGAAAUCCUCGAUUUUUCAUAUAAGGCACAAACUCCCAUUUGAAAUAAAUUGUUUUUGUAAUCCUGCAUUUUUAUAUUCAACUGAUCUGCUAUUUGCUUAUUUUCCAUCUACGCCCUACUCACGGAGUCGAUGAUCACUGAGUUUGUGAGACUCACACUCCUCUUUUGCAAACAAUGAUCGACUUAACGAAUAAUCAUCAGCGCGUUUAGCCCACCGCAAAUAGGUAAAGGCAUUCUUAUAGCUUUUUAUCCCGAGUCGCUCCGCGGUUAGAGAUUGAGUUGUAGUACUUUGAUUUUACUAUGUAAACAAAUAUUAGUUUUGAUAAAAACAUAAAGUUUAGAUUCUUGAACUCAAUGUAUUUAAUUGUGAUAUCAUGACUUAAAGUCAAAAAUUUAAUGACUAUGCUUCUUGUGAAAUUUUAAGUCAUAAAAAUAUAUAUAUGGUUCAAACAUUAAUACGGAUUAGUAAAGGUAUACAAUGAGUUAUGGAGAAAUUUCUUUUAGGCUUUUUCGAGACUUGGCGGGAUCUUCCGGAGGUCUCAGACGCCGAUAACGACUGAGGAGGGAUCGUUACAAGUAAGGUUCAAAAUUGAUAGAUUCUUGCAAGAGGAGAGCUUAUCAACUUUUUCAAACAAUUUGUUAAAUGACAGAUUUAGAAGUUUCACAUUCUCACAAUUUGAAAACAAGUAUUUCAAUAUUGAAAAAUCUGAAAUGAGAUUGCUUGAAAGAUCAAGCUCUAAGAGAGAGCUUCCAAUGUAAAAACUACCUUUAUAGAUCGAGUUAGGGAAAAGAUUUAAAGAAGUCAAAUGAUCACAAGAAUCAAAAAACGCUUUAGGCUAGGCUUUGAUAAACUAUUGAAUGACAAAUCAAGCGUUUCAAGCGUGCAUGGAUAAGAAGCAUUAUCAUGCAAGAGAUCCCCAAAGAAAGAGUCUCACUCAAAUGGAGAUGCUUGAGAUUUUUUAAGAUAAAGAGAUUGUUAAUAUUUUUCUUGUUUUAGAUUGUGUGGAUCUUUAAUUAAGGGGUUUUCAAGGAUUAAGGUUUUGUUUUGUUUUUUUUUUUUUUAAGAUUAAUCAUCAAGAUAUUUCAUUCAAAAAGGAAAAACCCAACAAAUUUUACAAAACAAGUAAAGAGCGAAAGAGAAGUCAGCUCUGACCUCCCAAUCGGCAUCUUGGAUAUAAAAAUCAACCAGUAUCCACAGUAUUUCAACACUAGACAGACAACAAAUAAUAUUUCCAUUUACAUUUGCAACCUGUACCCAAACAACAUUAACCAUACCCAAAAUUCAAGUGUAAGGCAUCAGUAGGUAUUGUUUUUUGGGUGAAAACAACUAUUGGGUUAAGGUUUUUAGGUGGUUAAGAGGCCGAUCUUUGAGUGCUUGGGGCUAGAUCUGAGGCAUGAUGAUUAAUAUUGUUAUUAUUAAAACGGUUAAUAAUUUGAAAAGCUUGUCUUCUAAUCAUAUUGUGAAAAUUAGAUGUUUUAAUGAUUCUAAACUUCAUAACUAUUAGAAUUUAAUUGUUAUGAAAUGACAAUUUAUAUAUAAUUUUAAAAAAUCACCAAUAUACAAUUAAAUAGUACAUAAAGAAACAAUUUUUAUUCAAUUUGAGUUUUUAUAAGAAUGUUAUCUGAGAAUAGUUGUUUGAUAAAUUUUGUAAAUAAAAUUUGAGAUAGUGUUUGAUAAAUUUAAGUAAAUUUUUUAUAGCAUUUAAAAACUUAUUUUGUAAUCAUGAUAUGACAAAUUAUAAUUUUAUUAACAUUAUUUAGAUAUAAUUACAAUUACAUUUAAAUAAACUUAUAAGAAAAUAUGAAUCUAACUAAAAUUUAUGAAUUUACAUCAUUAUCAUCAAAUAAUGCUUUAUCAUUUAGUCUUAUAUGUAUAUAAAUGCAGGUGCAGUGCACAUGUUUUAAUAUUAGUGUAUUUGAAAUAAAAAAAAUUAUUUUUGCUGUGAAGAAUAUAUAUAGGUUAAAAUACAUUGACACCUAAAACUUUGACCAUAAUUACAUAUAAUCCAUUAGUUUUCAAAAUGAACACUCUACUCUAAACGUGUAAAUGACGUUGAUGCUUAAAUGUGAAAUAUCUAAAACACUUUAUUAUUAUUUUUUUUUCACUCUUUUCCUUUCUCUUAGGCCGAUUGACCGCGCUCCCUUACACUGAUUUCCUCCCAUUCUUCCCAAUUGGUAAAGCAACCAAUCGCCCGUAAAGAGAAAUAUUGGAUUAAAUGCGUUAGUUAAAGCGGUUAAUGUUGAGAUGCUGAGCUAUUCGAUUUGAGAUUUGAUGUGUUUUUUGUAAAAGAACUAGCUUCCUUGUGUAGUUGCGUGGUGAUACUCUGCUUUUUGCCAUCAGAGUACAUCUUUCUUUGUUUUUUUUUUUUUCCUUUUGAGAACAAAGGUAACCUGCGUUUUGGUCUGUUACGCUGGUAUGACUUAAAAGCAGAACAAAAGGUAGAAACAAUCGCAGAAUGCCGAAGCAAGAAAACAGAAUUACAAUGCCAAACUGUAACAGGAAAAACAAAUAAAAAGUUUCAGGGGAAUCCAAAAAGAAGGAGCAGUAAAGAAACGGAAUCUCUCAAGAAUCAAUGCAAUGUAAUUGUAACGCCUUAUGUAUGCAUGAUAUUAAUUAAUAAAAUUUUUAUAUCUAUGUAAUUAGUUUUUUAUUCUUCACUUAUGUAUUACGAACUUAAGAUGUAUAUUACUUUCAUGUAUUGUUUAUGCAUUUUUUAUUAAAUUUAUUUAAUAUAUUUUCAUAACUAUGACUGAGCGUUAUGGAUGAUUAAAAAAAUAUAUAAAGAUUAUAAUUUUUAUAAAACAAAACAAACAUAAAAUUUUGCAAAAGAUAAUUAAUAAGUUAAAUGCAGUAUUUUUUUAUUUUUGUAUAUUAAUAGAUUAAUGUAUUUAUAAUUGAUUUACUAAAUAUAACUUUCAAAUAUUAAAUCUUGACUCCCAAGUUUCUAGUGGGAUCUGUGACUCAGUCUUCUUCUCCAAAAUUUUUCAGACUUCACUUCUUUUUCAGUCAAAUGGCAACUGCUAGUUUCUCUGCUUCAAUACCACCUAUUUUUACUAGCUCAAACUAUCAGAUUUAGGCAGUGAAAAUGAGGUCUUAUUUUAACGCGUUCGAUUUAUGGGAGGUCGUUGAAUUUGGAGAAAUCCUUAUACAAAAGCACUCUAAUCUUACUUUGGCUUAGAUUAAGUAGCAUAGAGAGGAGGUAACUCAGAGAUAUAAAGCCUUAUCUUGCCUUCAAUCUGCAGUUUCUUAUACUAUCUUUGUUAGGAUUGUUAAUUUUGAUGAUCUAAAAACUGUAUGAGUUACUUUGAAAGAAGAAUUUUAGGGAAAUGAUAGGACUAAGAUGAUUCAGGUUUUGAGUUUGUCUAGAGAAUUUGAGUUGCUAAAAAUGAAGGAGAGUGAAAGUAUUUUUGAAUAUUUUGAUAGAGUUUUAAGGGUAGUUAAUCAACUUAGAUUGCUGAGGGAAAACGUGACUGAAAGAAGCAUAGUAAAUAAGUUCUUAAUUAGUCUACCAGAGAGGUUUGAGGCUAAGAUAUCUUAUCUGGAAGAUUCAAAAGAUCUUACAAAGAUAUCUGUUAAUGAGUUGAUAAAUGCAGUAUCAGCUUAAGAGUAAAGGAGAACUUUGAGAAAUCAAAAUGUUGUUGAGAAUGCACUGGUAGACAAGACUAAGAAUUUGAAGGUCAAAGCUAGUUGUUCAAAGAAAAAUGAACGUAAAGGGAGUAAAGUUAGAGAUGAAAAACAAAAGAAGUAGAGAGACAGGUUUAAUCCUUGUUUUUACUACAAGAAAAGAAAUCAGACCAGCAAGUACUGUUGGUACUGCCUUAAUGUAAAGUGCAGGGCAUGUCAUCAGCUACGACAUGUAGAAAAAGUUUGUAAAGACUAAGAAGCUAGAUACUAAAGAUCAAGCUGCUGUAGCAAAAAAGACUGAUGAAGGUGAAAAGCUAUUGUUUGUUGCCAAAUCUGCUGAUGGUUCAAGUAAUAAAGAUGUUUGGUUGUUAGAUAGUGCCUGUUCUCAUCAUAUCACUAGAAACAAGAACUUAUUUACUGAUCUUGAUAUUAGCUUUAAAGCUAGAGUUAAAAUUGGUAGUGAUGAUUUUUUUAUGAUUAAUGGAAUUGGUAGAGUAGUUGUAGUGACUUUCUCAAGAACAAAGUAUGUAUCUAAUGAGAGGUAUGUACCAGAUGCAGAUCAAAAUCUACGAAGUGUUGGGCAGUUAGUAGAUUGUCAUUACGCUUUAUUGUUCAAGGACAAGUAUUACAUAGUGUUUGAUCUUGCAGAUUGUGAGAUGAUGAAAGUUGAAAUGAAAAAUAAUUGCUAUCCUUUGAACUUAAAAGAUCCUGAACAUUUUGCUAUGUAUACUGAGCAUGAUAUGUCUGAUGUGUGGCAUACAAGAAUGGGACAUGUAAAUUAUGGUUCACUGAUAAAAAUGUCAUCUAAGGUGAUGGUUGAAGGUUUGCCUAUCAUAACUAAACCAAAUAUGCUAUAUAAGGUUUGCCAAUAUGAAAAGUACAGUAGAAAGCCUUUUCCAAAAGAAAGAAGUUGGAAAACUAAAAAGAAGCUUGAAUUGGUUUAUACUGAUAUUUGUGGCCAAAUGAAGACUUUGUCACUGAAUAAUAAGAUGUACUGUAUUCUAUUUAUUGAUGAUCUGACAAGAUAUUGUUGGACUUUCUUUAUGAAGCAAAAGUCUGAAGGUUUAAAGCACUUUGCUAAGUUUAAAGCUUUAGCUGAAAAUUAGUCCAAGAUGAAGAUUAAGAUCUUAGGAAGUGAUAAUGGGUCUGCUUUCACUAUUGCUAAGUUUGAAGCUUUUUUGUCUUAGUUAAGAGUUAAACAUCAGCUUACUAUGGCUUAUUAUCUUCAGCAGAAUGAAGUGUCAGAAAGAAAAAAUAGAACAGUAGUUGGAAUGGCAGGCUGUUUACUGUUCUAGAAAAGCAUACCGAGGGUAUUUUGGGUAGAAGCAGUUAACACUACAAAUUAUCUGCUUAAUAGGACCUAUACCAGGGCAUUGAACCUUAAGACUCCUUAUGAAAUGUGGUUUGAUUGUAAACCAUCAAUUGCUCAUUUGAAAACCUUUGGUUUUGUCUGUUAUGCCAAGGUACCAGAUGAAAAGAUGCCAAAGUUGGAUGCAAAGUUAGUCUUAUCUGUUUUUCUUAGAUAUAGUGAUUGUUCCAAAGGCUACAGAUUAUAUGAUGAUGAUGUUAAAAAGGUUUUAAUUGUAGAGAUGUUGUGUUUGAUGAAGGACAAAGUUGGAAAUGGAAAUCUAUAGUUGAAUGUUAUGAGAAGGUAAUCACUGAUAAAGAGGAUCAGUUGCAUUCUGAAUCUAAUGGUUCUUAUGAUAUUAAAGAUGAAAGAAAUGUUGUUUAAGGUACCAAGACACUAUAGGACAUAUAUAGCAGACGUAAUAUAGCUAUAUGUGAACCUUCAAGCUUCAUUAAGGCCAAUUUUGAUAAGAAUUGGAGGGCUACUAUGAAUGCAGAAAUGCAAAUGAUUGAAAAGAACACCUAGAUUCUUGUUGACAGACUAGUUGAUCAGCAUGUUAUUGGUGUAAAGUGGAUUUUCAGGAUAAAACUGAAUCCAGAUGGGCCAAUGAACAAGUAUAAAGCCAGGUAAGUUGUAAAAGGUUAUGCUCAAGUGUAUGGCAUUAUUGUUUUGAGACUUUUACUCUAGUUGCUAGGCAUGACAGUAUCAGGUUACUUGUUACUCUGUCUACUAAAAAUACUAGAAAAUUUUUCACGUAGAUGUGAAAUCUGCUAUCUUAAAUAGCGGUGCUAUAUGAAGAUAUCUAUAUAGAACAGCCUAAAAGCUAUGUGAAGAAGGGUACAGAAAGUAAGGUUUGUAAGCUUGUCAAGGCUCUCUAUGGUCUGAAACAGGCUCUUAAAGCGUUGCAUGAGAGAAUAGAUGAGUAUUUUAAAGAUCAAGGUUUUGUCAAGAGUUUGAAUGAACAUACACUCUACAUUAAGAAAUCAAAAGACUUAAUAAUUCUUAUUGUGGCUUUGUAUGUUGAUGAUAUGUUAAUUACUAGACCUGAUACUAUUUACCUUAAAGAUUUCAAAACACAGAUGAUGAGUGUGUUUGAAAUGACAAAUUUGGGGCUUAUGUUUUACUUUCUAGGAAUGAAGAUAUUACAGCUACUUGAAGAGAUUGUCCUGCAUCAGACAAAGUAUGCAAGAGAUAGACUAAAGAAAUUCAAUCUGGAUUCUUGCAAGUCUGUGGACAUACCUUUAACAAUUGGAUGUAAGCUGAGCAAAGAAGAUGAAUCAGAAAAGGCUGAUGGAAAACUUUACAGAAGUAUGGUAGGAUCUUUGCUAUAUUUGUUAGCCACUAGGCCUGAUAUCAUGUUUGCUACAAGUCUUCUUUCAAGGUUCAUGCAAUCUUCAUCAAAUUUACAUUUUACUACCAUUAAAAGAAUACUUAGAUAUGUGAGAGGUGCUGUGGAUUUUAGUUUGAAAUAUACAAGAGCUGAAAGCAGUAAAUUGGUGGGAUAUAGUGACAGUGACUGAGCAAGGUCCUUUGAAGAUUCAAAAAGCACUAGAGGAUAUUGUUUUUCUUUUGUUAGUGGUGUUUUAUGUAGAACUUUAAGAAGUAGGAUAUAGUAGCUCAGUUUUCAACUGAAGCUGAGUAUAUAGCUAUAAUUGCUGCAACUAAUCAAGCUGUGUGGUUGUGGAAAUUUCUAUCUGAUCUUAGUUUUAAAUAGCAAAAAGGAACAGUAAUCUAUGUGGACAACCAGUCAUUGAUUGCUAUUGCUAAAAAUCCUAUGCAGCAUGGGAAGACCAAGCAUAUUAGAGUGAAGUGUCAUGCUCUUAGAGAAGCUGUUAAGGUAGAAGCAGUUCAACUCAUUUAUUGUCCAAUAGAUGUCUAGUUUGCUGAUAUCUUUACUAAGGGACUCAAUUGAGAAAAGUUUGAGUUUUUGAGGUCAAGCUUGGGAGUUUUCCAAGUAUUCAAUCAUGGGGAUAUGUUGGAAGAGUGAUUGAAAUCCGAAUGAAACGGUGCUACAGAAGAAAGGUUGUUUGGUGGGAGUUUAACCAUCAUUUGAAGAUAGAAGACUCGGAGGUGGAAGCAAUAUGUGUCAUUUCAUCAUUGUCAGUUUGGAGAGUCUUAAACGCAGGACAAUGAGUCGUUUAAAUAAAUGCACAAAACCUAUGCUUGGUAUCUGUGCUAUUUGUUGGAUCUUAUUUCCAGUGUACUCAUACCAAGGCUAGAUCUAAGCUCAUUUUGUUUUUAGUUUUUUUUCAAAAUUCCUGUAUAAAAACUGAAAUGGAAAUUGAAUUGGUGUUGAGAGGGAAACCUAUAUCCUGAAAAUUUCUUGAGGCCAAAUUCUUUCAUCAAAGAUUUUUCUCUCUAUUCUUCUUUGAGUUUCUCUACAGCUUUAUAUAACAGAGCAUGGUAUCAAAGCAAGUGUCUUGAGGGAUCUAUGACUCAAUCUUCUUCUCCAAAAUUUUUUCAAACUUCAUUUUUUUUGCAGUCAAAUGGCAACUGUUGGUUUCUUUACUUCGACACCACCUAUUUUUACUAGCUCAAACUAUUAGAUUUGGGUAGUGAAGAUGAGGUCUUAUCUUAAGGCAUUUGAUAUGUAGGAGGUCGUUGAAUCUAGAGAAGUUCCUGUACAGAGGCACGCUAAUCCUACUUUAGCUCAAAUUAAGAGCAGGGAGAUAGGUUUAAUCCUUGUCCUUAUUGCAAGAAAAGAAAUCAUACCAGCAAGUAUUAUUGGUACUGCCUUAAUGUGAAGUGCAGGGCUUGUCAUUAGCUAGCACAUGUAGAAAAAGCGUAUAAGGCUAAGAAAACAAAUGUUGAAUGUCAAGUUGCUGUAGGAGAAAAGAUUAAGGUGUUAAAAGAGUGAUUGAAAUCUGGAUGAAAGGCUAUUAUGGAAGAAAGGUUGUUUGGCAGGAGUUACCCAUCAUUGGAAGAUAAAAGACUCAGAGGUGGAAGCAAUACUGUGUCAUUUCAUCAUUGUCAGUUUAGAGAGUCUUAAAUGUAAGACAAUGAAUCUUUUAAAUAAAGUCUUGUUAUACGGCAUAUGGUUGUGUCGUUUUAUUUUUAGUUUUCAGUACGUUUUAGCCCAAUGUUGUUUUGAGCUUCAUUUUCUUCUAGCUUAACAGCUACUUCAAUUUUUUGUUAUUGUUACCCUUGCAAAUGCACAAGAAACUAUGUUUGGUAUCUUUGCUAUUCAUUAGAUCCUAUUUUUCAAUGUACUUAUACUGAGGUUAGAUCUAAGCUCAGUUGUUUUUAGUUUUUUCAAAUUCUUGUAUAAAAAUUGAAAUGGAAAUUGAAUUGGUGUUGAGAGGGAAACCCAUAUAUUGAAAAUUUCUUGAGUCCCUAUUCUUUCAUCAAAGAUUUUUCUCUCUAUUCUUCUGUGAGUUUCUCUGCAACUUCAUGUAACUCAACAUGGCACUUCAUGUGUCCCUCAAUUGGGGUUUCCAUCAGAAGUAUUGUGCUUGUAUACUUAUUCAUAAAAAUAAGUCAAAUUAGUAUUUGACAAACUUAAUGUAGAAAUACAUUUUAAAAAAACUAUUUGAUAAUAUUUUAAUUUAUUUUUAACGGAUAAAAACUAAACAGCUCAACUUUAUUAAUCCAAAUCAUAAGUUAUAAAAUGAAUAUAAUAAACAAAAAAAAUAACUUUUAUUGAGUGAGGGUAAAUAACUGAAAAGAAAAUAAUAUUCUAUGUGAUGUGAGCAAAAUGAUUGCAAAGAAAUGGCUCUUAGGAAUACGUAGGAAUGUGGUUUUGUAAUUAUAAUAGUGUGAUCAGGUUAACAUGGGUAUUAUUCUAAAUUGAUCAAUGCUCGAGUUUUUGUUUUAGGGGCAGCAAGCUGCAAAUUAUUUUUUGAGACAGCUAGAUAGGAUUUUGAGCAAAACUGCCAACAGCUUUUUGAGCGAUAAUUGUCUUUUGUAAUUGUAUAGGUUUUCUUUGUCCAUACUUUGUCCUUAUGCCAUGGAAAGUCUCUUGCCGAUUAAGCAAUAAACUUAGAAUGACAUACUGAUUUUCGAGGCUAAUAAAUAGGGUAAAAUAUUAAGAACUUCUUAAGUCUUAAUCAUAAUUUCACGCGGUUCUAUUAGUUUUUGAAAUAAACAGUUAGUCCAAAAAAAAUCUUUUGCUGGACACGUAGGUCUAGUCAUUAAUCAAUCGUUAAUAUUUUUGUUAAUUUGAUGAUGUGAUAAUAUCGAAAAGAUAAUUUUACUAUAUAUUAAUUUUAAAAAUUACUAUUAUAUAAAUUAUAUUUUUUAAAUUUUAAUUCUUUUUGCAAAAAAAAAAGAUCGGUGCUCCCCAAGGGAAGGAUCAUCAUAUUGGUGCUCCCAAGGGUGCUCCCCUCCCAUGGAGAGCACCAGAUUGAUGAUCCCUUCCCUUGGGGAGCACCUACCGUAAGGUGGUUGGCUGGCGAAUGGGAGCGCACUGACUGACCACAUUGUUUGAGAGAAAAAAUAGAGAUAGAAAAAAAGGGUAUUUUAAUUGUUUUAUAUUUUCUGUUAAUGGUAUUUGCACUUUUUGGAUUUUAUUAUCUUUUUCGAAAACUAAUGGACCUGCGUGAAAUUUUUGUUAAAACUUAAUGGGAUGUAGGUAUUUUACCCUAAUAAUAUGCUAAAUAUUUGACACACUAAAUCAAGCCUUUCUCCUAGUCUAAGAUUAAGAAAGGAUGAAGGUAAAGAUCUUCCCCCAAGCUGAUACUUGAAUUAAUUUGAAUUGGAAACUAGUUAAGCUAGUAAUUGCUGUCAACUACAUGAUUUGGAAAGAAUGCUAUCUGAUUUGGGAUGCCUAAUUAAGCCCACAUACUUGAUUUCAGCAGGCCAUUGGCAAAGCUUACUAGAAACAUGCAAUCAAAGAGUCCCUAGAAAAGAAGAAGAAACAAAUGGUAUUGUUACAUUCAAGGAUAAGUUCUUUCCUUACAACUUACAAGCUCAAAUGCUCAAUAAACUCAUACAUAAAACGAUAUCCCUCCGAUACUGUCUUAUUUCUGGCUAAUUCUUUCUUACACCACUUUUUCUAAGCAGUCCUUUUUGCCUUUCUAAAAUAUUCACCUUCAACUCGAAAUUGAUCAUGACGGCACAAUCAAUUGUGGUUUACGGAAAACAAUGUAUCCCACAGGCACUCCAAAUAGAAAUCCACAUGCAUAACCAACGAAGACAGCUUUGUCCAACCAGCCAAAUCCAAUUUUGUAACCAUUGAUUUUGUUGGAGUUCAUCAGUGUCGGUGAUGGUGGUGGAGGUGAUGGUGGUGAUCGUGGCUCAGGAUUCAUGCAAGGUCUAGAGAGUGGAGAACCACAUAGUCCUUCAUUUCCUUCAUAGGAACUACUGUCAAAAGUGGCGAAUUGCUUUUCUAAUGGGACAGGUCCAACAAGUUGAUUAUUGGAAACGUUUAAAACUUCAAGAAAUGACAAACCUACCAAUUCCUCUGGAAUCAUCCCAGUUAACUUGUUUGAGGAAAGAUCUAACCAUUCAAGACUGAUCAAAUUUCCCAAUGAUAACGGGAUAUGACCACUCAGUCUGUUAUGAGAAAGGUUAAGCCCUCUGAGCGAACUAAGCUCUCCAAAAAUUUUUGGAAUCUCUCCUUCAAACUUGUUACUUGAUAGAUCAAUGCCUGUGUACAUGGUCAAAAAUUUGGCAGAUCCAAUCAUAUCAAACCCUUUAACCCUUAUAGGACCAGUAGAAUAAUUAUAAAUGACGCUGUAGUUAUUAAUUUGUUCCUCCAUAUACGGCACAAAGUUUUCAUCUAGAUGCAUCAUUUGCUUCAAACUAUUGAUAUAACUAGCCGGUAAAGGGCCACAAAAAUUAUUGUUGGAAAGAUCAAGAAUCUGCAAGUUUUGAAAAGAAUGAUUGGUCCUUGAACCAUAAAUGGAACCAUGGAAGCUAUUUGAAUGUAAUAUAAGAACUCGUAAUCCCGGUAGUGCUCCCAGCCAAUGGGGAAAUGUAUCAUUUAUGUUGUUGUUGCCAAGAUCAAACAGUUCCAGGCUUCUACAAUCUUUGAUAGACUCCGUCAAUGGCCCUUCCAAUAGAUUUCCAUUCAAAUUGAGAUACCUUAGUGCACAAUCUUUGGCAAAUGUUGAAGGAAUGGUUCCAUUAAGCUUAUUCAUCCCCAGGUUCAACACUAAAAGAUUGCUCAACUUCACAAGGCAUUUUGGAAUGGUUCCAACCAAAGAGUUGUGAGACAAAUCGAGAACUGAUAGAAAUUUUACAUUGCAUAUGAAAGAAUUGAUCUCUCCGGUCAAUUUAUUAUUUGAGAUUGAAAAGUAUCUUGUGUCAAGAGGAAGAAUUGGAAGUGAUCCUUGGAUCAAGUUGGAAUGAAGGUCAAGAAUUUUCAUAUUCUUCCAUGGAAGUUGCUCUAAAUAUGUAAGGGAGUUAAGAGAAAGGUUUAACAAGGCCAAAGAGUCUUUCCCUACAUCCCACAUCCAUUUGGGAAUCUGACCAGAAAUUCUAUUGUUGGAAAGAUCUAAAUGCUGCAAACCUUCAGAUCUACUUAAAAAGUGGGGAAAUUCACUAAUGUUGCAAGAAGACAAACGCAAAUAUUGAAGAUUAGGUAAGGCAUAAUCAAGAUCAAUAUCAGAGUUCAGUGAUAGCUUGUUAUAUGAAAGAUCUAAAUGCUGCAAAACUUCAAAUCUACUUAAGAAGUGGGGAAAUUCACUAAUGUUGCAAGAAGCCAGCUGCAAAUACUGAAGAUUAGGCAAGGUAUAAUCAACAUCAAUAUCAGAGUUCAGUGAUAGAGUGUUGUAUGAAAGAUCAAGACCUUCAAGACUGUGAAGUUUCGAUAACAUAUUCAACUCCAGAGAACCACUUAGGUUAUUGGAUGAUAAAUCAAGAUAAGUAAGGUUCACAAGAUAGAAUAUUGAAUUCGGAAUCAGACCUGAAAAGCUUGAGCUAGAGAGGUUGAGAUGCAGUAGAUUCUCCAAUUGACCAAACUGGUCAGGUGAGAUCAUGGAAUUGUAGAAGUAAUUAUAGGCAAGGUUGAGCUUCUGCAGGUGUCGAAGGAGAAAUAGGCUACUAUUGGAAGGAAUGGUACCAUAGAGCCAACUGCAACUGAGGUCAAGGCCGAUCACUUGACCUGUUGCAUUGUCACAACUGAUACCAUCCCAUGAGCAGCAGUCUGUACCUUCCUUCCAUGAAUCCGUUUUAGGAUAAGAUAGGAUGCCAUUAUGGCCACAUUCCUUAGAAGCAUCUUUGUCCAAGGAAAAUGACUUCUUGAAUUGAAUCAAGGCAGCACUCUCUUCGUGAGAACACACUUGUGUUGCUAAAGAAGAAGAUAUGGAGGAUGAAAGAGUAGCUUGAAAAUUCAAGUAAAGCAAAAGAAGGCAGAGAAAUUGAUUGAAACUACGUAAACACUCCAUUUUUCUGAUUCAGAGAAGAUCAAUAAUGGUAUAAUAUAUAUGGAGGAAUAAAGCAGACAUGAAUAUUUAUAAGCUGCCAAGUCAACUAAAGUCUUGCAAGGAAAUUGUCGCGCAAAUUGCUGGAACACAACAUUCAAUCAACAAUAUUGUACUUAAUAUUUUCUACAUCACAUAACUUUCAAUUAAUAUUAAUCCAACGGUCCCUAGCGAAAGAUGAUAAGGAUCAUUGAUUAAUAAGAAGGCAACUAUAAUCAUUCACAUUGAUGUUAAGAGUGUAACCUUUAAUUGCACUGGUCAAGUCUAGCCGUGAAGAACAAAAGAUAAAGGGACGAGUAUUGAAUGAGGUGAUGCCCCGCUGAAUGUAGCACGCCAGCGUAGGCUAAGGAUUAGGGAGACUUCUUUGUCAUGCAGAAAAUUUUGUCAUGCAGGUCCCAUAUCCCAUUGUUGACUAGUUGACUCGGUUAAAGCUAGGCCUAGACAAGUCGUACAUCAGCUCCCAGCCACAAAAGCAGGAGUAAAUUACAAGGAAAAAAUGCACAUGGGAAUGGAUUAGGUCUAGUCGAGAGUAUUAAACACGGGUGAAGAGCACAAGAACACCUUUUUCCAAGGAGGUUGGGGUCACCUUCAAAUGAUAUCAUCUCCGUGCAGAAAAGAAGUUUUAAUUUUUCAAUUCGAUAUCUAGCCAGUGAGUUCGCGAACGAGUUGCCUUCUUUGAAAAUAUGAUGAAAAGAUACCGUAAGGGAUAAUCGCAGUCGAAUGAGGAUUUCUUAUUUUAGUUAGAAUAAUUACUGAUUGAAUUUUAAUUUUUAAUUUGUAAAUAAAUUCUUAACUUUAACAGAAAAUUAAUUAUUAAUUGUUUUAAAAUUUAAUAACAUCUUGUAUUUUUUAUCCACCUAAUGUAUGAUGUGUUUUGACGAUGUAAUCACAUGAUAACAGAGUGACUAAAACCCAAAAUUUGACAAACCUCAACCCUUGGCUUCCUUGCCAGUCGUUGGCAACGCCAUCUAUCGACACCAAAAUUACCUAAAGAAAAUUUUGGAUUCCUUUCCUCCUCUUUUCUUCAACAGGAAUAGAUUUUUUCUUGAAGUCCUUUCUUCUUUUUUUUUUUUCCAAAUCUCAAAAGGAUCGAAAAUCUAAAAAUUCUAAAUCUAGGUUUGGUUUUGUUUUUUAAGAAUUGAUGAAAAUCAAUAUGUUGGAUAGAUUUUUAUUAUUUUAGAACUUUAAUUAGAAACGUAAAUUUAUUAUUUUUGUGGGAAAAGUCACAAAUCGAAAGUACUGUUGUUGGAUAAUUUUUUGAUGAAAUUACAUGAAUAAAUAUAAUUUACAAUCAUAAUCGAACAAUCUUGAAUAUAUGUAUAACAAUCUAUUACAUCCAAUAUAAAAAAUGAAUGAACAGGUGUAAUGGAAUUUCCAUUCAUUGUACACAAAGGCCAUAGACAAUCAACCAACCAACCCUUCUCUAUAUUCUAGUCAAUCCACUACAUAACAAGACUAACAAUGUAAUUCUAUUAUUUGGGAAGACUAAAGUACAGAGGAUUAACAAUGUUACAACAAAGAAAAACAACAUGCUUUAUGUAACCUUAUCAUCAAGCAAAUCAUUUCCCCAAACAUGGAAGUUAUCAUAAACAUGGAACUUGUUUGAACCGUCUAAAAUCUUCUUGCAUUUCUUGUACGAGCUCUUUUCUUUGACCGUGUUGCCUUUUGGUGUAGUCUACCCUCGACCAACAUCACAAACCAUUUAGGUUUUCCGGUUUUGAAGACAACAUGUCCCAUGGCCAAACCAAAUGUCAUUCCACAUCCAUAUCCUAUUAACACAACUUUCCAGCUGAAGGCAUUUGUGAGCUUUGAAUCACCGUGAAAGGUCAUUGACGAAGGAGGUUGUGUCCCUUCAUUGCUGCAAGAUUUUGACAUCGGGAACCCACAUAACCCCAAGUUUCCUUCAUAUGACUCGUUUUCAAAUGUGUUGAACUGUUUGCCUAAGGGAAUUGGUCCUUCAAGUUGGUUGUGAGAAAGGUUGAGGAUGGAUAGGAAAGUCAAGUUUUCUAGUUCUUGGGGAAUCUGUCCGGUUAACUUGUUUGAAGAGAGGUCUAACCACUCAAGAUUUAUCAAACAUCCCAUUGAUGGCGGAAUGUGACCACCAAGAUUAUUAUGGGAAAGAUUGAGUCCUCUAAGUGAGAUUAGCUCUCCAAUAACUUCCGGAAUCUCUCCAUCGAACUUGUUGAGAGAGAGAUCAAUGCUUGUGAAUAUCGUUGAUAUCUUGAUCUCAAUUUCCUCUGCUUUCAUUGUCAAGCUAACAAAACAUUCAUAACGUUUUGCUUCCUGCAUAUAUUGUACAGAACCAGGACUUCCAUUGAGAUAUUUCAAAGCCUCAAAAUUUUUUAUAAACUUGGCUGGCAAGGUACUCCCGAACUCAUUGUUGGAGAGGUCUAAUAUUCGCAACUUGGGGAAAGAGUGACUUGUAUUGGGAUUGCUUAUGAAGCCAUGUAAGUUAUUUGAUCGUAAAAUGAGAACUUGUAACACUGGCAAUGUUUCCAACCAAUUGGGGAAUGUACCAUCUAUUUUAUUGUCACCAAAAUCUAGAACUUCUAUAUCCCUACAGUUUGUCAAAGAUUGUGGUAAAGGCCCAUCAAAUUGAUUGCCAUUCAAGUUGAUGUUCUUCAAUCCACAGCUCUUUGCAAACGUUGUAGGAAUUUUUCCAUGGAAAUUAUUCCUCUCUAGAUUCAACACCAAUAGCGAUUUGCUGAAGUUUCCAAUACAUUGUGGAAUUUUCCCACUCAAUUCAUUAUGAGACAAGUCAAGAACCAUGAGGGAACUCAAAUUGCAAAUAUGAGAAGAGACCUCUCCCGUUAAGGAAUUAUUUGAGAUUGACAAGAAAAGCAAGUUGAUAGGCAAAGUUGGGAUAUUACCAUGAAUCAAGUUGAAGUUGAGGUCAAGAGUCUGAAUGUUCUUCCAUGGAAUUUGUUCUAAAUCUGUCAGAAAGUUGUAGGAAAGAUUCAAGUAGAGCAAAGAGUCCCUUCCUAUAUCCCACAUCCAUUUGGGAAUUUGACCAUAAAUUCUAUUGUUGGAAAGGUCUAAAGCUUCUAAGUUUGUCGAGCCACUUAAAAUUGGGAAUUCACCGAUAUUGAAAGAAGGCAGAUACAAAAUCCGGAGAUUGGGCAAGGUAUACGUGGCACUGAUAUUAGAAUUUAUGGACGACAGGCUGUUGUAUGAAAGAUCAAGCCAUUCAAGAUUCUGGAGUUUCAGAAAAGCGUCCAACUCCACAAUGCCACUCAAGUUAUUUGAUGACAAAUCAAGAUCAGUCAGGUUCACAAGUUCGAAUAUCGACUUUGGAAUUUGACCUUGAAGUUUAUUAUUCCCCAAAGAUAUCCAUGUGAGUGAUUUGUAUUGGAACUCAUUGAUAUGACCAGUCAAUUGGUCAUUGUGGAUAGUUAUGAAUUUUAAUGAUGGAAUGGUAUAUAACCAAGCUGGUAGUGGUCCGUUAAGUAAGUUGUUAGACAGGUCUAGGUCAAUUAGAUUAGGGAAAGCACUUGCUUGAACUGGAAUGGAACCAUCUAGUUGAUUAUCAAAAAUGUACAAGAAUUGGAGUUGUUUUAGGUUUGUGAGUGAAGGAGGUAUCUGACCACUAAAAUGAUUUCUAGAAAGUUCCAAAUAAGUAAGUUGCGACAGAUUUCCCAAUGAUCUUGGAAUUGGACCGGAGAAGUUACAUAGACCAAGCUGCAAAUGCUUCAAGGACCCCAAAUUACCGAUUGAAUUAGGUAAUUUUCCAGCGGAAGAUGUUCCUAAAAGAUUCAAAUACUGGAGGGGACUACUCCAAUUGGACUCUGGGAGAUGGACAAUGAGGUUUUUGUUUUCCUUCAGAUCAAGCAACUUAAGGUUUGGUAGACGGAAAAUGGUUAUUGGGAAGUUUCCUCGCAAAUCAGAACCUCUAAGACUGAGGGAUGUUAACGAAGAAGACAUAUUCAUUAGGGAAACGGGACGGAUGGAAGACAUAUCUACACUAGCAAGAAAAAGUUCCCUUACCUCUGUUAGGUUUUGUAGAAGUCCACUGAAAGUAUUUUCAGUGAGUGCUGGACUGUCAUUCAAGGAGAGAUCAAGUGAAACCAAUUUUGACAAUCUGGAGAUUUCAGGCGGGACUUGCCCCGAGAAAUUUGACAUAGAAAGGUUGAGAUAUGACAAGCUUGUAAACAAACCAAAUUUAGAUGAAAUAAUGGAUUUCUUAAAAUGAUUAUGGGCUAGGUUGAGCUUCUGCAAGUGUGGAAGAAAGAACAGACUACUAUUGCAAUCAAGGGUACCAUACAGCCAGCUGCAACUUAGAUCAAGACCAAUCACUUGGCCUGUUAAAUGGUCACAAGUGACUCCAUCCCACAAGCAGCAGUCUGUUCCCUCCUUCCAUAAAUUUGUUUUAGGGUAAGAUUUGGUGCCAAGUGAUUUGCAUUUUUCAGAAACAGUUUUGUUGAUGGAAAAGGUGUUCUUGAAGUGGAUCAAGGCAACACCAUCUUGGUGAGAGCACAUUGGUGUUGUUGUUGAGGAAGAGGAUAAAGAAGAGAAAAGAGUAGCUUGAAAAUUUAGAAAAGAUAAAACAAGGCAAAGAAACUGACAGACUCUUGGUAAAUACCCCAUGUUUUUGGUUCAAAGAGAAUUUUAGAAUGGUAAUGCAAUGUCGGCAAAGAUUAUUAUUUAUAAGCUAUUAAGUCAAACCAUAGUCUUUUGCAUGCACUAGCCUUUUUUUUUCUAAUUAAAAAUAAUUAAAAAAAUUAAACUUGAAAAUCAACAAAAUAAAUAGAUUGAUAAUACUCUAUUGAUGAGCAUAUUACUAAAAGUUAUUUGUCAAUAUUUUUAUUUUAUUUUGUUAUUUUUUUAAAAAAAAUAAUUUUAUUAAACCUCUCAACGGAAAUUCUAUUGUAAGUUUCAAGUUGGUCUGUCAAAGACUCCCUAUGACAUAAAAAUUCUGAUCAUGACAUAGAUAAUCUUUACACUUAAAAGGUGAUCAUUGCACAAAAAGCUAUUGGGUACUGGUCACACCAAUUUACACAAAAAAGCAAAAGAAAGCUACCUAAGACAAUUUACACAAAAGAGCAAAAGAAAUCUGUCUAACCCCCUCAACAAAAAUUUGGGCAUUCCUUCAAUGAAAUUGCAAUAAAACUAACAGAUCCAACUAAUUGUUACUCAUCAAAAGGAGAGCCAUAAAUUUCAGCUCAAACCUAUACAAAGAAACGUCUCUUGUCCUAAUUCCAAGGCCAAGCUGCACACCUAAUUCCAUUGCAACUCUUCAAAAAUUCACGUCCAAACCAUUCUUGCAUCCAGACACGAAAUGAGACAGAACCACACAUGUCAUUGACAUGACAUCAUUCUUCCUUAAGUGACGCCAUUGGAAAAAAUCAAGGAUAAAGAUUACAUCCUUUGGAACGAAAGCAAUCAUCACCUUUCCAAGGCCUAACGCUCCUUCCUGAUAAUAAAAGUAACAACCACAAAGAAAUCUGAAUGCACAAACAAAAAGAAAACAAUCUGAGGCAGGUCAAGUCUACAAAUCUACAAUUUCCUGAUAAAGGAAAACGAAUCACAACCUUGUCUUUUCAGGUUUAAAAAAUACAUUUAUAAAUGGGACCUGUCAUUCCGUAUUGAUUAGUUAACAUGUGAGUGUCACAUGUCUUUAGCAAAUAAUACUUAAAGACUUUAGAUGAUAUCAUGACUUAGUGCUAAUAAAAUUAUUUUAAAGAAAAUAUAUAUGUCAGUGUGGCAUGCCGGUCAAAAGCUAUACAAAUGUGUUUAUUAAUUAAUGUAUAGCUAUUUCUGAUUGAUUGCUGAGAAGAUGGUGAUGAAGGUAUAGUGCUUUCUUUUUGUAAAGAAAAAGAGAACUUGAAUCCUUAUCUUGGAGGAUCAGACACCUCCUUAGUAGGUGAAACCAAAUCUUCUUCCCCAUUGUCUGUCCUAAUUUCCACAACUUAUGAUACGAUUCAUUUUUUUAUUAUUGUGUCAAUACUUAUUUGGCUUUAGCUUUUAACUUUUGACUGAUAUUUUGUAAAGAGUUCUUAUAGUGCUUGCGAAGGUAAUUUGUUCUCAUUGCCUUUGGAUUAAUUUUGAAGGGUUUUGUCCCCAACAUCACAUCCAUCCCAAAGUGCGAGUCCUUUUAGGUGACAAACAUGAAAACAAAGAAAGAGAACAUCUGGAAGAAUGGAAACAAUCACUACCUUUCUUAUGAUCACUAAGGGUCUGCCUUGGUUACAAAAUAAUAUAUUAAAGGAAAUUAUUAAUUCUGUUUGGUUUAAUCUAUCAUUUUUUAUUUUUGUUUCAAUAAAUAAAAACACAAAAAGACGUUUAGAUUUGAAAAAAUAAAUAAUAAUUUUGAAUAGUUAAAAAUUAAUUAUAAUCUUUCAGAAAAUAAAAUGGAUGAUUCUUUUAUACGAAGCUGAAUUUCAUUAGAAAGGAAAACGAGUUACUCUAAAGUUAAUAAUUAGAUGUUGCGAAGUAGUUUUGCAAUGAAAUUUAGAGAUGUUUAUGUGCUGGUUGUGCCCGCUUGACAUAUUGAAAAAAAUUAAAAUUUCAGCCCAAUUUGACUAUUUAUGUUUAAAAUAUUAAAAAAAUUAUAUUAAUAUUUUAUAUUUUUAAAUACACUUUAAAAUUAAAAAUAAAAAUUUUAUAUUAAUUAUUAAUUUAAUAACAGUCUAGGGUCGAGUCGAGUUUAAAAUUAAAAAAUCAUGUCCACACUUAAGUUAGUCAGACUCAAAUCUAAAAAAUCAUGUCCACAACUAAUCUAAGUUAAAUUUUGUUUUUUUAUCCAUCAGAUUAUGAGUUUAUUAAUGAAAGAGUCUUCGACAGACUCGUAUCCAUGGCCUUAGUGUGAUAAUCACACCCAGCCAAGACAUUUCAUUACAAGCACCCCACAAGGGCUAUAAACGUCUUCAUCACCUUAACCAGAUCUAUGAGUACCUCUAUCAUGGAUGUUGCAUUUUAAUUUCUUAUUUAUUUUUAAUCAAUUACGAUUUUUUUUUUACCAUUUGUUGUUUUGCCUUUUUAACAAAUAAUUAUGAAACAAAUUAAAAUAGCUCAUACGGAACUAAAUGGAUAACCAUUUUUCAUAAUAUAUUUUGCUUUCUUUUAUUUUUGGGCAAUAUUUUGCUUUCUUUUUGACCUGUUUUAUUGUAGCCCUAGAAUUCAAGCCAUCAAAGAAUCAGCAAAGAGCGCAAUAAACUUUUUGUCAGAUAUGGAGUUUUUUAAAAACUUUUAUUGCGAUUAAUCAGAUAGUAAUUUAAGAAUAAAAUGAUGCUGAUAAGCUCAACUAGAAAGUCCAUAGUGCUUUCCAAAUCAGAAGCCAUCAUCUACCUCCCCAAGCAUACUCACGCAAGCCAACCCCACAAGUCGUGAAGCAUGCUCUCCUUCGGACAUAUUUUAAGGUUUAAAAUAGAUUCAAAUUUUGGGACCCUCAUUGCACUUUGAUUCAAACUGGUAGGUUUGUUUAGUAUGUCAGUUACAAACUUAUAUGUAUAUUUUCAAAGCUCCAUGAAUUUGAUUACUAAAGAAACAAAGAUGAUCAUGAUCCAAUAUCUCAAUUGUAUGAAAUAUAAUUUUGAAGAAAGAAAAAUUCAAACCCAGUUCUUAAUUUAUUUGUUAUCUUGGUCGAAUACCUGCUCAAGUGCAAAGGCUUAUGGUAAGUAUAUACAUCUUCCUAGUCAAAUACUUCAAAUCAAGUCCUCCUCUCUUUUCUCACGUCAAAAAGAAAAUCAAAGAAAAUUUCCGUGAUUUUAACGGAAAUGAAAAGAACAGGAAAGAACAAAGUCAAGUCUUCUCCGGUGCAUUCCUUCCAUGUUAAAUUAUAGUUUAAUUUACAAUUGAGACCUCCAUUGCCACAAAAUUUAUAGUAUAAUUUAACAUGUAAGUGUUCAACUAGUCAAAAAGCAAAUGAAUAAUAUAUCCAUAAAAGUCAUGCUUUUAUCGGGAAAAAUUAUAGUCAUGAUUCUUGNNNNNNNNNNNNNNNNNNNNNNNNNNNNNNNNNNNNNNNNNNNNNNNNNNNNNNNNNNNNNNNNNNNNNNNNNNNNNNNNNNNNNNNNNNNNNNNNNNNNUGAAGGCACCGUGUUGACUUGGAAAGAAGUUGGAAUUUGUAGCAUUCUGGACAAUACACAGCAAGAAUUCCAUUUCUCUCAUUUCGGUUGCUUCAGAUUUCACUUCUCUAAAAAAUCUCAUCAUUUUUUUAUAAUUCCCAAUGUCACAUGCAAGUCAAUCUAAAUUAGCAGAGGUUGAAAAUAUUGUUGCAUUAUAUAUGGCUGGAAUUCAAUACAAAAUGUGUUAAAAAUUGAAAAAUAAAGUUGAGUAUAGCUUAUUGAAACAAAACAAGAUGGUGAACUUUAUUACAAGGUACAAAUAUAUAUUAUUACUACAACGUAGGGUAGCAUGGAAUGGAACACCAUUUAGCCAAGACUUUCAUUCCAAAAAGCACUGGCAAAAUAUGGAAGGCCGCCCCUAUUGUAACUAGUUACUUCUUUCGAAACGACUACAAGCAUUUUUUCUUCCUUGAUCUUUUCCCCUUUUGAAGCUGUUUUCCCUCGACCAAAUUUAUAAUCCAUUUUGGUUUUCCUGUUUGGAAGACAAGAUAUCCACCAGUCAGUCCAAAUAUCAAACCACAUCCAUACCCCAUCAACACAACUUUCCACCCAAAUCCAAUUCCUGAUUCUUUCAUCGCUUUGGUGGGCUUUUGCAUCCCGAUUUCAUUGCAAGCUUUCGACAGUGGAAAGCCACAUAACCCAACGUUUCCUUCAUAUGAACUGUUUUCAAAAGUGUUGAAUUGUUUGCCUUGAGGUAUAGAUCCAACAAGUUGAUUCUUGGAAAGAUUUAAAAUGACAAGAAAUGUCAAAUUUACCAAUUCCCAAGGUAUCUUGCCAAUAAGCUUGUUCGAUGAGAGAUCUAACCAUUCAAGAUUGGUCAAGUUUCCAAUGGAUGGUGGAAUAUGACCAAAGAAGUUGUUAUGAGAAAGAUUCAGCCCUAUGAGUGAAUUAAGCUUUCCUAUAACUUCUGGAAUCACGCCCUGGAAGUAGUUAUUGGAGAGAUCAAUGCUUGUGAAUAUGGUUAAAACUUUCACCAAUUCAACCUCUUGUCCUUUUAUUGUCAGAACUACUGAAUAGUCAUAUGAGCGGCUUCCUUCCACGUAUUUUGAAGAACUUCUGCUGUCAGUGUGAUUCGCCAUAGCUUUUAGAUUUUCAAUGUAACAAGCAGGAAAAGGACCAACAAAAUCAUUGUUAGCGAGGUCUAAGACUCGUAGCUUGGGGAAAAGUAGUCUUGCUCUGGAAUUAUUUACAACACCAUGGAAUUUAUUUGAACUCAAAACAAGCACUUGCAGCAUUGGAAGAGUUUCCAACCAAUUGGGAAAUGUACCCGUGAACUUGUUCUUGCCAAGGUCUAGAACCUUCAGGUUCCUACAAUUGGCCAAAGAUCUUGGUAACAACCCUUCCAUUUGGUUUCCAUGGAAGUUGAGAUUCUCUAAGCUACAGGGUUCCACAAUUGAUUUGGGGAUGGUUCCAUGAAAAUUAUUUGCCCUCAGAUCCAACACUAAAAGAUUUUUACUAAAGUUAAGAAGACAACUAGGAAUCUUGCCACUCAAGUUGUUAUGUGAUACAUCAAUAAUUUUCAGGGAACUGACCGUGCAAAUCAAAGAAGGAAUCUCCCCCGUCAUGUCAUUGUUUGCAAUGGAAAAGAAAGAAGUCCGAACGGGUGGAAUUGGAAGCACUCCUUGAAACAGGUUAGAUUGGAGGUAGAGAAUUACAACAUUCCUCCAUGGGAAUUGCAAAUGACCUGUUAGAAAAUUAUGAUCAAGGUAUAAAUGUAACAAAGAUUCCUUCCCCACAUUCCACAUCCAUUUGGGAAUCUGGCCUUGAAUUCUAUUUUUGGAAAGGUCUAAAAACUUCAACCCUUUUGAACCUCUCAAGAAAUUGGGGAAUUCACUCAAGUUACAAGACGACAAUGACAAGGACUGGAGAUUGGUUAAUGUGUAGUUGACAUGAUUCUCUGAGCUCAAUGACAGACUAUUAAGAGAAAGAUCGAGUGAUUCAAGAUUUUGGAGCUGCGAAAACAUGUCUAACUCAACAAUGCCACUAAAGUUAUUUAAAGAUAGAUCAAGCACGGUGAGGUUUACAAGUUGAAAGAUUGAGCUUGGAAUAUGACCCUGCAACAUGUUUUUUUUUAAAUAGAUUAUGGACAAAGAUUUUGACUGGAAUUCGCUAAUAUGACCGUUGAGUCUAUUAUUUGCAAGAGACAAUGACUGUAAUGAAGGUAACUUAAACACCCAAGGUGGUAUAGUUCCAUUAAGUAAGUUAGAAGGCAAGAAUAAAGUUACUAAUUUUGAAAGCCCAUUUGCAUAAUGAGGAAUAGUGCCCUCUAGUUCAUUAUAUGACAAGUCUAAAUGUUGAAGCUGUGUGAGGUUUGCAAGAGAUGCUGGGAUCCAUCCACUAAACUUAUUAUCCGAGAGCUCUAGGACAACAAUUUGUGAAAGGUUUACAAGUGAUGCCGGGAUUGACCCAUUCAAGUCACAACUAGCAACAUUUAAAGAUUUCAAUGACUUCAAACUCCUGAUUGAAUCAGACAAUUCUCCAACAAGAAUAGUCUGUUUAAGAUCUAAGACUUCAAGGGUACUAGUCCCAUUGGACUUUGGAAGAUAAACCAGAAGAUCAGGGUUGUUACCUAAUUUGAGCAACUUCAGAUUUGGAAAUUGAAAAAUUAUGUCCGAAAUUGUCCCAUUUAAUCCACAAUCAUCCAGACUAAGAGAUGUCAAAGAGGAAGAAAGGUUCACUAAGUGAACAGGGUCAACUGAACACAUGUCUAUUCCAGCAAGGAAAAGUUCUUCUACCUCGCUAAAGUUCUGAGCUAACCUUUUCAGAGUUGUUGUUUCAAGCUUCAGUGCAUGAAACGGUUCUUGUUCACCGACACCAGGCAGACUGAACCUAGACAGAUCAAGUGAAACUAGCUUGGAAAGAUGUGAGAUUUCGGAUGGAACUUGGCCUGAAAAAAAUGAACUAGAGAGGUUAAGAUGUGUUAAAUUUGGGAACUGACCAAACCUAGCUGAAAUCUUGGAUUGCCCGAAAUUGUUAAAUGCGAGAUUGAGCCUCUUCAAGUGUUGAAGGAGAAAAAGAGUGCUGUUGGAAGGAAUGGUACCAUAAAGCCAACUGCAACUAAGAUCAAGGCCAAUCACAUGACCUGUAACGCCAUCGCAAGUGACUCCAUCCCAUAAACAGAAAUCUGAAUCUUCCUUCCAUGAGUCUGUCUUAGGAAAAGAAUACGUAGGACUGCCAUAAUUUGAAUUGCAAAGUAACGAAGCAGUAUGAUCAAUAAAGAGGGUCUGCUUGAAGAGAAGCAAAGCCUGACCCUCGUUGUGAGACCAUGUUGGCCUUUGUAUUGAAGAAGUAGUAAAACAGGACGAAAUGUAAGCUUGAGAAUACAAGUAAAAAAAGAGGAAUGAGACGAAUUGAUAACUCCCAAGAAAAGACCUCAUUUUUCCCUAUGUCAAAGUGCAUAUAAACUCUUGAUUUGGUUGAUGAGGAGACGCAUAGAAGUAUUUAUAAACUAAGUAGCAAGGGCAAUUCUUAAUUUUUCUGUUUUCUCAAUCAUAUUUUUAUACUGAAGAGUGACGGAUGAACUAACGCACGCAGAAGACUAACAACAGAUUCUACAUUAUUACAAUAGGGAAGACUCAAAUGAGAAAUGAUGUCAGGUUAUGAAAUCCUGAAAUAUUGGGGGAGGUAGCAACACAGAUUUUCUUGGAAGAUUCAAAUUACAAUUCCCUUUCAGGGUGGAUUUGUUUUUGGCCACCUCUAAGAAAGCUUGAAUUGCUGCAUAUCGAAAGCAAGCAUGAAAGGGUUUUCCUCGUCAAGAAAUCUAGAAAAAACCAGAGUAGUGCAUUCAGUGUUUCAGCGUUGUGUUAAAAUUGAAAUAUGCAGAAGCCACAGUUAAUUACUUAAUGCAUUAAUGAAAGAAGUUAGUGAAUAACUAAUACACAAAAAAGGUUUCAAAAUAGUUUGGAUUAAGUCAUCUUAUAGGCUAACUUCCAUUUUUAAAUCUUAUAGGCUUGUUUAAAUUUGAGUAUAAAGCUUAUUUUUUUCUAUGAGUAUAAAAUCCAAUUUAUUAAUUUGGCUCAAGGUCAAUCUGUUAAUUGGGUUUAAAGCCUCCAAUGCUAAUUGGGUUAAAUGGGUCAGUUGCAUCUCGAGUUGACAAGUCCACAUUAAAAAACGAAAAUAAAUACAUAAAAAAGUAAAACAUAAUAAUAAAAUACAAAAAAUAAAAAUGCUAAUAAAAACAUAAUAAAAAAACAAAAAAGAGAGAAAUAUGGCUGUUGUCAUACCUAAUAAGAAAUGAAAAUGAAUGAAAGGUUUAAAAUUGCAUCCCUUCUUAUAAGAUAUCAAUUCAUAAAAUUUUUCAAGAAAAUGGGAAUUAAUGCUAAAUCAAAAAAAAAAGUUCUCAAUAUUUAAACAAUAAUUAUAAAAGAAAGUUAAAAUAAUUAAAUAUGAAACUAAGAAUGAUUUGUCAAAAGUUAAAAUAGAGUAAUACAUGAUUUACCAGUACUGUUCUUUAAACAAGUGUUAUAGCAGUGCUCAUACUUUCAUUAUACAUAAUUGUACUAACGAAUUUUUAAAAUUAUUUCAUAAAUCGGAUAUUAUUUUUUAAAUAAACUUAAAUCAAGUUUAAAAUAUCAUUAGAAAAAAUAAAUUCAAAUAAGUGAUUAAUUACACUUAAAUAAAAAUAAUUAAUAGUGACUCCUCACCUAAAACAAUCGGUCCCUAGACUCAUACAAUACAAUUUCUAUCUAUCACAAUAAAAUCAACACAAAGUAAAAAUUGGUCAGCCACUAUUCAAUUAAAUAAUUCUGAAAUUGCCUAAUUGAGUUGCGCUUAAACCCACUUGAAAGUGGGAAGCCCAAUCUCAAGUCUUGCAACAAUUUCAUCUUCAAACACAAAUGAUGGAAUUCUGGCAUAACUCAUACAAAUAAAAGAAAAAAUCAAUUAACGUGGGGGGAAUCUUCUAGAUGGUCAAAAAUGGGUCAUUUAUUUCUUCCCAUUGCAGGUUCAGUACAUUCUUCAAAUUAAGAGUCUCCAUUUGUCAUGCAUCCCAAUGUUAAUGGUAUUCUUUAUUUUUCAUAAAAUUUAAACUUAUCACUCUAUUUAAAGUAAUAGAUUAAAUUAACCACUCAUCGUUCAAUAAGUGUAAUUUUAUCAUAUGCUACUACAUAAUACUUUUUAAUGUGAUUCAAAUAUGAUAAAAAAUUAAAAUAUUUUUUAGAGUAUUCUUUUAUUUCCUCUCGAAAUAUUUUUUUAAAUGGUUAACCUUUGAUUUUUUUAACUAAAUUAAAAUGUAAAAAAGAUACAAUUAUACUCUUUUAAAAACAAAUGAAAAUUUUGAUUUUUCUCUCCUGGUUUGCAUUUUUUCUAUUUGCUUUCCUUCUACUUAACACAAGCAUGGAAUUGCCUGUUUGUGGAAAUUCGGCUCUAUGUUUAAAGAAAUUCUAUUUUUACAUUCAUCAUCAAAGCAUAUGAACAUGCUACAAGUACAACAUAGCUGUUCAGAAAGGACAGUACCUUUAGGAAACAGGAAAGUAAAAACAAACAGGGAGAAAACUGCUAAAACAACCCAAGUCAUGAGAACAAAAGACACUUAUUAUACAAAAAUGGAUUCAACAAAUCUCCAGAGAGCAUCAGCUGUCUUCACAGAGUUCUUCAAUCAUAUCUCUUCAAUCUCCUCAGAAUUUUGUAGCCUAGUCUUUGAACCAUCCUAACAAGCCAUUCUGGUUUUCCAAUUGUCAAUAUGAUAUAUCCUGUAGAUAAGCCAAGCACCAAUCCACAUCCAUAACCCAUCAUUACAAAUUUCCAAUCCAAUGGACAAGAAUAAAUUCCUUAUGAAAAGCAGAUUCCGGUGGUUCUUGUUCCUCACCCUUGCCACAACUCUUUGACACUGGAAAUCCGAACAAUCCCAAGUUGCCAUCAUAGGAAUCAUUCAGAAAGGUAUUUAAUUGAUUUCCCUGAGGUAUGAGUCCAACAAGCUGGUUCUGUGACAGGUUUAAUACUUCAAGAAAUUUCAAACCAAUCAACUGCAUAGGAAUCUCCCCAACAAGCUUGUUGGUAGAGAGAUCCAGUGACUCAAGUGCUGUUAGAUUUCCCAGUGAGGAAGGAAUAUGACCUGUUAGGCUGUUAUGGGAAAAAUUGAGCAAUUGCAAAGAAAUGAGGUUUCCAACUAUUUCUGGAAUUCCUCCAUGGAAUUUGUUGCUUGACAUAUCAAUGGUUGCAAAAAGAGUUAGAACUCUCUCAGGUUCAAUGUCCAAACCUUUCAUUGUGACAAGCACAGAAAAAUGAUAAUAACGAUUCAAAUCUUGUAAAAACUUUGAUUAAGCUCAAUUAAUUAGGAAAAGAAUGAAGGACAGAGGAGCUGGCAGAAGAAAUUUGGGAUAGAGAAAAUUGGAGAUCAAAACUCUAUAGUCAUCUUUUUUCUCAGGUGUGUACAUAUGAGUAAUAACAAACCAAGCCGAAAAACUCAGACAUUGAGGAAAUGAAACUUAAAAGAGAAAAGAGCUAAGCACAGGAAUCCAGACAUGGAUUUCUGUGCACUACAACGGCCUUCAACAGCUAAGAGAAAAGUAAAGCAAAGAAAUAAAACGUGGCUUUUCAGCCCUACUUUCAGUCAAAUAAAACGGCACUAACAAGGGGCAUGUCUAACUGUUAAUUAAUUUCGUUGAAAAUUCGUUAAAAAUUUCAUCUUCAGAACAUAUGACUAACUGUUAAUUAUUUUCAAUAGAUUUUCAACGAAAUUUUUCGUUGAAAAUUUUUGUUGAAACCUUAAAAAUUUCUAUGUUAUCUUUAUCUUUUCCAACGAAAAAUUUCAUUGAAAAUUUCCAAUGAAAUUUUUCGUUGGAACCCUAUACUUUUCCUAUGUAAUCUUUAACUUUUGUAACAAAAUUUUCAAAGGAAUUUUUCGUUGGAAAGUAACUUUUGAAAGCAUCAAAACUUUUAUGACUUUUUAAACUUUUUAACGGAAUUUUCCGUUGAAAAAUUUCGUUAGAAAUAAUCAUAAUUUUUCCAGUUAUAAAAAUUUAAAAAUUUUUAUAAUAAUUUUUUUAAUUAUUUUUUAAAAAUUAGAUAUUACUAAAACCAAAUACAUAGUUAUUGAAGUUAAAUUUUUUUAAAGUUUAAAUAUGUUUUCCUUUGAGUAAUUUGUAUAAUUUUUUUAACUUUAAUGAAUCAUACAAUAUUGAUUAAUAAUACCAAAUUAGGGUAAUGUUAUAUUAUUCCAAAAUUUAAAAAAAUAACUAUGUAAAAUUUUAAAUUUUAUAAAAAACCAUGAUAAGUUAUAAANGUUGAAAAAGUUAAAGAGUAAAUGAUGCAUUGAAAAAAGUAACUUUUUAACGAAAUUUUUCGUUGGAAAGUAACUUUUGAAAGCAUCAAAACUUUUAUGACUUUUUAAACUUUCUAACGGAAUUUUCCGUUGAAAAAUUUCGUUAGAAAUAAUCAUAAUUUUUCCAGUUAUAAAAUUUAAAAUUUUUAUAAAUUUUUUUAAUUAUUUAAAAAUUAGAUAUUACUAAAAGCAAAUACAUAAUUAUUGAAGUAAAAUUUUUUAAAAGUUUAAAUAUGUUUUCCUUUGAGUAAUUUGUAUAAUUUUUUUAACUUUAAUGAAUCAUACAAUAUUGAAAUAUAAUACCAAAUUAGGGUAAUGUUAUAUUAUUCCAAAAUUUAAAAAAAUAACUAUGUAAAAUUUUAUAUUUUAUAAAAAAACCAUGAUAAGAUAUAAAAAUCAUAUAAAAAAUUAUAUAUUACAUUAUUUACGUUUUAAUUGUAAUUAGCUAAUAUAUGUAAAUUAAGAUUGAAGUUUUAUAAUAAAAUUAUUAAUAUUUGUGCUUAAAAAAUAUCAUUUUAUUAUAUGAGAUAUAUUAAAUAAAGGUCUACAUAUAUAUAUAUAUAAUUUAUGUAAGAUUAUAGUAAAUUUCAUUUAGAUGAUUAUAAUUAUUAAUGUAAUAGGAUAAAAAUCAUACAUUUUAUAAAAAUCAUAUUGAUAAUUAAUUAUACAAAUUUGGUUAAUACAUAUCAAUGUAUAACCUAUAAGUUGUGAUCAUUAUAUAUGUAUAUAAAAAAUUUAGUCAUAUCUGACUAUUACUUAUAUUGAGUAAUAUUAAAAAAAAAACUUUUUGAACGAAAAUAAAAUAAAUCUAAAAGUACUAUUAUUGUCAAGACUUGAACCUUUACCCACAUGUUAAAAGAGUUAAAAGAUAACCAUUUCUUCCACUAGCCCAUACUUAAAACUUAUCUCCCAAAUUUAAUUGGGUAUUAAACCAAAAUGAAUAUUAGUUGCCUUUGGCCCAAUACGUCGCCUUUCUGCCAAAAUUAGGUCCCCUUAACCCUACGUCAAAACCAUGUAGUUUUAAUCCAUAAAACCCUAGCUAUAAAGUUGCAAAUUUCUCCCCAAACCUGACUUUUGAAUUGCCAUUUUCUCUCUUUACCCGCGGCGCUCUCCCCUCUCUCUAAAACCUUUGCUCAACUUCCACGGCGUUCCCGGUGCUGUCCCGUUGCCGAUGGCCUGACUCCGGUUCCGACGUUGUCCUAUUUUAACAGCAAUCGGUCUCUCUCCGUCACCUUUGGCCCCGUCGUCCUGUUGCCAUAUUCUCUAGUUUGAACCUUUGCCGUCAUGACUUAAACACUCUUUGAAUGAAUCUGUCCCCGUCGCCUUAGUCCCCCUGGUGCUGCCUUACUCAUCGUCCGAUCCCUUCCACAAAUCGAGCCCUAGGGGUUAAUUUUGUAUACCUUGUUUAUUUGAUUUUUAUCAAUAUUUGUUUAUCAAUUGUUGCACCCUAGGUAUUUUUAAUGAUGUUAUUGUGUUUUAAUUAUUUGAUUUAGGGUUACAAGCCUAAACGUUUCAUUGCUUUAAUUUCAGUCAAAGGCUAAGGUCGACUCUGGAAGCAUAAAAACAGUGUUCAGUCUGCUUCAAAACAAGAUUGGGUUUUGGUAUAAUUUUGCAGGUGACUAAGAUGUAUAGAUAAGCAAUUAAAUGUUGGUAUUUGAGAACUGACCACCCCUGUUUUAAUUAUUUGAUUUGCUAUUACAAGCCUAAACGUUUGACAUAUUUAAAUGUUGGUAUUUGACAUAUUAUUUGAUUUGCAUUAAAUUUAGUUAAAAUUUUUAUCAAUAGUUUAUAAACAUAAAUAAAUAUGAUGUUUAUUAUAUUUUAAUGCAAUUUGGAUCAUCUAGCCGACUAGCCUAAUAUCUUAUUAGCCGAUUGGGAUCAAAAGCAAUUAACAUAUUUUACCUCAAGCCCAAAUAAAAUUAAGGCCCUAAUUAUAAUUUCCACUUUAAGUCUUAUAAUAUAACGCUUGAAUUUAUAGCCCAAUUUUAAAUUUCAAAAUAAAAUUGUCAUAACCAUAUGAAAUAAUUUAAAAUUUUGAUAUUUUAAAAAAUUGUAAUAAAUUGGAAAUUGCAUGGGUUAAUGAUAUUUAAAAGAAAGGGUAAACAUCAUGUAUAUAUAAUUUCAAUUCAAACUUAAUGUACAGUCACCAAUUUUAAGAUGCAGGUGUGAAUCUCUAAUUAAAGCAAUUUAAUGUGCAAAUAAAUAUAAACCAUCUACCUAGGUUUUUUGAUAAUUCAUGUAUGCAAUAAUUUAUACUAUAAGGGCUACUUUGCAUCUUACAAUGUAAUUUUGAAUAUAUUUAUAUAAAAUACAUAUUGAAAUGUAGGGUUUAACAAAUUGUUUUGUUACCAUCAAUACAAAUUAGUCUUGAUAAUGAUAUUCUAUGACACUUAGGAUUACAGAAUGUUGAGAAAUCGCUCUUGGAUGUACCGUCGAUUACAGAAUGCAUUCAUUACAGCUGAAUUUGUAAAUGGAGUUACUGAAUUUAUUAAUUUUGCAUGUUUGAAGACUACAUUUAUGUGGAAUAAUAAAAUUAGAUGUCCUUGCACACGAUGUAGUAACAACAAGUUCUUAGAUAAAGAUAAAGUCAUAGAACAAAUACUAAAUCGGGGUUUUACUAGGGCUUACACAAUUUGGAGUUUACAUGGGGAAGAUGAUGUUGGACAAUCAUCGAGAAGUAGAUCUAGAGUUGAACCAUCCCUUAGAUUUGAGGAAGAUGCUGCUUUUCGAGAACCUACAUAUGAAGAUGAAAUAGAAAAUCCAUAUACUAGAAUGGUUAGGGAUGCUAUGCAUACCGAAGUUGCUUUCAACCAUGGUUCUGAAAAUGAGUCGAGCUUUGUGGAAGAAGAUCCCAAUCCAAAUGCAUCUACCUUUUACUCUUUGUUAAGCAAUGUAGAGGAACCUUUGUGGGUAGGUUGCACAAACCACACAACGCUUUCAACUGUGUCGCAACUUUUAAAUGUUAAGGUGGAGUACAAUUUGAGUGAAUCGUGUUUUGAUCGACUAUUGGAGAUAAUAAAGAAUAUGUUGCCAUCUGAUGAGAAGUUACCUAUCGACUUUUAUAGGAUGAAGAAGAAGGUAGCAAAGCUUGGUUUGGGAUAUGUAAAAAUUGAUGCUUGCAAGAAUAAUUGUAUGUUAUUUUAUGAGCGAUUUGCUACGUUUGAGCAUUGUCAAGUAUGUGGACAUCCUCGGUAUAAACAGAGGAAUUCAAGUGUGAGAAGGCAGAAGAAAAUUCCUUACAAGAUUUUGCGUUACUUGCCACUUAUACCGAGGCUUCAAAGGCUUUAUAUGUCAUGUAAAACUGCUGAACAUAUGACAUGGCAUGCGCAACACCAAAGUGAUGAUGGACUGCUUAGACACCCUAUUGAUGGUGAGGCUUGGCAACACUUCAACCGAACACAUGAAUUCUUUGCAAUGGAACCUCGAAAUGUAAGACUCGGGUUAUGUGCUGACGGUUUCAACCCUUUUGGAUCGAUUGCCAACCCUUAUUUUCUUUGGCCAGUAAUGCUUUGUGUGUAUAAUUUACCCCCAUAGAUGUGUAUGAAACAACAAUAUAUAUUUCUUAACAUGGUUAUUCCGGGUAAGAAAAGUCCAAGUCAAAAUAUAGAUGUGUUCUUGAGGCCUUUGAUAGAUGAGUUGACUUUAUUGUGGAGAGAAGGUGUUAUGACCUAUGAUGCAUAUAGGAAACAAAAUUUUCAGUUGAGGGCAGCAUUAUUGUAGACAAUUAAUGAUUUUUCUGCUUAUGGUAUGUUGUCAGGGUGGAGUACACAUGGACGAUUAUCAUGUCCAUAUUGCAUGGGACAUUCUAAAUCUUUCAUAUUGGAACAUGGUAGGAAACCUUGUUUCUUUGAUUGUCGUCGGUAAUUUUUGCCAGCCAAUCAUCCUUUUAGGAGCCAGAGAGACAAAUUUAUUAAAAAAAGAGUUGAACAUGACUUACCAUUUCCUCGAUUAUCAGGCGAAGAAAUAUUGACACGUUUGAAUUCGCUUCCUCAUCUCCCAUUCGAAACAAAAUGUGAUGAGCGAAAGAGUUCAGGUUAUGGUGUUUUUCAUAAUUGGGUGAAGAAGAGUAUAUUUUGGGCUCUACCUUAUUGGCAUACGCUUCUUAUUCAUCACAAUUUAGAUGUUAUGCAUAUUGAACGUAAUUUUUUUUAGAAUAUACUCAACACAGUGAUGGAUGUUAAAGGAAGGACAAAGGACAACAUAAAGGCACGACAAGAUUUGAAGGUGUAUUGCAAGCGGCCAGAAUUGAAAUUGGUGGAAAAUCAUGAAAAACUGUACAAGCCUAAGGCUGCGUACACAUUAAAUAAGGAGGAAAUAAGAAAUGUCUGUUCUUGGGUUAAACAAUUGAGAUUACCAGAUGGUUUUGCGUCGAACAUUUCUCGGUGUGUUAAUGAGAUUGAUGGCAAAUUUUAUAGGAUGAAAAGUCAUGAUUGUCAUGUUUUUAUGCAACUAUUGCUCCCAAUUGUAUUCCGUGAUAUGCUGCCUCAAACAAUUUGGGAUGCAAUUACUGAGAUAUCUCAAUUUUUUAGGGAUUUGUGCGCAACUGAAAUACCUAUGAUCAUAUGGAAACAUUACAAGGAAAAAUAUGUGAAACUUUAUGCAAACUAGAGAAGAUAUUUCCUUUGGGUUUCUUUGACUCUAUGGAACAUUUGCCGAUUCAUUUACCUUACGGGGCCAAGGUUGGUGGACCCGUCCAGUAUCGAUGGAUGUAUCCAUUUGAGAGGUAAAAUAAUUGCUAUUUGUUUUCAUAUAUUUCUUUUGAAGAGUUUAAAGUACAUCAUAAGAUUGAUGAAUAUUGUGUUUAUUAGGUUUUUGCAACAGUUGAAGAAGAAAGUAAAAAAUCGUGCCUCUAUUGAAAGAUCUAUAUGUGAGGCUUAUGUUAUCGAGGAAGUUUCCUCGUUCUGCUCAUGGUAUUUUGAACCUGCUAUGCGAACAAGAGUAAAUAGAGUGCCACGUAAUGAUGAUGGGGGAGAGGUGGACUCUAUGGAUCGUCUUUCAAUUUUCACUCACCCGAGGUGAGCUUUUGGCCCAUCAGAUAAAUCUCGAUUUUUAGAUGAGGAUGAGUUUUAUGCUGCUGAGUUAUAUGUUUUAAUGAAUUGUGAAGAGAUGCUCUCAUAUAUAAAGUAAGUACCAUUACAUUUUUAACUUGAUAAUACCCUAUAAUAAGAUUGAAGUUAAUCACGUAGUCAUGGAUAUUAUGAUAGGAUAUUUGAUGAAAUUGUGAAGGGAGAUGUUGUGGGAAUUUCGAAAGACGAAUUGGAGAAAGUACGUGAUGCGAGAUUCGUUAAAUGGUUUAAAAAUUAUGUAAGUUUCCUUAACAUACAAGUGAACUUUUAAUUAAUCAUUGACGAAUAAAUUAUGUAAUUUAUUAUUUUAUUCUCUUGUAUCUCAUGUUCGUAGGUUGCAAAGCAUAAUGAGGAAAUAGACCAACGUAUAAUUGAAAUCUCUUAUGGUCUCGGACGUAUGAUAAGGUGUUAUAGUGGAUAUUUUGUAAAUGGUUUCAAGUUUCACACCUUAGAUUACAGCCAAAAUCGUAAGACAAUGAAUUGUGGGGUUUGCAUAAAAAGGAGUUUUUACAAUGAUCAUGAGCGUGACUUUUAUGGCAUCUUAGUAGAUAUAAUCGAGUUGGAGUAUUUUGGUAUAGGAAACAGAGUUGUUCUUUUCAAGUGUCAUUGGUUUGAUACUGAAAAAGGAAUAACGGUAGAUCGAUUGCAUGGUCUUGUUGAUGUGAAUUACAACUCAAUACUGGCUAGUAAUGAACCAUUUGUUUUAGCUGCCCAAACUCACCAAAUUUAUUAUAGUAGUUAUCCAUCAAGAAGAAGAGAUCAACGUGAUUGGUGGGCAGUAUUUAAGACAAAAGCUAGGAGUAUAUUUCAAAUUCCUAUUAGUGGUGAUAGAGAAAAUGAAAGUGAUUUGAAUGAAGGAGUAUACCAAGAAGAUGUGUCCAAUUCAAUUACUAGUACUCAAUCAGAAGAAGUUGAUUUAACAGAGUUAGCGAGUGGUGAUUAUGAAGAGGUUAAUCUAUCGAUUGAGGAUGAAGAAGAUCAUAUCGAUAAAGAUGAAGAUGAAGAAGAUGACAUGGAAGGAGAAGAUAAUGAAGAUGAUGAUAAAGAUGAAGAUGAAGAUGAAGAUCAUGUGGAGCACAAUGAUGGUGAAACUUAUAAUGAUGAUAGUGAUAAUAAUGUAGAAAAUGAGUUUGAUUAUUCAGGAAGUGAAUGAUGACGGUAGGCACGUAAGAUAUUGGUUUCAUAUUUUCUUUUGACGGUAGUGUUUGACUUUAAUUUUAUAAUAUUACAGUAUUUUGACAUGAUGUAAAAUUAUAACGUUUGCGUUAAAAUCAAUAUAUAAAUGUUGAAAUUAGUUAAUAUAUAAUUGCUGCUUUGCUUCUAAUAAUUAAGAAUUAACGGGUGUCAUUGUUGUGAAUUGAUGUUUUUUAUUCUGUUAUAAUAAUAAUCAUAUUAAUAAUAAUUGCUAAUGGGAUUUUAACAAUACAAUAUUGUAGGAACGAUGGUUAAAGGGAAGCAAUCAAAACUGAGACCUAAGUCUUCAUAUGCAUCGGCAACUAUGGUUGUGCCUACAAGUUCCCAAGCAUCUGAUGAUAUAUCCAUUCCACAACAGGUGCAGCAAGAGAAUAAUGAUGCGCCAUUUGAGACACAGUCUUUAUACGAUGCAUUUGCAGAGCAAGUAGAAAAUGAGACAUCUACACAUGAUAUUACAAGAUCCCCAUCUAUUGAUUUAGGUGGAAAUGCAAAUGAGACAUCGUCAAGAUCAAGAAGUAGGGGACCCAGUGUAGGAUUACAGACUCUUGUAGAUCCAUCGGACAGAUUGCGUAUAACUCCUAUUGGGGAUAGGUAUGUUAUCUUGUUAAACUUGUUAUAUUUUUUAAAGAAAUUUUUAAUUUUUUUAAUUUUAAUAUAUACAAUUAUUUGAAAUAUUUUAUAAGCACUUUUUUCGAGAGAGGGGUCACAUCUACAAUAACAAGGAUCAUCAAAAAUCACUUUAAUGGUCUAUGGUCGACAUGGAGGAAAGUCCCUAAUGAUAUAAAAGACUUAAUGUUUCGAAAAUUUCAGGUACUAUGUUUGUUAUUUAUUUAUUAUGCGUUUUUUUUCCAUUAAUUUGUAUAACUUUGUUAAAUUAUUGUAUUACAUUAUGUUGUAGGAAAAAUGUGUUUGGUCUGCACAUCAAGAUGUUUUAGUUCAACGCAUAUGGGAAAAAAUUUGUUUCGAUCGAUUAAGAGACAUGCUUUCAGAAGAAAGGCAUAAAGCAAUGAUUGAAGCCAAAACUAACAACAUUAUAGAAUGCAAAGGCAUGUCGAGGGAAUGGAUCACAAAUGAAAUAUGGGAUACCCUGAUCGAUACAGUAUGGGGUACAGAAGAGUGGCAAAAUAAAUUACGAAAAGUAAGGCAAAAUCGUUUAACGCCAAAAGAAGGAAUCAUUCCAAAGCACACUGGCGGUUCAGUUCCAUUUGUGGUUCAUGCAAAAAGGAUGGUAUGAAUUAAUGUUACUCAUAAUUAAUAUGUAUGUUUUCCCAUCAAUUUCAUUUAAAUUGUAAGUUUAGUAGUUGGAUUUCGGUUUUGCUUUACAUGUUAUAUAUAUCAGGAUAUAUAUAUAUCGAUUAUGAAUGACUAAAUAUAAUUGUUAAUAAAUUCAGGCAAUUGAACUGAAACGAGAUGUUACCUUCUUGGAAGUGUUCAACCAUACUCAUAAGCGCUCAAGGGGUCAUGGUGAUUUUAUUGAUAACAAGUCCAAGUCUACGAGUGUAAGUAAAAAUUCAUUAAUUUUUACUGUUUCUUCUAAGUUGAUGUUCUACUUCAAUAUUAAUCAUUAAUUAUGGUUUUUAUGUAGGAAAUGUAUAAUUCUGUAUUAUCGCAAAAGUAUGGUGAUGAUUCAUCUUCUCAGCCAAAAUUCGAUCCGCAUGCUUAGACUGAAGCAAUUGGAGGGAAGGAGACUACAGCACUCAAGUGUAUGGGUUUGGCACUCGUGUCCCUGCUACAGCUUUACUUACUGGAACACAAUCUAAUGCAGCAACAUCUGAGUCUGCGUGUGGCCCUAUCAACUCAAACUUUAACAGUCCUACAAAUGCAUUAGAAGAAAAAGUGAAAAAUCUUGCACAAAACUUGAAUAAGAUACGUGAGGAAAAACGUGAAGAAAUGAGAAAUGUGAUGGCGGAAGGCAUGAGUGAAUUUAUGGCACAUAUGGAAACCAUGUUCAUGAGUAGUGCGCGUUUAACCCUUGGCGAUGCAGGACCUUCGAGACUUGACAAGUAAGAGAAAAAAAAUUCCUUCACAUGAUGUAUAAUUUUCAGUGUAAACACUUGGAUACUUUUUAAUUUAGUUAUGUUUAAUAUUCAUAUGUAUCAAACUAUUUUAUAUAUUGUAUGUUAAGGAUAAUUUCUAAUUAGAUGUUAGGACUUGAAUCUCAAUUUUGUAAUGUGUAUUUCUUUUAUAUAUUUUACAGUUCGAAUGCGGAAUUAAAUUUAGUAUCGUAAUGAAAAUUGAUAAUUUUUUUUGAAAAUUUAUUAUAAAAAUAAUAGGUCAAAAUAUUUCCAAUAGAAAAUUUCGUUGGAAAUGCUAAAUGUUUUUCUGUUGGAAAUAAGAUUUCCAAUUGAAUUUCCUUUGGAAAUAAUUUUUCCAACGGAAAAAAUUUCGACUGAUUUUUCCGUUGGAAAUGGGAUUUCCAACAGGAAUUAUUCCUACUGUUUUUUCCGUUGGAAAUAGGCUUUCCAACAGAAAUUUCAUUAGAAAUUUUCAACGGAAUUAUUUUCCAACGGAUUUAUAAAAAAAAAGGUAAAAUUUUAAAUUUUCAACAGAUUUCCAACGGAAAGUAUUACCCACAAGGCUUGUACCGACAGAAUUUUUAACGAAAUUUUUCGUUGGAAAUCCAUUGGAAAUAAACAUUUCCAACAAAAAAAAGCCUAUUUCCAAUGGAAAAUUCCGUUGGAAAUAGCCAAAUUUUUUGUAGUGUAUAGUUAAGAAGGUUGAUAUUAAAAAGAGGAAAGACACUUGGUUAUUGGAUAGUGGCUAUUCAAACCAUAUAACCGGUUGCAAAGAAAACUCCAUCAGUCUAAAUGAGAGUUUUAGAAAUCAAAUGGAGAUUGGAAAUGGUGACAUGUUGCUAAUUUUUGGAACUAGUAUAGUGGGGGUACAACACCAAAUGGGACUAAAUCAAUGGCAAAUGUGUAUUUGGCUCCUGAUGUAAGCCGAAACUUACUCAAUGUAGGUCAACUGGUGGAUGAGGGCUUUGAGUUAACCUUUAAAGACAAAGUUUGCAUAGUCAAGGCCUCAGCUGGUGUAGAACUUUUCAUAGUGGGAAUGAAAAACAAAUGCUUUCCAUUAAAUUAGAUGGAUAUCAAACAUACUGCUUACAGCUGUAUUUUAGCUGAUACUGAGAUGUGGCAUAAAAGGUUUGGCCAUGUGAACUAUGGUUCACUCAAGUUGAUGGCUUUUUACAACUUAGUAGAAGGCUCCAGUGGUAUUUUUGUGGAUAACUUUAAGGCAAAGAUGCAAACAAAUUUUGAAAUGAGUGAUUUGAGGAAAAUGCCAUAUUUUCUUGGUAUGGAAAUAAAUCAAGGUUCUGAGUUAUACUCCUGCAUCAGAAAAAUUAUGCCUCUAAUUUGUUAAAAAGCUUUAAGAUGGAGAGUUGCAAGGCAGUAGCAACUCUUUUGGUUUUUGGUACUAAACUGAGCAAAGAUGAUGGUGGAGCUAAAGUUGAUGAAACUCGCAACAGAAGAUUGAUAGGAAGCUUAUUAUACUUAUCCUCCACAAGGCCAGAUAUCAUGUAUGCUACUAGCUUACUUUCAAGGUUCAUGCACAAGCCAUCUGAGAGCCAUUUGUGUGUUGCUAAAAGAGUUCUCAGGUAUGUCAAAGGAACUCUAAGUUUUGGCUUGAAAUUCUGUAAGAAUGAAAAUCAGAAGCUUCAAGGCUUUAGUGACAGUGAUUGGGGUGGAAGCUUGGAGGAAUCAAAAAGCACUUCUAGGUACUGUUUCUCAUUUGGCAUUGCAGUGUUUGCUUGGAAUUCUAAGAAACAAAGUAUAGUGGCAUAGUCCUUUGCAAAAGCAAAGUACACUACAAAAAAUUUGGCUAUUUCCAACGAAAUUCUCCAUUGAAAAUAGGCCUUUUUCCGUUGAAAAUGUUUAUUUCCAACGGAAAAUUCUGUUGGAAAUUCUGUCGGUACAAGGCCUGUGGGUAAUACUUUUCGUUGGAAAUCCAUGAGAAAUCCGUUGAAAAUUUGAAAAUUUACCUUUUUUUUUUAAAAUCCGUUGGACAUUUCCAAUGGAAAAAACAGUAGGAACAAUUCCUGUUGGAAAUAGAAUUUCCAACGAAAUUUUAGUUGGAAAUCCCAUUUCCAACGGAAAAAUCAAUAGGAAUUUUUUUCGUUGGAAAAAUUAUUUCCAACAGAAAAACAUUUAGCAUUUCCAACGGAAUUUUUUGUUGGAAAUAUUUUGACCUAUUAUUUUUAUAAUAAAUUUUCAGAAAAAAUUACCAGUUUUCAUUCCGAUACUAAAUUUAAUUUCGCAAUCGAACUGUAAAAUAUAUAAAAGAAAUACACAUUACAAAAUUGAGAUUCAAGUCCUAACAUCUAAUUAGAAAUUAUCCUUAACACACAAUAUAUAAAAUAGUUUGAUACAUAUGAAUAUUAAAUAUAACUAAAUUAAAAAGUAUCCAAGUGUUUGCACUGAAAAUUAUACAUCAUGUAAGGGAAUUUUUUUUUCUUACUUGUCAAGUCGUGAAGGUCCCGCAUCACCAAGGGUUGAAUGCUCAUUACUCAUGAACAUGGUUUCCAUACGUGCCAUAAAUUCACUCAUGCCUUCCGCCAUCACAUUUCUCAUUUCUUCACGUAUUUCCCCACGCAUUUCCUCAUGUAUCUUAUUCAAGUUUCGUGCAAGAUUUUCCACUUUUUCUUGCAAUGCAUUUGCGAGACUGUUAAAGUUUGAGUUGAUAGGGUCACACACAGACUCAUAUGUUGUUAAAGUUUGAGUUGAUAGGGCCACAAUCAAAGAAACAAGGUUUCCUACCAUGUUCCAAUAUGAAAGAUUUAGAAUGUUCCAUGAAAUAUGGACAUGAUAAUCGUCCAUGUGUACUCCAUCCUGACAACAUACCAUAAGCAGGAAAAUCAUUAAUUGUCCACAAUAAUGCUGCCCUCAACUGAAAAUUUUGUUUCCUAUAUGCAUCAUAGGUCAUAACACCUUCUCUCCACAAUAAAGUCAACUCAUCUAUCAAAGGCCUCAAGAACACAUCUAUAUUUUGACUUAGACUUUUCUUACCUAGAAUAACCAUGUUAAGAAAUAUAUAUUGUUGUUUCAUACACACCUAUGGGGGUAAAUUAUACACACAAAGCAUUACUGGCCAAACAGAAUAAGAAAUGGCAGUCGAUCCAAAAGGGUUGAAAUUGUCAGCACAUAACUCGAAUCUUACAUUUCGAGGUUCCAUUGCAAAGAAUUCAUGUGUGCGGUUGAAGUGUUGCCAAGCCUCACCAUCAACAGGGUGUCUAAGGAGUCCAUCAUCACUUGGGUGUUACGCAUGCCACGUCAUAUGUUUAUCAGUUUUACAUGACAUAUAAAACCUUUGAAGCCUCGGUAUAAGUGGCAAGUAACGCAAAAUCUUGUAAGGAAUUUUCUUCUGCCUUCUCACACUUGAAUUCCUCUGUUUAUACUGAGGAUGUCCACAUACCUGACAAUGCUCAAACGUAGCAAAUCGCUCAUAAAAUAACCUGUAAUUUUUCUUGCAAGCAUCAAUUUUUAUAUAUCCCAAACCAAGCUUUGCUACCUUCUUCUUCAUGCUAUAAAGUCAUAGGUAACUUCUCAUCAGAUGGCAACAUAUUCUUUAUUAUCUCCAAUAGUCAAUCAAAACAUGAUUCACUCAAAUUAUACUCCGCCUUAACAUUUAAAAGUUACGACACAACUGAAAGUGUUGUGUGCUUUGUGCAACCUACCCACAAAGGUUACUUUGCAUUGCUUAACAAAGAGUAAAAGGUAGAUGCAUUUGGAUUGGGAUAUUCUUCCACAAAGCUCGACUCAUUUUCAGAACCAUGGUUGAAAGCAACUUUGGUACGCAUAGCAUCCCUAACCAUUCUAGUAUAUGGAUUUUAUAUUUCAUCUUCAUAUGUAGGUUCUCGAAAAGCAGCAUCUUCCUCAAAUCUAAGGGAUGGUUCAACUCUAGAUCUACUUCUCGAUGAUUGUCCAACAUCAUCUUCCCCAUGUAAACUUCAAAUUGUGUAAGCCCUAGUAAAACCCCGAUUUAGUAUGUGUUCUGUGACUUUAUCUUUAUCUAAGAACUUGUUGUUACUACAUCGUGUGCAAGGACAUCAAAUUUUACUCUUCCACAUAAAUGUAGUCUUCAAAUAUGCAAAAUUAAUAAAUUCAGUAACUCCAUUUAUAAAUUCAGCUGUAAUGAAUCCAUUCUAUAAUCGACGGUACAUCCAAGAGCGAUCUCUCGACAUUUUGUAAUCUUAAGUGUCAUAGAAUAUCAUUAUCAAGACUAAUUUGUAUUGAUGGUAACAAAACAAUUUGUUAAACCCUACAUUUCAAUAUGUAUUUUAUAUAAAUAUAUUCAAAAUUAUAUUGUAAGAUGCAAAGUAGCCCUUAUAGUAUAAAUUAUUGCAUACAUGAAUUAUCAAAAAACCUAGGCAGAUGGUUUAUAUUUAUUUGCACAUUAAAUUGCUUUAAUUAGAGAUUCACACCUGUAUCCUAAAAUUGGUGACUGUACAUUAAGUUGAAUUGAAAUUAUAUAUACAUGAUGUCUACCCUUUCUUUUAAAUAUCAUUAACAGAUGUAGUUUCCAAUUUAUUACAAUUUUUAAAAAAUGUCAAAUUUUUCUAUUAUUUGAUACGGUUAUGACAAUUUUAUUUUGAAAUUUAAAUUUGGGCUAUAAAUUCAAGCGUUAUAUUAUAAGACUUAAAGUAAAAAUUGUAAUUAAGGCCUUAAUUUUAUUUGGGCUUAACAUAAAAUAUGUUAAUUGCUUUUUAUCCCAAUCGGCUAAUAAGAUAUUAGGCUAAUUGGCUAGAUGAUUCAAAUUGCAUUAAAAUAUAAUAAACAUCAUAUUUAUUUAUGUUUAUAAAUUAUUGAUAAAAAUUUUAACUAAAUUUAAUGCAAAUCAAAUAAUAUGUCAAAUACCAACAUUUAAAUAUGUCAAACGUUUAGGCUUGUAAUAGCAAAUCAAAUAAUUAAAACAGGGAUGGUUAGUUCUCAAAUACCAACAUUUAAUUGCUUAUCUAUGCAUCUUAGUCACCUGCAAAAUUAGACCAAAACCCAAUCUCGUUUUGAAGUAGACCGAACACUGCUUUUAUGCUUCCAGAGCCGACCUUAACCUUUGACUAAAAUUAAGGCAAUGAAAUGUUUAGGCUUCUAACCCUAAAUCAAAUAAUUAAAACACAAUAACAUCAUUAAAAAUACCUAGGUCGCAUCAAUUGAUAAACAAAUAUUGAUGAAAAUCAAUUAAACAAGGUAUACAAAAUUAACCCCUAGGGCUAGACUUGUGGAAGGGAUGGGACGGCGAGUAAGGCAGCACUAGGGGGACUAAAGCGACAAGGACAGAUUCAUUCAAAGAGUGUUUGGGUCAUGACGGCAAAGGUUCAAACCGAAGAAUAUGGCAGCAAGACGAUGGGGCCAAAGGUGACUGAGAGAGACCGAUUGCUGUUAAAAUAGGACAACGCCGUAACUGGAGUCAGGCCAUCGGCAAAGGGACAGCAUCGGGAACACCGUGGAAGUCGGGCAAAGGUUUUAGAGAAAGGGGAGAACGCCACAGGUAGAGAGAGAAAAUGGCAAUUCAAAAGUCGAGUUUGGGGAGAAAUUUGUGACUUUAUAGCUAGGGUUUUAUGGAUCAAAACUACGUCGUUUUGACGUAGGGUUAAAGGGAUCGAAUUUUGGCAGAACGGCGACGUAUUGGGCCAAAGGCAACUAAUAUUCAUUUUGGUUUAAUACCCAAUUAAGUUUGGGAGAUAAGUUUUAAGUAUGGGCUGGUGGAAGAAAUGGUUAUUUUUUAACUCUUUUAACAUGUGGGCAAAGGUUCAAGUCUUGACAAUAAUAGUACUUUUAGAUUUAUUUUAUUUUCGUUCAAAAAGUUUUUUUUUUAAUAUUACUCAAUAUAUGUAAUAGUCAUAUAUGACUAAAUUUUUUAUAUACAUAUAUAAUGAUCACAACUUAUAGGUUAUACAUUGAUAUGUAUUAACCAAAUUUGUAUAAUUAAUUAUCAAUAUGAUUUUUAUAAAAUGUAUGAUUUUAAUCCCAUUACGUUAAUAAUUAUAAUCAUCUAAAUGAAAUUUACUAUAAUCUUACAUAAAUUAUAUAGUAAUAAAUAUAUAUAUAUAUAUGUAGACCCUCAUUUAAUAUAUCUCAUAUAAUAAAAUGAAAUUUUUUAAGCACAAAUAUUAAUAAGUUUAUUAUAAAACUUCAAUCUUAAUUUCCAUAUAUUAGCUAAUUACAAUUAAAACGUAAAUAAUGUAAUAUAUAUUUUUUUAUAUGAUUUUUUUAUCUUAUCAUGGUUUUUAAUAAAAUAUAAAAUUUUACAUAGUUAUUUUUUAAAAUUUUGGAAUAAUAUAACAUUACCCUAAUUUGGUAUUAUAUUUCAAUAUUGUAUGAUUCAUUAAAGUUAAAAAAAAUUAUACAAAAUUACUCAACGGAAAACAUAUUUAAACUUUAAAAAAAUUAAAAUUUUACUUCAAUAACUAUGUAUUUGGUUUUAGUAAUAUCUAAUUUUCUAAAAAUAAUUAAAAAAAUUUAUAAAAAUUUUAAAUUUUAUAAUUGGAAAAAUUAUGAUUAUUUCCAAUGAAAUUUUCUAACGGAAAAUUCCGUUGGAAAGUUUAAAAAGUCAUAAAAGUUUUGAUGCAUUCAAAAGUUACUUUCCAACAGAAAAUUCCGUUGGAAAAGUUAAAGAUUACAUAGGAAAUGUUUAGGGUUCCAACGGAAAUUUCCAACGAAAAAUUUCAUUGGAAAUCCAUUAGAAAUAAUUAACAGUUAGACAUGUGUUCUAAAGAUGAAAUUUUCAACGGAAAAUUUCGUUGGAAACUAUCAAGAUUACACCCAUUUUUUUAAAAAAGUUUAAGGUUCCAACGGAAUUUUUCGUUGAAAAUUUCCAAUGAAAAUUUCUAUUGGAAAUCCAUUGGAAAUAUUAAACAUACCAUGUGUGUGUUGUACAAGCCAAAAUUCCAACAGAAUGUCCAACGGAAUUUUCGUUGAAAAUUUUUCAACGGAAAUUUCCAUUAGAAAUUCCGUUGGGAAUUUAAUUUUCCAACGGAUUUCCAACAAAAAUCCUGUUGGAAAAUUUCUAACAGAAAUCCGUUGGAAAUCUGUUGGAACUAGUAGAUAAAAAUUUUAAUUAAAUUCCAUUGAAAAUCCGUUAGAAAUACAAUGAUUUUUUGUAGUGAUAAAUAGGACUUCAUCCACUUCUGGCUCUUCAACAACAACAGCUUUCUCAUCAAUAUUUUUACCUUACUUUUGCACACUUUCUCCACAUGACCUUGCUGGUGACACCUCUUGCACUUAACAUUUGGUUGAAACCAGUAAAACUUCUCUGUAUGAUUCAUUUUUUUUUUUUUCAGUAUGUUUGAUAUCCAUCCAAUUUAAUGGAAAGCAUUUGUUCUUCAUUCCCACUGUGAAAAGUCUUGACUAUUCAAAGUUUGUCUUUGAAGGUUAACUCAAAGCCCUCAUCUGCUAGUUGACCUACAUUGAGUAAGUUUUGGCUUACAUCAGGAGCAAAAUACACAUUUGCCACUGAUUUAGUCCCAUUUGGUGUUUGUACCCCCACUAUACUAGUUCCAAAAAUUAGCAACAUGUCACCAUUUCCAAUCUCCAUUUGAGUUCUAACACUCUCAUUUAGACUGAUGAAGUUUUCUUUGCAACCGGUUAUAUGGUUUGAACAGCCACUAUCCAAUAACCAGGUGUCUUUCCUCUUUUUAAUAUCAACCUUCUUGACCAUAAAUAGGACUUCUUCAUCCACUUGAGGCUCUUCAACAACAGCAGCUUUCUCAUCAAUAUUGUUACCUUACUUUUGCACACUUUCUCCACAUGCCUUGCUAGUGACACCUCUUGCACUUAACAUUUGGUUGAAACUAGUAAAACUUCUCUGCAUGAUUCUUUUUUUUUUUUUUGCAAUGAAAGCAAGGUGGAAAUGACUUCUUACUUUUCCCAUGUCUCUUCUCAUCUAACUUUUUUUCCUUUAUCCUUUCUGUCAAUUUCAUUCUUCUAAGAAUUACUACUACCAAGUUUUACACUUUUUGAUUACACUACCAAGGCAUUCUCAAUAAGACCUUUUUGCCUAAAGGCUCUCCUCUGCUCUAAGCCUUUUAGUGCAUUUACCAAUUCCUUAAAGGUCAUCUGACUAAUGUCCCUACAGUCAUAUAAUGAUGAGAUUUUAGACUCAUACUUCUUUGGUAAUCCUAUCAGCAUCUUACACUCUAAUCUUUCCUCAUCCAUCUCUUUCCCAAGCAACCUACACAGGUUUACAAUCCCUAUCAUCUUCCUAGAAAAUUCCCUAAUAGUUUCAUUAUCAUCCAUUGACAGCAUCUCAAAUUGCCAAGACAAAUUUAAGGCCUGGAUUUUUCUAGUUUUAUCGCUACUACGAAAUUUCUCUUUUAAAUGAUCCCAAACAUCUUUUGGGUUAUCUCAAUUCAUUAUCCUAGAAAAUAUUUCAUCAGAAACUGUCGAUUGUAAAUAAGAAAGUGCCUUAUAUCUUUUUUCCUUGUCUUCUUCAAAUUGCCUUAUCUGAGCUAGAGUUGGGUUGGCAUGCCUUUAAAUAGCUUCUGCUCCGGUCUCCACCACUUUUCAGAGAGAAAAAGCUUUGAGAUAAGACUACAUUUUCACUGACCAAAAAACAUAAUUUUCUUCAAUAAAGACUAGAGGAGUAGUAGUGCUAAACCUUGAGGUAACCAUGAAUCAAAACCUUAAAAUAAAGCUGGAAACUAAACAUGAGUGGAAAAAACAAAAGGAAAACCGGCCCCUUAAGACACUUUUUGCUAUGACAUCAUGUAAAAACUUUGAUUAAGCUCAAUUAAUAAGCAUAAGAAUGAAGAAUAGAGGAGCUGAAAGAAGAAAAUUGGGAUAAAGAAAAUUGGAGAUCAAAACUCUAUAAACAAACCAAGCCGAAAAACUCGACAUUGGGGAAAUGAAACUUAAAAGAGAAAAUAGCUAAGCACAGGAAUCCAGACAAGGAUUCCUGUGCACUACAAUGGCCUUCAACGACUAAGAGAAAAGUAAAGCAAAGAAAUAAAAUGUGGCUUUUCAGCCUUACUUUCAGUCAAAUAAAACGACACUAACAAGAGGCGUUUAAGCCAUCAAAUCUAAAGUCCAAAACGACAGCUUACUAAGUGUUUCAUUAAACUAUGAAUCAUAACGACACCGUUUAGAACUUUCUUCUUCCCUUCAACGGUCAGUUGACCUUGGUGCCCUGAUACUUCUUUAAAUUCACCAUUUAAAAUCAUUGGAUUCUCAACAAAUCUUCCAUUGAAGUCCUUUGAACAUUGUACAAAGUCAUCAAACCCUUGAAACUUUUAAGAUAUGUUGUUGGCAGAAGCCCAAAGAACUCAUUGUUGGAGAGGUCUAAGAUUCGCAGAGCUGAGAAGUGCGAUUCAUUUUCUGAAGGGUUUAUUUGACCAUGGAAAUAGUUGGAGCGCAAGACAAGAACUUGUAGCUGAGGAAGAGUUCCCAACCAGUAGGGAAAGGUAUCAUUCAUCUUGUUGUUUCCAAGAUUUAACACUUCCAAAUCAUGACAGUUCACCAAGGAUUUAGGAAAUGGCCCGCCAAAAUCAUUGUUGUUGAGGUUAAGCAUCGGUAAUUUGUUGUUGGCAACAAACGAAUUAGGGAUAUUUCCAUGAAAUUUAUUCGUGUGCAAAUCCAGGACAUUAAGAUUAGACCUGAUAUCUCCCAAGACCAGACAUUCUAGAAUAGCUCGACUCAAGUUGUUAUUAAACAAGUCAAGAACUGAAAUUGACAUCAAAUUGCAUAUUGCAGAUGGAAUUUCUCCAAUCAAUUUCUUUUUGAGAUUAAGAAAAUUACCAGCCUUAAAUGUUGCUGUUUGAAAGGUCUAAUUAUUCCAAACUCUCUUGAAUUAUCAAAAAAUUUGAAAAUUCAGUUACAUUGCAAGAAGACAACGAUAAAAACUAAGAUUAGGCAAGACAAAUCUAGCGUUGCUAUUAUUGCUCAGGGAUAGUGGAAUGUUAUGUGAAAGAACAAGUGAAUCAAGGCUUUGAAGCUUUAAAAACAUAGUUGCCUCGAUGACACGGAUUUUAUUGUAAGAAAGGUUUAGAUAGAUCAAACCUUCGAGAUUUCUUACAAAAUUCGGAAAUUCACUUAUGUUGCAAGAAGAUAAUUCUAAUUUGGGCAAGGAGUUAUACGCAUUGCUUCCACUGGUCAAUGACAGUAAAGCAUUAUUUGAGACAGAUAGAGCCCAAAGAUACUUAAGCUUUGAUAGUUUAUCGAAUUUAAAAAUGCCAUCCAACUUAUUUGAGGAAAGAUCAAGAUGGGUAAUGUUCACAAGUUUGAAAAUAGAGCUUGGAAUUGGACCAUUCAUCUCAUUAUUCUGCAGGGAAACAAUCUCCAAGGAAGCAACCUUCUCAAAUGGGUCAAUAGGACCAAUUAGGUUGUUAUAACUGAGAUCCAAAUCAACCAAAGUUGGAAGAGUAAACAACCAAUUUGGUACUCUACCAUAGAGAAAGUUAUGGUCCAAGUGUAGUCUCAAUAGUAUUAUUAGUUUUUGUUUAAUAUAUUAUUAGAUUUUAUAAUCUAUUUUUAAAAAAUUAAAAAAAAAAUUAUUAUGCUAUUUUUAUAAACUUUUUAAUUUUAUAACAUUAAUGAAUUUUGAACAAUUAAUUUAUAAUUUAUGAUUCAAUAAAGUUUUUAAAAUAUAUAAAAAAUAAUAAGCAAAGAAAAACAUAUUUAAAUUUUUAAUAUUAUAAAUCUCAGUAUGUACAUAUUUAAUAUUAUUAAUAUAUUUCCUAUAAAGGAUUAAUAAAAUUUUAAAUAAAAAAAGUUAAAAAAAAAUCAGCCNAAUGAAUUUUGAACAAUUAAUUUAUAAUUUAUGAUUCAAUAAAGUUUUUAAAAUAUAUAAAAAAUAAUAAGCAAAGAAAAACAUAUUUAAAUUUUUAAUAUUAUAAAUCUCAGUAUGUACAUAUUUAAUAUUAUUAAUAUAUUUCCUAUAAAGGAUUAAUAAAAUUUUAAAUAAAAAAUUAAAAAAAAUAGUAAUACCGAUAGAAUUCUCCAACAGAAUAUUCUGUUGGAAAAUUUUCGUUGGUAAUGGCUUAUUCCAAUGAAAAAUUUCAUUGGAAAAUUUAGCAAGCUUUAAAUUUUUCUUGGCCCCUUAAACUUUUUGACGGAUUUCCAAUGGAAAGUUUGACAGAAGUAAAUUUUUUUGGCACCCAACAAAUUAUUUUUUAUUGAAAAAUUUCAACAAAAAUCCAUUGGAAAGUUUGGCAGGAGUUUUUUUUUUUUUUGCUCCAAAAAAAAUUUCGUCGGAUUUCCAACAGAAUAUUUCUAUUGAAAAUCCAUUGAAAAUAUGUUAGAAAAAAUGCAAAUAAAUUUCUAUUAGAAAUAUAUUGGAAAUUUUCAACGGAAAUUUUUCGUCGGAAAAAAUCAGUUUUCUUGUAGUUUAGCAAUGAAUUUCUCCAUUGAGAAAAAGAAACAUAAUAUUUUGAAUUUCCUCGGUGAUUAAAGGUCAUUUUGAAGGCUUUUCACUAUUAUGGUCACAUGUUUCAGCAGUUCUUGUGUCAUUUGCUUGGUUGUUAAAUUCAGAACAAAAUGAUCCACAAUGCUUUUACUCAAUUUUAAAAAUACAAAUUGAUUGAUUGAUGGUAUUAAUGCAUUUUAUAAUUUAUUUUUUACAUUAAUUUUAAAUUGAAAAUAUUUUAUCAAUAAUAAAUAUAAAAAAUAAUUUAUAUUUGAUGCACCAACAGUAUAUUAGUUAACCACAAAAUGACACAUCAUCACUAAGUUAAAAUUCAUUAAGCCCUUAAAAAUAAAUGUAAAUAAUUUAUAACAUUUAAUUGUAUAAAAACUGAAAUAAGUUUUCUUGCUCUUGGAACUCUAUCUUGACAUUAAAAAAAAAAAAAACUCUCUCUCACUGAUUCUUUCAUUUUGAAUUUAGAUUCAAGAAAUAGUAAUACAUGAACAACAGAGUUGUUAGAGCUCUGAACAAAUGCCCAUGGACUACAAGUACAAGACCGUAACUGCUCAUUCCAUCAUCAAGAGAGUUCUUGAGAUUGUGUUGUAUCCUGCAAAGCAAAUAUUGCAGGCGGUUUCCAAGUUUCAAACCUUAGCUUUCUCCUUCUCUUUAUCCCUCCACGUUCUGUUGUGCUUCCAUUGUCACUGAUUUCUUUCAAGUGAUGAUAUGCUUUUAACUAAACCAAGAUACUUGGUAAUUCUGAUAUGUCGCAUCCCCUUGAUAACUGAAUCCACUUCAUGUGGUAAGUGCAUCAUGACUCAGGUUAGAAGGAUGCAUUGACUAGCAAAUUGGUUUAUGGUCAUGUGUUCGGAAUUCCAAUCACUGUUGUUUUGUAUUGUUAUUUGUCAAAUCUGGAUUGUUUUUGAGAGAAUCAUUAAGAAAGUUAGAGAAAAACUUAUUAAACUUUUAAUAUAAUUAAAUGCUAUAAAUUAUUGAUAUUUAUUCUUAAGGACCUAAUAAGUUUUAAUUUUAUUUAUUAAUGAUGUAUCAUUUUGUGGUUUACUAAUAGUGUAUAGCUUGCAUAAUGUGCAUCAAAUAAAAACCCCAGAAAAAAAUACAAAAAUAAAAAAUUGGAUAAAAAGGGAGAAAAUCAUGUUUGGUGUAUUACAAUUUGAAGUGAAUUAAAUUUACCCUCUGAAAUUUUAAAUGUAACACUUACCUAUCUUAUGAUUUUUCACAUCACUUAGUUUUUCUACCUUCAUUGCCAUUCAUCAUAGCUAUCAUAUUUUCGAUCACCCUGAUUGGUAAUGUACCACUAAAGUCAUUGGUGGAGAUGUCACAAAUUCUCAAGCUGGAGAAGGAGUGCUCAAUCCUGAAAUUGCUUGUGAAGCAAUGGAGGGAAUUAGACCUUAAAACAACAACUUGUAAUUCUUUUAGCAUUUCUUGCCAAGCAGGGUAUGUAUCAUUUAGCUUGUUGUUGCCAAGAUCCAAAAGCUUCCAAGUUCCUACAUUUCGUGGAAGACUCUGGCAGUGGCCCUUCCAAUUAAUUACCAUUCAAGUUGGGAUCCCCUAAUUCACAGCCUUCGGGAAAUGUUGGGAGGAAUGCUGCAAUAAAGCCUAUUCAUUCGUAAAUUCAACACUCUGAGGCUUUUGCUUAAAUUUCUAAAACAUUGUGGAAUGGUUCCAUUGAAAUGGUUAUGAGAAAAAUCGAGAACCUGUAGAUUACUUAUACUGCAUGGCAAAGAAGAUAUUUUUGCACUAAAACUAUCGUUUGAGACUGCCAAAAAAUUAAUCGAGCGUGGAAUUGAAAGGGCUCCCUGAAUUUUUAUUAUUUUCUCAUAUUUAAUUACUCUUAGAUUGUGAAGUUCUUUCUGAUUAAACUAAUUUUUUCAGAAUCUCUUAAAUCAUAAAGAAGAAGGCCUUGAAUAAUUUUGUCCAGUCUCUAGAUCACUCCUGACCUUAGUACCAAUGGUUCUAAAGUCAAAGUAUAUACACAGAAAAUUUUGAUUUUUCUCUCCUGGUUUGCAUUGUUCUAUUUGCUUUGCCUUUACCUAACACAUGCAUGGAAUUGCCUGUGUUAGAACAAGCAAAAUUCUCAAGCAUGACCUAUUUUGUGGAAAUUCGGCUUUAUGUUUAAAGAAAUUCUAUUUUUACAUUCAUCUUCUAUGAUUUACUUGCUUACAAGUUCUUUCUUUGGAUAACUUGCUGAAAGAAUUCAACUUUAAAUUGGAAUCUUAUAACUUCAGUAACACGCUUACAGGUUCUUUCUUUGGAUAAGCGAGUAAUUUCAUUCAUCAAAGUACAUAAACAUGUUACAAGUUCACAGGUGACAGUACCCUCAGGAAUCAAGACAGUCAAAACAAACAAGGAGAAAACUGCUAAAGAAUCCAAGCCCUGAGAAAAAAAAAAAAAAAAAUAGUUAUUCCUCAAAAAUUUCUUCAACAAACCUCCAAAGAGCAGCAUCUGUCUUCAUAGAUUCUUCUUCUUCAAUGAUAUCUCUUCAAUCUCCUCAGAAUUUUGUAGCCUAGUUUUUGAACCAUCCUAACAAGCCAUUCUGGUUUUCUAAUCGUCAACAUGAUAUAUCCUGCAGAUAAUCCAAGCACCAACCCGCAUCCAUAGCCCAUCAUUACAAAUUUCCAAUUCAAUGGACAAGGAAAAAUUCCUUCCUCAUGAAAAACAGAUUCCGGUGGUUCUUGUUCCUCAUCCUUGCCACACCUCUUUGACACUGGAAAUCCGCACAAUCCCAAGUUGCCACCAUAGUAAUCAUUCAGAAAGGUAUUGAAUUGAUUUCCCUGAGGUAUAUGUCCAACAAGCUGGUUCUGUGACAGGUUUAACACUUCAAGAAAUAUCAAACCAAUCAACUGCAUAGGAAUCUCCCCGACAAGCUUGUUGGAAGAGAGAUCCAGUGACUCAAGCGCUGCUAGAUUCCCCAAUGAGGAAGGAAUAUGACCUGUUAGGCUGUUAUGGGAAAAAUUGAGCACUUGGAGAGAAAUGAGGUCUCCAACUAUUUCUGGAAUUUUUCCUAGGAAUUUGUUGCUUGACAUAUCAAUGGUUGUAAAAAGAGUUAGAAUUCUCUUGAGUUCCACGUCCAAAUUUUUCACUCUGACACGCACUGAAAAAUUGUAAUAAAGAUUAAAAUCUUCCAUGGAUUUCGUUUGAACAUUGGACAAAUUCAUCAUACCCUCGAAACUUUUAAAAUAUGUUGUUGGUAGAAAACCAGAGAACUCGUUGUUGGAGAGGUCUAAGAUUCGCAGAGCUGAGAAGUGCGAUUCAUUCUCUGAAGGCCUGAUUUGACCAUGGAAAUAGUUGGAGCGCAAGACAAGAACUUGUAGCUGAGGAAGAGUUCCCAACCAGUGGGGAAAGGUAUCAUUUAUCUUGUUGUUUCCAAGAUUUAACACUUGCAAAUCACGACAGUUCUCCAAGGAUUUAGGAAAUGGCCCAUCAAAAUCAUUGUUGUUGAGGUUAAGUAUCUGUAAGUUGUUUCCUACAACAAACGAAUCAGGGAGUUUCCAUCAAUGGUUGUAAAAAGAGUUAGAAUUCUCUCAAGUUCAAUGUCAAAACCUUUCACUGUGACACGCACGGAAAAAAUGGUAAUAAAGAUUAAAAUCUUCCAUAGAUUUCCUUAGAACAUUGGACAAAUUCAUCAUACCCCUAAAAUUUUUAAAAUAUGUUGUUGGUAAAAAACCAGAGAACUCAUUGUGGGAGAGGUCUAAGAUUCCCAGAGCUGGGAAGUGCGAUUCAUUCUCUGAAGGCCUGAUUUGACCAUGGAAAUAGUUGGAGCGCAAGACAAGAACUUCUAGCCGAGGAAGAGUUCCCAACCAGUGGGGAAAGGUAUCAUUUAUCUUGUUGUUUCCAAGAUUUAACACUUGCAAAUCAUGACAGUUCUCCAGUGAUUUAGGAAGUGGCCAGUCAAAAUCAUUGUUGUUGAGGUUAAGUAUCUGUAAUUUGUUUCCUACAACAAACGAAUCAGGGAUGUUUCCAUGAAAUUUAUUCGUGUGCAAAUCUAGGACUGUAAGAUUAGGGAUCUUACCUCUCGAGAUCAGACAAUCUGGAAUAGCUCCACUCAACUUGUUAUUGGACAAGUCAAGAAUUGAAAUUGACAUCAAAUUACAUAUGGAAGAAGGAAUUUCUCCAAUCAAGUUAUUUUUUGAGGUUAAGAAAACUUCCAGGGAAGAAUUGGAAGAGAAACUAGAUAAUGAGCAAUCAACUUUAAAGUUCAAGGACAAGAGGAGGAAAGAAAGGACCAAAUACCAUUGUAUGAACCCUUUCAUUUUUCUUUUCUCAGAAAUGAUGAAAGAAGCAAAAUGGAAAGCUGAAUGUGAAGGCUGAGAGAGAUAAGAGUGGAGCCAUAUUUAUACACAUGAUUUCAAGCAAACAACCACCAGUCAUGUUCAGACAUUCAAACAACCAAUUUUUUUUUGGGAAGUCAAACAACCAUUUUUAUUAUUGAUAUUUUUUAAAAGAAAAUUAUUUCAUACAUUGUUAAUUUGUAAAUUUCAUCAACUAAAUUAAUUAGAUUGUCACAUACUUCAAUAUUAAAAUAUAUUUAAAAAAUUAAUAAUUUAAUACAAUACAUAAAAAAUAUGUAACAAUAUUUUAACUUUAAGUUAGAAACAUGGGGACUAUUGUUUUUUUGGUAACCCCCACUGGUUCAAUUCAAGUAACCAAAAAACUUAUCUCUCGUAAUUAUUAAUAUCAUAAAUAUUGUUUACGAUAUUUUAUUGUAGCCUUAGAAUUCAAGCCAUCAAAGAAUCAGCGAAGAGUGCAAUAAACUUUUUGUCAGAUAUGAAGUUUUUUAAAAACUUCUUAUGCCAUUAAUCAGAUAUUAAUUUAAAAACAAAAUGAUCUUGAUAAGCUCAACUAGAAAGUCCAUAGUGCUUUCCAAAUUAGAAGCCAUCGUCUACCUCCUCAAGCAUACUCAACAUGCCAACCCCACAUAUCGUGAAACAUGCUGUCCUUCGGACAUAUUUUAAGCUUUAAAAUAGAUACAAAUUUGGCACCUUCAUUGCACUUUGAUUCAAACUGAUAGGUUUGUUUACGAUGUCAGUGACAAACUUAUAUGUAUAUUCUCAAAGCUUCAUGAAUUUGAUUAUUAAAGAAAAAAAAGAUGAUCAUGAUCCAAUAUCUCAAUUUUAUGAAAUCUAAUUUUGAAGAAAGAAAUUUCAAACCCAGUUCUUUAUUUGUUAUCUUCGUCGAAUACUUACCCAAGUGCAAAGGCUUAUCGUUAGUAUUCACAUCUUCCUAGUCAAAUAGUUCAAUUCAAGUCCUCUCUUUUCUCACAUCCAAGGGAAAAUCAAAGAGAAUUUCCGUAGUUUUAACGGAAAAGAAAAGAACAGGAAAGAACAAAGUCAAGUCUUUUUGCAGUGCCUUCCUUCCGUGUUAAAUUAUAGUGUAAUUUACAAUUGAGACCUCCAUUGCUACAAAAUUUAUAGUAUAAUUUAACAUGUAAGUGUUCAACUAGUCAAAAAGCAAAUGAAUAAUAUAUCCAUGAACAUCAUGCUUUCAUAGGAAAACAUUAUAGUCAUGAUUCUUGUGAAGGCACCGUGUUGACUUGGGAAGAAGUUAGAAUUUGUAGCAUUCUGUCCGCAUCAUGGAAUUAAAUCUGGGGUCAUUGCAUGGAUAAUACACAGCAAGAAUUCCAUUUCUCUCAUUUCGGUUGCUUCAGAUUUCACUUCUCUAAAAAAAUCUCAUCAUUUUUUUAUAAUUCCCAAUGUCACAUGCAAGUCAAUCUAAAUUAGCAGAGGUUGAAAAUAUUGUUGCAUUAUAUAUGGCUGGAAUCUAAAUUAGAAAUGUCAAAUCUACCAAUUCCCGAGGUAUCUUGCCAAUAAGCUUGUUCAAUGAGAAAUCUAACCAUUCAAGAUUGGUCAAGUUUCCAAUGGAUGGUGGAAUAUGACCAAAGAAGUUGUUAUGAGAAAGAUUAAACACUAUGAGUGAAUUAAGCUUUCCUAUAACUUCUGGAAUCACGCCCUGGAAGUAGUUAUUGGAGAGAUCAAUGCUUGUGAAUAUGGUUAAAACUUUCACCAAUUCAACCUCUUGUCCUUUUAUUGUCAGAACUACCGAAUAAUCAUAUGACGACUUCCUUCCACAUAUUUUGAAGAACUUCUGCUGUCAGUGAGAUUCGUCAUAGCUUUUAGAUUUUCAAUGUAACAAGUGGGAAAAGGACCAACAAAAUCAUUGUUAGAGAGGUCUAAGACUCGUAGCUUGGGGAAAAGUAGUCUUGCUCUGGAAUUAUUUGCAACACCAUGGAAUUUAUUUGAACUCGAACCAAGCACUUGCAGCAUUGGAAGAGUUUCCAACCAAUUGGGAAAUGUACCCGUGAACUUGUUCUUGCCAAGGUCUAGAACCUAAAGGUUCCUACAAUUGGCCAAAGAUCUUGGUAACAACCCUUCCAUUUGGUUCCCAUGGAAGUUUAGAUUCUCUAAGCUACAGGGUUCCACAAUUGAUUUGGGGAUGGUUCCAUGAAAAUUAUUUGCCCUCAGAUCCUACGCUAAACGAUUUUUACUAAAGUUAAGAAGACAACUAGAAAUCUUGCCACUCAAGUUGUUAUGUGAUACAUCAAUAAUUUUCAGGGAACUGACCAUGCAAAUGAAAGAAGGAAUCUCCCCCGUCAUGUAAUUGUUCGCGAUGGAAAAGAAAGAUAUCUGAACGGGUGGAAUUGGAAGCACUCCUUGAAACAGGUUAGAUUGGAGGUAGAGAAUUACAGCAUUCCUCCAUGUUAAUUGCAAAUGACCUGUUAGAAAAUUAUGAUCAAGGUAUAAAUGUAACAAAGAUUCCUUCCCCACAUUCCACAUCCAUUUGGGAAUCUUGCCUUGAAUUCUAUUUUUGGAAAGGUCUAAAAACUUCAACGCUUUUGAACCUCUCAAGAAAUUGGGGAAUUCACUCAAGUUACAAGACGACAAUGACAAGGACUGGAGUUUGGUCCAUGUGUAGUCGACAUGAUUCUCUGAGCUCAAUGACAGACUAUUAAGAGAAAGAUCGAGUGAUUCAAGAUUUUGGAGCUGGGAAAACAUGUCUAACUCAACAAUGCCACUAAAGUUAUUUAAUGAUAGAUCAAGCACGGUGAGGUUUACAAGUUGAAAGAUUGAGCUUGGAAUAUGACCCUGCAACGUGUUAUUUUUUAAAUAGAUUAUGGACAAAGAUUUUGACCGGAAUUCGCUAAUAUGACCGGUGAGUCUAUUAUUGGCAAGAGACAAUAACUGUAAUGAAGGUAACUUAAACACCCAAGGUGGUAUAGUUGCAUUAAGUAAGUUAGAAGGCAAGAAUAAAGUUACUAAUUUUGAAAACCCAUUUGCAUAAUGAGGAAUAGUGCCCUCUAGUUCAUUGUAUGACAAUUCUAAAUGUUGAAGCUAUGUGAGGUUUGCAAGUGAUGCUGGGAUCCAUCCACUAAACUUAUUAUCCGAGAGCUCUAAGGAAACAAUUUGUGAAAAGUUUACAAGUGAUACCGGGAUUGACCCAUUCAAGUCACAAUUAGCAACAUUUAAAGAUUUCAAUGACUUCAAACCCCUGAUUGAAUCAGACAAUUCUCCAACAAGAAUAGUCUGUUUAAGCCUAAGACUUCAAGGGUAUUAGUCCCAUUGGACUUUGGAAGAUAAACCAGAAGAUCAGGGUUGUUACCUAAUUUGAGCAACUUCAGAUUUGGAAAUUGAAAAAUUAUGUCCGAAAUUGUCCCAUUUAAUCCACAAUCAUCCAGACUAAGAGAUGUCAAAGAGGAAGAAAGGUUCACUAAGUGAACAGGGUCAACUGAACACAUGUCUAUUCCAGGAAGGAAAAGUUCUUUUACCUCGCUAAAGUUCUUAGCUAACCUUUUCAGAGUUGUUGUUUCAAGCUUCAGUGCAUGAAACGGCUCUUGUUCACCGACACCAGGCAGACUGAACCUAGACAGAUCAAGUGAAACUAGCUUGGAAAGAUGUGAGAUUUCGGAUGGAACUUGGCCUGAAAAAAAUGAAGUAGAGAGGUUAAGAUGUGUUAAAUUUGGGAACUGACCAAACCUAGCUGAAAUCUUGGAUUGCCCGAAAUUGUUAAAUGCGAGAUUGAGCCUCUUCAAGUGUUGAAGGAGGAAAAGAGUGCUGUUGGAAGGAAUGGUACCAUAAAGCCAACUGCAACUAAGAUCAAGGCCAAUCACAUGACCUGUAACGCCAUCGCAAGUGACUUCAUCCCAUAAACAGAAAUCUGAAUCUUCCUUCCAUGAGUCUGUCUUAGGAAAAGAAUACGUAGGACUGCCAUAAUUUGAAUUGCAAAGUAACGAAGCAGUAUGAUCAAUAAAGAGGGUCUGCUUGAAGAGAAGCAAAGCCUGACCCUCAUUGUGAGACCAUGAUGGCCUUUGCUUUGAAGAAGUAAAACAAGACGAAAUGUAAGCUUGAGAAUACAAGUAAAAAAAGAGGAAUGAGAUGAAUUGAUAACUCCCAAGAAAACACCUCAUUUUUCCCUACGUCAAAGUUCCUAUAAACUCUUGAUUUGGUUGAUGAGGAGACGCACAGAAGUAUUUAUAAACUCAGUAGCAAGAGCAAUUCUUAAUUUUCUGUUUUCUCAAUCAUAUUUUCCGCUGAAGAGUGACGGAUGAGCUAACACACGCAGAAGACUAACAACAGAUUCUACAUUAUUACAAUAGGGAAGACUCAAAUGAGAAAUGAUGUCAAGUUAUGAAAUCCUGAAAUAAUGGGGGAGGUAGCAACACAGAUUUUCUCGGAAGAUUCAAAUUUCAAUUCCCUCUUUUCACAUUACAAUUCCCUUUCAGGUUGGAUUUGGUUUGGUCACCUCUAAGAAAGCUUGAAUUGCUGCAUAUGGAAAGCAAGCAUGAAAGGGUUUUUCUCGUCAAGUAAUCUACAAUUAUUCCAACUUCCAUGUUUAAAUCUUAUAGGCUUGUUCAAAUUUAAGUACAAAGCUUAUUUUUCUUUCGAUGAGUAUAAAAUCCAAUUUAUUAAUUUGGCUCAAGGUCAAUCAGUUAAUUGGGUUUAAAGCCUCCAAUGCUAAUUGGGUUAAAUGGGUCAGUUGCAUCUCGACUUGACAAGUCCACAUUAAAAAACGAAAAUAAAUACAUAAAAAAUUAAAACAUAAUAAAAUGCAAAAAAUAAAAAACGCUAAUAAAAACAUAAUGAAAAAAACAAAAAAGAGAGAAAAAUGGCAGUUGUUAUACCAAAUAAGAAAUGAAAAUGAAUGAAAGGUUUAAAAUUGCACCCCUUCUUAUAAGAUAUCAAUUCAUAAAAAUUUUCAAGAAAAUGAGAAUUAAUGUUAAAUCUAAAAAAAAGUUCUCAAUAUUUAAGCAAUAAUAGUAAAAGAAAGUUAAAAUAAUUAAAUAUGAAAUUAAAAAUAAUUUGUCAAAGGUUAAAAUAGAAUAACACAUGAUUUACCAAUAUUGUUCUUUAAACAAGUGUCGGUAAUACUUUCAUUAUACGUAAUUGUAUUGUCCAAUUCUAAAACUAUUUCGUAAAUCGGAUUUUAUUUUUUAAAUAAACUUAAAUCAAGUUUAAAAUCUCAUUAGAAAAAAUAAAUUCAAAUAAGUGGUCAAUUACACUUAAAUAAAAAUAAUUAAUAGUGAAUCUUUUUUACCUAAAGCGAUCGGUGCCUAGACUCAUACAAUGCAAUUUAUAUCUAUCACAGUAAAAUCAACACAAAGGACAAAUUGGUCAGCCACUAUUCAAUUAAAUAAUUCUGAAAUUUCCAGGAGACAAUGACUAAUCUAACAAGUGGUAAAUUGAGUUGCCCUUAAACCCACUUGAAAGUGGGAAGCCCAAUCCCAAGUCUUGCAACAAUUUCAUCUUCAAACACAAAUGAUGGAAUUCUGGCAUAACUCAUACAAAUAAAAGAAAAAAUCAAUUAACCUGGGGAAAUCUUCUCGAUGGUAAAAAAUGGGUCAUUUAUUUGUUCUAAUUGCAGGUUCAGUACAUUCUUCAAAUUAAAAAUCUCCAUUUGUCAUGCAACCCAAUGUUAAUGGUAUUCUUUAUUUUCCAUAAAAUUUAAACUUAUCACUCUAUUUAAAUUAAUCACUCAUUGUUCAAUAAGUGUAAUUUUAUCGUAUACUACCAUAUAAUACUUUUUAAUUUGAUUUAUAUAUGAUAAAAAAUUAAAAUAUUUUUCAGAUUAUUCUUUUUUUUCCUCUCGAAAUAUUUUUUUAAUGGUUAACUUUUGAUCUUUUUUUUUUAACUAAAUUAAAAUGUAAAACUGAUAAAAUUAUACUCUUUUAAAAACAAAUGAAAAUUUUGAUUUUUCUCUCCUGGUUUGCAUUUUUUCUAUCUGCUUUCCUUCUACUUAACACAAGCAUGGAAUUGCCUGUGUUGUAACAAGCAGAAUUCUCAAGCAUGACCUGGUUUGUGGAAAUUCAACUCUAUGUUUAAGAAACUCUAUUUUUACAUUCAUCAUCUAUGAUUAACAUGCUUACAAGUUCUUUCUUGUAUAAGCGAGUAAUUUCAUUCAUCAAAGUAUAUGAACAUCCUUCAAGUACAACAAAGCUGUUCACAGAGGACAGUACCUUUAGGAAACAAGAAAGUCAAAACAAACAGGGAGAAAACUGCUAAAACAACCCAAGCAUGAGAACAAAAGACACUUAUUAUACAAAAAUGUAUUCAAGAAAUCUCCAGAGAGCAUCAUCUGUCUUCACAGAGUUCUUCUUCUUCAAUCAUAUCUCUUCAAUCUCCUCAGAAUUUUGUAGCCUACUCUUUGAACCAUCCUAACAAGCCAUUCUGGUUUUCCAAUUGUCAAUAUGAUAUAUCCUGCGGAUAAUCCAAGCACCAAUCCACAUCCAUAACCCAUCAUUACAAAUUUCCAGUCCGAUGGAGAAGAAAAAAUUCCUUCCUCGUGAAAAACAGAUUCUGGUGGCUCUUGUGUGUCUUCCUUGCCACACGUCUUUGACACUGGAAAUCCGCACAAUCCCAAGUUGCCACCAUAGGAAUCAUUCAGAAAGGUAUUGAAUUGAUUUCCCUGAGGUAUAUGUCCAACAAGCUGGUUCUGUGACAGGUUUAACACUCCAAGAAAUUUCAAACCAGUCAACUGCAUAGGAAUCUCCCCGAUAAGCUUGUUGGAGGAGAGAUCCAGUGACUCAAGCGCUGCUAGAUUCCCCAAUGAGGAAGGAAUAUGACCUGUCAGGUUGUUAUGGGAAAAAUUGAGGAUUUGGAGAGAAGAGAGGCUUCCAACUAUUUCUGGAAUUUUUCCUUGGAAUUUGUUGCUCGAAAAAUCAACGGCUGUAAAAACAGUUAGAACUCUCUCAACUUCAAUGUCCAGACCUUUCAUUGUGACAAACAUGGAAAAAUGGUGAUAACCAUUAGGAUUUUCCAUAUAUUUCAUGUCAACAUUGGACAAAUUCAUCAUACCCUUGAAGCUUUUAAAAAAUGCAGUUGGCAAAAAACCAGAGAACUCAUUGUGCGAGAGGUCUAAAAUUCGUAGAACUGAGAAAUUUGAUUCAGCUUCUGAAAGGAGUAUUUGACCAUGGAAAUAGUUGGAGCGUAAGAUAAUAACUUUUAGCUGAGUAAGAGUUCCUAACCAGUGGGGAAAGGUAUCAUUUAUCCUGUUGUUUCCAAGAUUUAACACUUCCAAAUCAUGACAGUUCACCAAGGAUUUAGGAAAUGGCCCAUCAAAAUCAUUGUUCUGGAGAUUAAGUGUCUGUAAUUCAUUUCCAGCCACAAAUGAAUCAGGGAUAUUUCCAUGAAAUUUAUUCAUGUGCAAAUCCAGGAUAUAAAGACCAAGCAUGGUUUCUCCCGAGCAAAGACAUUCUGGAAUAGUUCCACUCAAGUUGUUAUUGGAUAAGUCAAGAAUUGAAAUUGACAUCAAAUUGCAUAUGGCAGAAGGAAUUUCUCCAGUCAAUUUGUUUUUUGAGACUAAAAAAACUUUCGUGGAAGAUGGUGGUACCAGAAGUGGUCCUUCUAGCAGGUUGGAACCAAGGUUAAGAAUCACUAUGUUCUGUGGGUAAUAUUCUAGACCCGUUAAAAAAUUAUUUGAAAGAUCAAGAUAAUUCAAUUUUUUUCCCCAAGUUGUUGUCUGUUUGGAAAUUCGGCCUUCAAUGGUGUUGUUUGAAAGGUCUAGUCGUAGCAAACUCUCUUGAGUUGUCAAAAAAUUUGAAAGUUCAGUUAUAUUGCAAGAAGACAACGACAAAAAACUAAGAUUAGGCAAGACAAGACUAACAUUGCUAUUAUCGCUCAGGGAUAGUGGAAAGUUAUGUGAAAGAUAAAGAAAUUCAAGGCGUUUAAACUUUAAAAACAUAGUUGCCUCGAUGACAUGGAUUUUAUUGUAAGAAAGGUCUAGAUAGACUAAGCCUUCUAGAUUUCUUACAAAAUCCGGAAAUUCACUUAUGUUGCAGGAAGAUAAUUCUAACCACCCAAAAUUGGGCAAGGAAUAAUUCGCAUUGCUUCCACUGGUCAAUGACAGUAAAGCAUUAUUUGAGAGAGAUAGUACCUGAAGCUUGUUAAGCUUUGAGAGUUUGUCCAAUUCGAAGAUGCCAUUCAACUUAUUUGAGGAAAGAUUAAGAUGGAUGAGGUUCACAAGUUUGAAAACAGAGCUUGGAAUUGGACCAUGUAUCUCAUUAUUCUGCAGCUUAACAAUCUCCAAAGGAGCAACCUUCUCAAAUGGGUCAAUAGGGCCAGUUAGCCCGUUAUAACUGAGAUCCAAAUCAACCAAGGUUGGAAGAGUAAACAACCAAUUUGGCACUCUACCAGACAGAAAGUUAUGGUCCAAGUGAAGUCUCAAUAGUCGUGAAAGCCCACUUACGUGAUAGGGAAGGGGACCCAUCAACCUGUUUGUUGAAAAGGACAUAAUUUCAAUUUUUGUGAGGUUGAAUGCUGAAAAUGGAAAAAGACCACUAAGAUCGUUAUUAUCUAAGGACAAGUGAAAAAGUUUGGUGAGGUUCCCAAAACCAUCUGAAAUCUGUCCUACCAAACUAUUAUAGGAAAGGUCUAAAUAUGUGAGCUGCAUGAAGUUAGCAAAUGAAAAUAAAAGUUGGCCAGUAAUUAAGUUCCGUCGCAGGUCUAAAUAGUUUAGUCUAGUGAGGUUGCCAAGAGAUGCAGGAAUUGACCCACUUAAUUGGCAGAAAGAAAGAUCCAAUACCUGGAGAGACCUAAGAUUGCCAAUUGAAUCAGGUACUUCUGCCAGAGAAGAUGAAUAUGAGACUCGUAGCAACUUGAGAGGACCACUCCAAUUAGUCUUUGGGAAGUUGAUUUCCAGGAUAUCAUCAUUACUAAAUAAACUGAACUUCUGGAGGUAUGGCAGGCGCAAAACAUCUUCAGGGAAUUUCCCCCGCAGCCCAUUACUCUCAAGAACAAGAGUCCUUAUGAAAGAAGACAUAUUAAGGAAAGAACUAGGUGCAACUAAAGACAUAUCGAUAGCAGAGAGAUCAAGGUCUCUUAGUUGUGUCAAGUUUCCCAAGAGUUUUUCAAAAACAUGCCCCUCAAAGAUUAAAGGAUUUCCGGAUAUAUCAAGAGAUAAAAGUUUAGAAAGCUGAGAGAUUUCAAGUGGGAUUGUACCUGUAAAUCCUGAGGAACUGAUAUUUAGAUGGGUUAAAUUAGUAAACUGACCAAACUCAAAUGCCAUGCGGGACGGGCCGAAAUAAUUUUCAGCAAGGUUAAGCUUGUGGAGAUGGUGGAGAAGGAAGAGGCUGCUAUUAGAGGGGAUACUGCCUCGAAGGCAGCUGCAACUAAGAUCAAGGCCAAUCACGUUACCUGUUUCAGAAUCACAGUUCACCCCAUCCCAGAAGCAGCAAUUUGUACCCACUUUCCAGGAGAUUGUCUUCCUCUUAUAUUUAUCGCACGAUAAGGAAACAGAGCAAUCGAUGGAAAGGGAAUUCUUGAAUUGGAUUAAGCCAAAGCUCUGGUCAUAAGAACACAACUUAAAUGGAGUAGAAGAAUUGAAAGAGAAACUAGAUAAUGAGCAAUCAACUUGAAAGUUCAAGGACAAAAGGAGGAAACAGAGGACAAAAUACCACUGUAUUAACCUUUUCAUUUUUUUUUUUUCUCUCAGAGAUGACGAAAGUAGAAAAAGGACAAGCUGAAUGUGAAGGUUGAGAGGGAAGCCUGGAGACCAUAUUUAUUGAUUUAUGAUUUCAAGCAAACAAUCACUCAUCAUGUUCACACGUUCAAGCAACUGUUUUCCUUAUUGAUAUUUUUCAAAAGAAACUCAUUUCAUACAUUGUCUAGAUUUCAUCAAUUAAAUUAAUUAGAUUGUCACAUAAUUCAUUAAAAUAUAUGUUAAAAAAUUAAUAAUUUAAUAUGCCGGUCUUCAAAACUCAGAAGACCAAGACUUCGGCCUACCACGUUUCCACUCCGCGUGAGAGAAGGGCCCAAACCAACGACUAACAACAUGACUUUAAUAUCUUCUCCUAAAAGGCGUAAUAGUGAAGGCUGACUAUUGAGGAUGGAGUAGACAGGAAUUGAACGGGUCAUUGAUGCUAAUGCUCUUUCAAAGAGAAUAGUAUGGAGACUCUCUUUCAUCUUCACCAUAAUACUGAAUAUCAAUUUGGUGAAAUCAAUAUAUUAUCCAGGGCAACAAGAGAUUGAAUUUUAUAAGGCAAUAAGGCAUACAGGAGAAGCAACAUUAUCUGCAGCAAGCCAAUAACCCCUCAUAUAGUUCAAAUCAAAUCCCUUUCUUAUACCCUUUUGUAGAUUGGGUAAAAUCUUAAAACCUCUUCAAAACACUUCAAAAAAGGCACUUUAAUCCCUUUUAUUUUAAAAUAAUAUUUUGCAUCUUUGACUGUUAAUAUUAGACCAAAUACUAUAUAAAUAUUUUUUGACAUAAAUAUUCUCUUUUCAAAAAAUCUGCUCAUCAUUCUCCCAAAAAAUUUAAUUAAAAAAAUCUAAAAACUUUUGAUUUGAAGGCUUAGAAAUUUGAAGCUUAAUCUACCUUGAAAACUAUAAACAUCUUUUGAGGUAAACUAUAUUACGGUCACACUCUUUAUUCAUCCAGUAGUUUAAGAAUAUUUUUCAUUAAAAAGAAUGUAUUAAAGCAAAUAUUUUGUUCAAUUAUGGAUAUUUCAAAAUUGAUGGUAUCGGGUUAAGAAAUUAAUUUUUUACUUGGGAUUACUAAUUUUAUUGAAAAAUUUUUGCUCAAAAAUUGUUCUUUGAGGUUAGGGUUUAGAGUGACAUAAAAAGAUUUUGAUUUAAUUACUACAUAUAAAAAGUUUUACGGUUUUUUUUCUUUGUCAAAUAUUAAAUUUUAUAAAAUAUCAAAAUGAUACAAACUACAAUAUUCAUAAAUCCUGUUCUAGAAUUUUAUUAAGUCUUAAGUUUUUUUUUUGUCAAAUAUUGAAUUUUAUUAAAUAUUAAAAUGAAUAAUUUAUCAAGUUAUUGAAAGGAAGAUGAGCAGAAUCUUUUAAGAGUACAUUUGUAUCCUAUAAUAUUUAUACAAAAUUGGGUAUAAUUUUUUUUAAUUGUUGACUAACGAUUUUAACAAUAAAGGGAUCAAAAAUAUCAUUUUGAAACAAAAAAAAUCAAAAUGUCCUUUCAAAAUGUUUUAACGGGCUUUUUGAAUUUUACCCUUUGGAGAUCUUGUUUUCAUUAUGAGAUACUUCAUUGGUCAAAAUUUUCUCUUUGGUUUGGUUAUUAAAUGGAACCAAUUUUGCUUCUUUCUGUUACCAAAACACCCACAACCCUUUCACUCAAUUUUAAAAAUAAAAAUUGGUUGAUUGAUGAAAUUAAUGUAUUUGAUAAUUUUUUUCCCUCAAAUUAAUUUAAACUAUAACGCUCCUGUUAAAAAAUAUAUAGAAAAUACAAAAAUUAAAAAUUGGAUAAAAAGGGGGAAAAGGCCCAAAACCACUUUUAUAGUUUUAUUUAUAUACCAAAACAAAAGGCCUAAUAUGCCUUUGACGUUUUUCUUAAAGUAAAUGACAAAAUCCUUCAAGUGAUCUUUGAUGUCUUACAAUUUGAAGUGAAUCAAAUUUGCAAUUAAAUUUGACUAUUGUGAUCCACUCAUUCAACUGACCAAAAACAUAAUCAGGAUUUCAAGAGUAUUAUUUCUCACAAGCACAUUAGACAGCAUCUGUAGAGUCCAAUUACUUUGCUUCCGUAGCAAGCGGUGUUUUGCGUGAAGAAAAUUAUGGCGUACUCUUUGGGGCCGGGGUCUUUAAAGCUCGUAAGACCGAGACUUUUGCCUGCCACUUUUCCACCACUCCGCUGAAGGCGGGACUCAGACCAAGGACUUACAACAUGACUCUGAUAUGUUCUCCUAAACAGCGUAGUAGUGAAUGCUAACUAUUGAGAAUGGAGCAGACAAGAAUUGGACAGGUCGUUGGCGCUAAUACUCUUUGAAAGAGACUAACAUGGAGAUUCUCUUUCAUCUUCACCAUAAUACUGAAUAUCAAUUUGAUAAAAUCAAUAUGUUAUCCAGGGCAACAAGAGAUUGGAUUUUAUAGGACAUUAUAAGGCAUACAGGAGAACCAAAGACAGUAUAAUACGCAAAUGUAAUCAACAAACCACCGAAGAGCAGCAUCUGUCUUCGCAGAGUUUCUUCUUCCUCAAUGAUAACUCUUCAAUCUCCUCAGAAUUUUGUAGCCUAGUCCUUGAACCAUCCUAACAAGCCAUUCUGGUUUUCCAAUUGUCAGCAUGAUAUAUCCUGUAGAUAAUCCAAGCACCAGUCCACAUCCAUAACCCAUCAUUACAAAUUUCCAAUCCAAUGGACAAGGAAAAAUUCCUUCCUCAUGAAGAGCAGAUUCCGGUGGUUCUUGUUCCUCAUCCUUGCCACACCUCUUUGACACUGGAAAUCCGCACAAUCCCAAGUUGCCACCAUAGGAAUCAUUCAGAAAGGUAUUAAAUUGAUUUCCCUGAGGUAUGAGUCCAACAAGCUGGUUCUGUGACAGGUUUAACACUUCAAGAAAUUUCAAACCAUUUAACUGCAUAGGAAUCUCCCCGACGAGCUUGUUGGUAGAGAGAUCCAGUGACUCAAGUGCUGUUAGCUUCCCCACUGAGGAAGGAAUAUGACCUGUUAGGCUGUUAUGGGAAAAAUUGAGCACUUGGAGAGAAAUGAGGUUUCCAACUAUUUCUGGAAUUUCUCCAUGGAAUUUGUUGCUUGACAUAUCAAUGGUUGUAAAAAGAGUUAGAAUUCUCUCAAGUACCAGGUCCAUACCUUUCAUUGUGACAAGCACGGAAAAAUGGUAAUAACGAUUCAAAUCUUCCAUAGAAGUCCGUUGAACAUUGGACAAAGUCAUCAUACCCCUGAAACUUUUAAAAUAUGUUGUUGGCAAAAGCCCAGAGAACUCAUUGUGGGAGAGGUCUAAGAUUCGCAGAGCUGAGAAGUGCGAUUCAUUUUCUGAAGGGCUUAUUUGACCAUGGAAAUAGUUGGAGCGCAAGACAAGAACUUGCAGCUGAGGAAGAGUUCCCAACCAGUGGGGAAAGGUACCGUUUAUCUUGUUGUUUCCAAGAUUUAACACUUGCAAAUCAUGACAGUUCUCCAAGGAUUUAGGAAACGGCCCAUCAAAAUCAUUGUUGUUGAGGUUAAGUAUCUGUAAUUUGUUUCCUACAACGAACGAAUCAGGGAUGUUUCCAUGAAAUUUAUUCAUGUGCAAAUCUAGGACCGUAAGAUUAGGCAUCUUACCUCUCGAGGCCAGACAAUCUGGAAUAGCUCCGCUCAACUCGUUAUUGGACAAGUCAAGAACUGAAAUUGAUAUCAAAUUACAUAUGGAAUAAGGAAUUUCUCCAACCAACUUGUUUUUUGAGAUUAAGAAAACUUCCAUCGAAGAAUUGGAAGAGAAAUUAGAUAAUGAGCAAUCAACUUUAAAGUUCAAGGACAAGAGGAGGAAACAAAGGACCAAAUACCACUGUAUUAACCCCUUCAUUUUUUUUUCUCAGAAAUGGUGAAAGAAGCAAAAUAGAAAACUGAAUGUGAAGGUUGAGAGAGAUAAGAAUGGAGACCGUAUUUAUACAUAUGAUUUCAAGCAAACAACCACCAGUCAUGUUCACACAUUCAAACAACCAUUUUUAUUACUGAUAUAGACUACAACCCGUGCUUUGCAUACAGACCUCUUUUUAUUUGUUUUUUUCUUUCUCUUUCUACCUCUUUUUUUUUUUUUUCUUCUCUUUUUCCUAUGCCUUUCACGUAGGUAAAGGAGGAAGCCCUAAGUAUGUUAUAAAUUUUUUAAAAGAAAAUUAUUUCAUAUAUUGUUAAUUUGUAAAUUUCAUUAACUAAAUUAAUUAGAUUGUCACAUACUUCAAUAUUAGAAUAUAUUUAAAAAAUUAAUAAUUUAAUAUCAUACAUAAAAAAAUAUGUAACGAUAUUUUAACUUUAAGUUGGAAACAUGGGAUUGUAGUUCUUUUUUUUUCAACCCCCAAUGAUUCAAGUAACCAAAAAACUUAUCGGGAUAUCAAGAGUAUUAUUUCAUAAAACCAAGACUUUCACUUGUCAUGUUUUUACCUUGGUAUGAACGUGGGACUCAAACCAAAGGACUAACAACAUGACUUUUAUGUCUUCUUAAAAAGCAUAAAAUUGAAGGCUAAUCUCUAAGAAUGAAACAGGUAAGAAUUGAACGUGAACGUAUCAUUGAUAUAAAAUAUAAAAAUAUUAUAUAAUUAUAUUAUUAUAUUAUAUCAAUCUAUCAUAUUUAAAGAUAAAGCUCUUUUAAUGGAUCUAAAAAAAUUUUUAAAUUUAUUUUAUAUUAUAUAAAAUUUUUAAUUUUUUUAUAAAUUCUUUUAAUAUCUUUUCUAAAAUAACUUUUAAUUUAAUAAUUAAUGUAAAUAAAAAAUAACAAAAUGAUUCCAUAUGCUUGACUCAAUUUAAAAGUUUUGUUUUAUUUUUUUUCAAUUUAUAUUUUAAUUAUUUAUAUUUACUUUUUUUCAUUUCUAUUAUAUUUAUUCAUAUGUUUUAAAUCUUUAUAAAUUUUCUUCCACAAAUUUCAACGAACAAUCAGUCAUAUUCUUUUUCCUUCUUUUUACUAUGUCAUAUGUGAGUUUAUCUUAUACUUGCCAUGUUUAUAUUUUUUCUAUUAUGUGAAUUUUAUUUUUAUGAUUUUAGUCUUUAAAUAUUAAUAAAUUAUUAUAUAAUUUUCAAAUAUAAGUUGCAAUAUUGUACUAUUGUUUAAAAUUUUAUCAAUAUAUCAUUUUUUAUUCAGAAUAACCGAUACGCUCUAACAUGUAUGUUUCAUACUUUAAGUAACAAGGAUAUAUAUACAAAUUAAUAAAAUUAAAUGAUCGUAUUUCUUUCAAUACAAUUUAUUUAUUAUAUAUAUUUUUAAUGACCCUCAAAAUAAUUUUUUAUUUAAUAAUUAUUUUUAUUCCUCAAAUUAUUUGAUAAUAUUACAGUCAUUAUGGUCAAUAUUUCACUAGUUAAUCCCAACAAAUAAAAUAUUCUAACAUAAUAUGUUAAGCCUAUCAAGUUUUAAAGAAAAAAUAAAUUGACUCUACUAACCUAAACCCAUUAAAUUUUAAUAAAAAUCUAAACAUAUCAUAACAUAUUAUAUCUUAACAGUCCAACCCAAUAGCUUAUCAUAACAUAUUAUAUUUCAAUAGUUCAACUCAAUAACUUAGUAUGUUAAUUAACAAUUUAAGAGGUAAAUAAAAAAUAAAAAAAAAGAGCUUUUUUAAAAAGUUAUUCAUUUUGUAUAAAACACACAAAGUAAAGAGACAUUUGAAUUUGAAAAUUUGUUUUCUCUUCCACUUUUGGGCACAGAGAGUGAAAAAGACUCAUUUCAUAAUUUCAUUCCGUUUAUAUAUAUAUAACGCCAUUAUUACUAUUAAUGUGUAUUUUUUUAUAUAUCCAAUGUUUUAUGAAUUUUAUUUAAUCUUUUAGAUGAGUGAAAAUUAAAUGGUAUAUAAAGUUCUCUGUGACUGUUUAAUGUCUCUUUCUAUUUGAUUCUCUUUAAAAUGCUUUAACUUCGUCAUUGAUCACGUCAUCAUAAUUAUGAUAUAUUAACAUGCUAUGUCAACGUUACGUGAUAUAAAAUGAUAAUUAAUAUUUUGAUUAAAUCAAUCUUUAAUUAUAAUUUUUUUAAGGUUUGGCAGAUGAGAAUUAGGCCACGUCUCUUAACCAUCCAGUUUGCUAAAGGUUGCAAAUUAUUAUAGCCAACUUACCGGUUUAGAUCAUUAUUGGACUCUCCUCAUGUUUCUUCGAAAGUUUUUUUGUUAAAUAGAGACUCUGGUCAAUUGUUAGUAUUGAAUCGCUUUCUUAAUUGAAUUUUUUGAUUAAUUGUCAGUGUUGAAUCACUUUCUUAAUUGAAUUUUACAUAGAAAAUUCAUUCUUUCUUCGAUAUUUCAAAAAAAUAAUCAUAAUUUUUUUUCUUGUUUGAUUAUUAAAUGAAACCAAUUUCUUUUCUAUCUGUCCCCAAAGGUCCCACAACCUUCAUACUCAAUUUUAAAUAUAAAAAUUGAUUGAUUGAUGAAAUUAAUGUAUUUGAUAAUUUUUUCUCUAAUUAAUUUUAAACAGUAACCUUUUUGUUAGAAAAAAUAUAUAGAAAAAAAAAAGAAUGGAUGAAAAAAGAAGAAAAGGCCCAAAACAUCUUUCACCACCAAAAAGCCCAAAACCACUUUCAAUCAAACAACGUUAAAGUCCAGAAACACAAGUAAUGACACGAGUUCGGCUUAAGGUUUAUCCAAAACGACAUACAGUUUUCAUAUCUCUGUCUCCAUUGAUCGUGAAACAAUGGAGGGACGGAUAAAAUACCCUAAAAUUCAAAGAGUAGACUACCAGUCCAAAUUCUUCUCUUAGGUAUUUUUAAUUUUUUUCUUCUCUUGUUAAAAUGUGUUUGGUUGCCUAGAAAACAAAGGAAAAGGAACUAGAAAGCUUGUAAUUCUGUUUCUUUUAUGUUUUUCUAUUUGGCUUUUUGAUAAAACAUUUGGGUUUUGCUAGAAUUGUUAAAUAAAUAAAUAACAUUAACGGAGAUAACUAUGAUAAAGAGAACGAAUUUUUUUUUUUACUGUUGACAAAUGGUGUUAAUAAUAAAAAAAACUAAAAUAUCAUUUUGAAACAAGAAAAAUUAAAGUGUCUUUUCAAAAUGUUUUAACGGGUUUUUUGAGUUUUACCCUUUGGAGAUCUUGAUUUUGUUACGAGAUACUUCAUUGAUCAAAAUUUUCUCUUUUGCUUGGUUAUUAAAUGGAGCCAAUUUCUCUUCUUUCUGUUACCAAAACAACCACAGCCCUUUCACUCAAUUUUAAAGAUACAAAUUGAUUGAUUGAUGAAAUUAAUGUGCUUGAUAAUUUUUUUUUCCUCAAAUUAAUUUAAACUGUAACGCUUCUGUUAAAAAAUAUAUAAAAGAUUACAAAAAUAAAAAAUUGGAUAAAAAGGGGGAAAAGGCCCAAAAUCCCUUUUAUAGUUUUAUUUAUAUACCAAAACAAAAGGCCUAAUAUGCCUCUGACGAUUUUCUUAAAGUAAAUGACAAAAUCCUUUAAGUGAUCUUUGAUGUCUUACAAUUUGAAGUGAAUCAAAUUUGCAAUUGAAUUUGACUAUUGUGAUCCGCUCAUUCAAGUAACCAAAAAACUUAAUCAGGAUUUUAAGAGUACUAUUUCUCACAAGCACAUUAGACAGCAUCUGUAGAAUCCAAUUACUUUGCGUCUGUAGCAAGCAGUGUUUUGCGUGAAGAAAAUUAUGGCGUACUCUUUGGGGCCGGGGUCCUCAAAGCUCAUAAGACCAAGACCUUUGCCUACCACUUUUCCACCCCUGCGUGAAGGUGGGACUUAAACCAAGGACUUACAACAUGACUUUGGCCUGCCACUUUUCCACCCCUGCGUGACAGUGGGACUCAAACCAAAGCACUAACAGCAUGACUCUGAAAUGUUCUCCUAAACAGCGUAGUAGUGGAGGCUAACUAUUGAGAAUGGAGCUGACAAGAAUUGGACAGGUCGUUGAUGCUAAUACUCUUUGAAUGAGAAUAAUAUGGAGAUUCUCUUUCAUCUUCACCAAAAUACUGAAUAUCAAUUUGAUAAAAUCAAUGUGUUAUCCAGGGCAACAAGAGAUUGGAUUUUAUAGGGCAUUAUAAGGCAUACAGGAGAACAAAAGACAGUUAUAAUACGCAAAUGUAUUCAACAAACCAACGAAGAGCAGCAUCUGUCUUCGCAGAGUUUCUUCUUCCUCAAUUAUAACUCUUCAAUCUCCUCAGAAUUUUGUAGCCUAGUCUUUGAACCAUCCUAACUAGCCAUUCUGGUUUUCCAAUUGUCAGCAUGAUAUACCCUGUAGAUAAUCCAAGCACCAGUCCACAUCCAUAACCCAUCAUUACAAAUUUCCAAUCCAAUGGACAAGAAUAAAUUCCUUCCUCAUGGAAAGCAGAUUCCGGUGGUUCUUGUUCCUCAUCCUUGCCACAGCUCUUUGACACUGGAAAUCCGCACAAUCCCAAGUUGCCACGAUAGGAAUCAUUCAGAAAGGUAUUAAAUUGAUUUCCCUGAGGUAUGAGUCCAACAAGCUGGUUCUGUGACAGGUUUAACACUUCAAGAAAUAUCAAACCAAUCAACUGCAUAGGAAUCUGCCCAACAAGCUUGUUGGUAGAAAGAUCCAGUGACUCAAGUGCUGUUAGAUUUCCCAGUGAGGAAGGAAUAUGACCUGUUAGGCUGUUAUGGGAAAAAUUGAGCACUUGGAGAGAAACGAGGUCUCCAACUAUUUCUGGAAUUUUUCCUUGGAAUUUAUUGCUUGACAUAUCAAUGGUUGUAAAAAGAGUUAGAAUUCUCUCAAGUUCAAUGUCCAAACCUUUCACUGUGACACGCACGGAAAAAUGGUAAUAAAAAUUAAAAUCUUCCAUAGAUUUCGUUUGAACAUUGGACAAAUUCAUCAUACCCUCGAAACUUUUAAAAUAUGUUGUUGGUAGAAAACCAGAGAACUCAUUGUGGGAGACGUCUAAGAUUCGCAGAGCUGAGAAGUGCGAUUCAUGCUCUGAAGGGCUGAUUUGACCAUGGAAAUAGUUGGAGCGCAAGACAAGAACUUGUAGCGGAGGAAGAGUUCCCAACCAGUGGGGAAAGGUAUCAUUUAUCUUGUUGUUUCCAAGAUUCAACACUUGCAAGUCAUGACAGUUCUGCAAGGAUUUAGGAAAUGGCCCAUCAAAAUCAUUGUUGUUGAGGUUAAGUAUCUGUAAUUUGUUUCCUACAACGAACGAAUCAGGAAUGUUUCCAUGAAAUUUAUUCAUGUGCAAAUCUAGGACUGUAAGAUUAGGCAUCUUACCUCUCGAGGCCAGACAACCUGGAAUAGUUCCACUCAACUUGUUAUUGGACAAGUCAAGGAUUGAAAUUGACAUCAAAUUACAUAUGGAAGAAGGAAUUUCUCCAACCAAGUUGUUUUUUGAGAUAAAGAAAACUUCCAGGGAAGAAUUGGAAGAGAAGCUAGAUAAUGAGCAAUCAACUUUAAAGUUCAAGGACAAGAGUAGGAAGGAAAGGACCAAAUACCACUGUAUUAACCCUUUCAUUUUUUUUUGCUCAGAAAGGAUGAAAGAAGCAAAAUGGAAACCUGAAUGUGAAGGCUGAGAGAGAUAAAGAGUGGAGACCAUAUUUAUGCAUAUGAUUUCAAGCAAACAACCACCAGUCAUGUUCACACAUUCAAACAACCAAUUUUUUUUUGGGAAGUCAAACAACCAUUUUUAUUAUUGAUAUUUUUUAAAAGAAAAUUAUUUCUUACAUUGUUAAUUUGUAAAUUUCAUCAACUAAAUUAAUUAGAUUGCCGCAUACUUCAAAAUUACAAUAUAUUUAAAAAAUUAAUAAUUUGACAUAAUACAUAAAAAAAAUAUGAACAAUAUUUUAACUUUAAUUUGGAAACAUGGGGAUGUAGUUUUUUUUUUUUUAACCCCAACUGGUUCAAGUAACCAAAAAACUUUUCGGGAUAUCAAGAGUAUUAUCUCAUAAAACCAAGACUUUCACUUGCCACGUUUUUACCUUGGUAUGAACGUGGGACUCAAAUCAAAGGACUAACAACAUAAAUUUUAUGUCUUCUUAAAAGCGUAACAUUAAAGGCUAAUCUCUAAGAAUGAAACAAGUAGGAAUUGAAUGUGAACGUAACGCUAAUAUGAAAUGUAAAAAUAUUAUAUAAUUAUAUUAUUAUAUUAUAUCAAUCUAUCAUAUUUAGGGAUGAAGCUCUUUUAAUAGCUCUUUAAAAUUUUUAAAAUUUAUUUUAUAUUAUCUAAAAUUUUAAAUUUUUUUAUAAAUUCUUUUAAUAUCUUUUUUUAAAUAAUUUUUAAUUUAAUAAUUAAUACAAAUAAAAAAAUAAACAAAAAUGAUUUCAUAUGCUUGACUCAAUUUUAAAAUUUUUUUUUCUUUCAAUUUAGAUUAUUAUUAUGAUUUAUAUUUAUUUUUUUUAUUUUUAUUCUAUUUAUUCAUAUGUUUUAAAUUUCACUAGAUUUUCUUCCAAAACUUUCUAUGAACAAUCAAUCAUAUUCUAUUUUCUUUUUUUUACUGUGUCAUAUGUGAGUUUUAUCUUAUACUUGCCAUGUUUAUCUUUUUUCGGUUACGUAAAUUUUAUUUUUAUGAUUUUAGUUUUUAAAAAUUAAUAAAUUAUUAUGUUAAUCUCAAAUAUAAAGUACAAUUUUGCAUUAUUGUUUAAAAUUUUGUCAAUAUAUAAUUUUUUAUUCAGAAUAAUCAAUGUGUUCUGGUAUGUAUGUUUCAGACUUUAAACAAGAAGGAUAUACAUACAAUUAAUAACAUGAAAUGAUUGUAUUUCUUUCGAUACAAUUUUAUUUAUUGUAUAUAUUUUUAAUGACCCUCAAAAUAAUUUUUUAUUUAAUAAUUAUUUUUAUUCCUCAAACUAUUUGAUAAAAUUACAGUCAUUAUAGUCAAUAUUUUACUAGUUAAUCCCAACAAAUAAAAUAUUCUAACAUAAUAUGUUAAGCCUAUCAAAUUUUUUUUUUAAAAAAAGGAAGUCUACUAACCUAAAACCACUAAGUUUUAAUAAAAAUCUAAACCUAUUAUAACAUAUUAUAUUUUAACAGUCCAACCCAAUAACUUAUUAUAACAUAUUAUAUCUCAAUAAUUCAACUCAAUAACUUAAUAUGUUAAUUAACAAUUUAAGAGGCAAAUAAAAAAUACAAAAAGAACUUUCUUAUAAAGUUAUUCAUUUGUAUAAAACACACAAAGUAAAGAUAUAUUUAAAUUUGAAAAAUUGUUUUCUCUUGCACUUUUACGCACAGAGAGUGAAAAAGACUCAUUUCAUAAUUUCAUUCUGUUUAUAUAUAUAUAUAUAACACCACCAUUAUUGUUAAUGCACAUUUUUUUGUAUGUCUAAUGUUUUGUGAAUUUUAUUUAAUCGUUUACAUGAGUGAGGAUUGAAUUAUAUGUAAAGUUCUCUUUAACUGUUUACUGUCUCUUUCUAUUUGAUCUCUCUUUAAAAUGCUUUAAUUCCAUCACUGAUUACGUUAUCAGCAUUAUGAUUUAUUAACAUGUUAUGUUAACGUCACAUGAUAUAAAGUGAUAAUUGAUAUUUUGAUUAAAUCAAUCUUUAAUUAUAAUUUUUUUAAGGUUUGGCAAAUGAAAAUCACACCACGUCUCCUAACCAUCCAGUUUGCGAAAGGUUGCAAAUUAUUAUAGCCAACUUACCAGUUUAGAUCAUUAUUGGACUCUUCUUAUAUUCCUUCGGAAGUUUUUUUAUUCAACGGAGUUUGUCAAUUAUCAGUAUUGAAUUGCUUUCUUAAUUGAAUUUUUUGAUUAAUUGUCAAUGUUGAAUCGCUUUCUUAAUUGAAUUUUACAAAGAAAAUUCAUUUUUUGUUCGAUAUUUCAGAAAAAAAAUCAUAAUUUUUUUUUCUUGUUUGCUUAUUAAAUGAAACCAAUUUCUUUUCUUUCUGUCCCCAAAGGUCCCACAACCUUCAUACUCAAUUUUAAAUAUAAAAAUUGAUUGAUUGAUGAAAUUAAUGUAUUUGAUAAAUUUUUUCUCUAAUUAAUUUUAAACAGUAACCUUGUUGUUGGAAAAAUAUAUAGAAAAAAUAAAGAAUGGAUGAAAAAAGAAGAAAAGGCCCAGAACAUCUUUCACCACCAAAAAGCCCAAAACCACUUUCAAUCAAACAACGUAAGUCCAGAAACACAAGCAAUGAUACGAGUUCGGCUUGAGGUUUAUCCAAAACGACAUACCGUUGUCAUAUCUCUCACUCCAUUGAUCGUAAAACAAUGGAGGGACGGAUAAAAUUCCCUAAAAUUCAACUAGUAGACUACCAGCCCAAAUUCUUCUCUCAGGUAUUUUUAAUUUUUUUCUUCUCUUGUUAAAAUGUGUUUGGUUGCCUAGAAAACAAAGGAAAAGGAACUAGAAAGCUUGUAAUUCUGUUUCUUUUAUGUUUUUCUAUUUGGCUUUUUGAUAAACCAUUUGGGUUUUGCUGGAAUUGUUCAAUAAAUAACAUUAACCGAGAUAACUAUGACAAAGAGAAUCAAAUUUUAUUUAUUUUUACAUUUUAUGUUGUUUUUUCUUUUAAGGGACUAUCUGUUAGUUUUCUCUCUCGUUUGGAUUGAUUGUUGUUUAGGUUGGUAAAUAGGACAAAAUUUUAAUUAAGGGUCAUUCUUAAUUUUUUGAAGUAUAAAGUGUUAGGGGUCUUAUUGUCGUUUUACUUGAAAUCUGUUAUGUAGUAAUCAUUGAAGCUAGUGUAGAAUUGUUAAUGAAAAAAUUAUAGUUUAGAUAUGCUGAGCUGUUGGUCCUGGAAUUGUUUGAGUAGUUUAUGUUAUGCUUUUCACUAUGUAUGCCGAAGAUUGAUUGCACUGUUUCGAAAUGGUGCAAUUAUGGAUUUCCAAGUAUUAGAGCAAACUCAAUUGUAGAAAUUGUAGGUUGUAUAAUUUGAUUUGCAUUUAGUAGAAUGUGAAGUUCUAUGUGGAGAUAUAUUUGAUUGAUGUAAACUAUUAAAGACUUGAAAUUAUCUUGUUAUUUUGUUAAGACUUCUUUAAGCAUACUUACAAUCAUUAUGGAACAGAAUAUUUAUAGUUUAUUUCCCUUAUUUUUCUAGUAUAAUAUGCUUGUCAUCUGUUUUUAGGGAAUUUUUUGUUAAUCUUGGUGAAUGAUGACUGCUUUACUUUGAGAUUAUUAUUCUUUGGUGAAAGAUAAAAUAAUAGUAAUGUUUUUUUUGUUUAUUAUGGUGUUAGGAUCUGGUAAAAGUGGAGGAACAUAGAGAUAAAAGUAAUCUGGUAGGAACAGAUAUUAAGCAAGAUGGAAAGCAGCUUCAAAAGUCUGAAGGUGAAGCACCACCCAAAGUUAGUGGAGGCAAUGGUAUGCGAAUUGUUUCAGGCACUGGAAAUCAGAAACAAGGUAAAUUGUUUUACUAUGAUACACCAUUUUCUGAAGAAACAGGAGUUUGGGUACCUGUGUCCGUUCCCCCUAUGUCUGAAAGUGAACAUGAAGAAUGCAGUAGAGGCCUCAGUCUGAAUGGAGGAUACUUUCCUGAUGGUGAUUUAGGCUGGAAUAAGUUUACUGGAGAAAGUAAGGACCUGACCAUGUGGGAUGUGUUCAAUGAGAUGUUAAUAGCAGCUCGAGGCAAAGUGAGUGCUAUUGCUUCAGGUGAUGUCCAAAGAUGUGGAAUUUCUUGGUUAUCUAAUCAUCUUCUUGAGCAAGCAUGGAUAGAGAUGGCUCAAACGCUUACAGAGGCUAAUUUUGGUAAUAUCAGGGAAAUUCUUGAAGCAGAGCCACCAAAAUGGUUGGCUGACAGUGUGGCUUCUGCUUGCAUGCUUUGUAAUGUGUGGUUCCAUCCUAUCAUGCGCCCUCGUCAUCAUUGCCGCUUUUGCGGUGGGAUAUUCUGCAAUGAAUGUUCUAAGGGAAGAAGCCUGUUACCAAUGAAAUUUCGCACUGGGAACCCACAACGAGUAUGUGAUGUUUGUUGUGUGAGGCUCGAGUCUGUCCAAUCAUACUUGAUAGACAGCGUAAGUCGUGCUGCUCAGUUGCCAACCCAUGAUCUGACAGACCUCAGUACUUUAAGAUCAUGGCUUAAUUUUCCUUGGGGCCAAUCCAUGGAAUAUGAGAUUUAUAAGGCUGCAAAUAUUGUUCGCAAUUAUAAUAAGGUAAUGUCUCACUUUCUGUUUGUUAUUAUGAACUCAUCUAGAUUAAUCCUUGAAGCCAUCAUCUCAUAAGACCAUUUCAGAAAGCUGGUGGAAGUUCUCAAAUAUUUAAAUUUGAAUGUAUUAAUUAGACAAAUUACAUUAGUGCAUGUUUCAUGACACAUCAGUUUAGCAUUGUACACAGGUUGGGUCCUUGAAACCUGAAAAGUCCAUACCAGAUGCUAUUUUAAAACAAGCAAAAGGCCUUGCAAUUGUUACUGUUGCAAAGGUUGGGGUUAUGGUAACAUACAAUAUUGGAACAGGGCUGGUUGUUGCUCGUGGAGAAGAUGGAUCUUGGUCUCCACCAUCUGCAAUAUCUUCCUUCGGUGUUGGCUGGGGAGCUCAGGUAAGUUGACUUGGUAAAUGGUUGUUUGACUGCUUAGCUCCUAUAAUAUUUUAGAAUGUUGUUGCUUGUGCAAUAUGUUGUUUGUGUUUGUAUGACUGCUAAAACAAGAAAAGACAAUAAAUUCUGCCCCUAUUUACCAGCUUUGAACGACGAAACCUUUUGGCAAAUUAUUGAACAUUACUUGUGACAAGUUUGAAUAUCUAGGUCCAAUCUGACUCAAUGUGCUUAUAUCUAUUUUACUACUCUUUUUCAACUCUAAUAGGCUGGAGGUGAAUUUACGGAUUUCAUUAUUGCAUUGAGAACUAAAAGUGCUGUCAGAACAUUUAGCGGAAACAUGCAUUUAUCAGUUGGAGCAGGUUUGAGUGCAGCUGUUGGCAUUGUUGGACGGGCUGCUGAAGCUAACUUGCGUGGGGGCUCUGGGGGUUGUGCUGCUUGUUAUACAUACAGCUUUAGUAAAGGUGAUAUUUCUUUUCCUAACAAACCUUGGAUUGGAUUGAUUAGUUUGCAUGAUCCCGUUGCUUUCUAGUUCAGGCGGCCAGUAGGAAUUAUAUCCAUUGUUAUGUUCUCUUAUCAGAACAGAACAGGGGCAAAUGUUUUUAGUGAAGUUGAUGUUUGUUCUGCUUGUCCAUUGGGGGCCAUUUUUGAGAAUACGGGAAAAGUCUCUUCCUACUUUUCAUGUGCACUCCCUCCUUGAUUAACCAUUGAAGAAAGCGAAACAAAGAAAUGAAAUUUUUUAAGAAAGAAGUUUAGCUUAUUAAAGAAUUGAUUUACAUCUCUCUAAGACGGUUUACCUGUAUAUUGACUUACUAGUCUGUGCAAAUGCCUUACUAGUAACUACUUUUGUGCACAAUUUUCCCUUCAUCGCUGCCUGCAUACUAAAUUAACUGGUUUAUGAACGUUAUGAUGUCUUGAUGUACUAUGUAGGUGCAUUUGUCGGGUGCUCACUUGAAGGAAGUGUAGUUACAACCAGAAACCAAGAAAAUUGUAGAUUUUAUGGUAAUCCAUCUAUCACUGCUUCAGAUAUUCUUCUUGGUUCAUUGCCUAGGCCUCCUGCUGCUUCCACUCUUUAUCAAGCUCUCUCAAAUCUAUUUGAAAAACUUGAGAAGUGAUUGCUUCUUUGGUCCAUUUAAAAAAUAUUUUGUGGUUUCGUCCUGAUAAUUGCUGGGAGGUGCCUCAUACCGACAUGUAAAUUCUUUCCAUCUCUCUUUGAUGAAUUUCAACCCUCAUUCUUGUAUCAUGAGGUAAUUGGUUACAAAUUGGUUGUAUAGUUCAGAGAAAUCUGGAAAAUUUGACAUAGAUAGAAGUCAAAUGAAAUGUUAAAAGUGCUGGAUUUUAGUUUUUCGUGUAAAUUAGAAGAUAUACUAGAUGACCAUUAAAUUUAUUUGCAUCUAGCUGUUUCUCAUCUCCUGAGCCCUGAGGUAUUAUUUAAGUAAGAGAAGGUUUGCUUAGUGUGUGAUGCUUGUUACAUGGUAAAUUCGUUCAGAAAUGGUCAGCUUAUGGUCAUCCUCGUCUUGGACAUAUCACUCGUAGUACUUUAGCAUGGAAGCGUAUUGUGCAUCGUCCCAUUACACAUUGCUUUAUCUCUUUAAAAAAAUUAGUAGAUUCCUUAGAUGUUGCCCAAGAGGUACAAUAAUAUUCUUCACAUUUUCACAUGGCGGUCCUCAACUUGUGGAGCCAUUUGAUAAAUAACUCGAGACUGUAUGUAUUGGUCUUCACAAUUUCACAUGGCGGUCCUCUACUCGUGGAGCCAGUACUGAAAAGGUGAAGUUCAAGCCUGACUUGUGUUUGCCCAUUCAGCUGGGAGACUUCCUGGAAGUUUUCAGCAACUUAGGAUUGCAAUAAAUUAAUGCUUUCAUGCUCCUUGACACCCUUAUCCAAAAUCUUCCACAGCAAUGAAGAUGAGGAUACUUGAUGAACAAUGGAUGCAUUUCCUCCUUUGUCUUGUUUUCCUCCUAUCUGCAUGUUCUAUACCUUCAGAGGCUAGUGAUAUGCAGCUGAUGUCUUCGCAGAAGCAGAAUCAAAGCGAUGAGGUAACGGCAUUGUUGGCUUUCAAGCAUAAUUCUGUUGAAGCUGACCCCAAGGUUUCCUAGAUGAUUGGAAUCCUGCAUCAUUGAGUCCAUGUUCGUGGAAAGGAGUUUGCUGCAUCAGGACCAAUUCCAGAUAGCUUGAGCUUAAUGUCUUACUUGAUAAUUCUUAAUUUGGGACACAACACUCUAACUGGAACAAUCCCUUACAUACUUUUAAGUCUGAAAGCAUUGAACAUUCUUGACCUUUCUCAUAAUCAACUUCAAGGCACAAUUCCAGAAUCAUUGCAGUUUCUCUCACUUAGAUUUCUCAAAUAAUAAUCUCAGCGUCACUAUACCUGAAAUUGUUCAGCUGGAAACAUUUUCAACAUCUGCAUAUUUAAAUAAUUCAGGGUUACGUGGUUAUCCAUUGCCUCCUUGUGCCUCUCUGUCUGAAACAAACCCCACAGGUUUCCAGCAAUCUCAAGCACAUAAUAAAUUGGAUUGGAUUGCUUAGAUAGGAUGCACAGCUGGUGUCAUACUUGUGGUAUCUGGUGCAAUUGUUUUGCUUGUGAAAAAACGAGCAAUGGUUUAUCAAGCCCUCCCGUAUUACUCUGCAAAGGAGACCAAAACAGUUGAAGCAUAGUUGACGAAAACGCCCAUGCAGAAGUUGAGAAAGGUGCAAAAUUUGGUAUCUUUAAUGUAACUUUCUUCCUACUACUAUAUACGUUGCGAAGUUGGCAGAUAAAUAAAUAUCAGUACCCUAUGUAGCUUAUUGGCUCUUGCAAUGCAGUGAAAGUAAUGUAUGCGGUGAACUUAAUAAAGCAAAAUGCAAAAGUUGUUUGAUGCAUCCAGUAUAGAUUGGUGAUUAUCUUUUCAUUUCCAUAAUCUAGAUCACUGGUCUAAAGAGGAUUUGAAAACUUACAAUGUUCUGAAGAUAUUAGAGAGCUACAUUUCAUGCUCUUGUUAUCAUCAUCUUAUAAACAAUUUGAAAUUAACUUUAUGCAAAUAUUGAGAAGAUCAACUAAUUUCAAUGUAAAAUUUACGGACUUUCAUUAGUUUCAAAUCUGGAAGAUUACUAAAUUCCAAGAAAAUAAAAGCUAACAAACUAACUAGACUGGAAUUAUGCUCCAGCUCGUACAUACAUCAUUUUGGAAAGUACAAUAGGAGAAGAGCUACUACAGUAAGCUGCAGUCUUAUCACCAAGGUUAGAUUUCAUGCUUCGAUCAUCAUCUUCGCACUCGUGAAUAUCAUCAUCAUCAUGCACCAGAGAUGCUUGCGCUUUCAAAUCCUCAAUAUCAAAAUUCCAGGCGCUAAUUCCUCUUUGAUACUGACUCUGCGAUGUAGCUUCUUGUUCUGCUGAAGGCAUUUUCUUUAGAGCUAGUUGUGCAGCAUCUUUAAGCUGAACGGGUUUCACAGGAUUCGACAGCCGUGGAAUAGGAGCAAAUAAUUUCUUCACAAAAAGCUCAGGAGGCUUUGCAUGCUUGAAAAACGAGUGCUUCAAUAAUUUCUCUGCAGUCGGUCUCUUUGUUUGAUCUUUCACCAGGCACAUCGCAACCAUAUCUUUGAAAGACUUGGAGAACUUCUUAUCGCAAUCUUGAUCAAGUCGUGGAGGAGCAUUUUGUAUGGUCAUCAAGAGAACCUUCAUGGGUGGAUAUUUGGACAAAGGUGCAUGACCAUGGGCCAACUCCAAUGCUGUUAUGCCGAAUGACCAUAUAUCUGCCUUGGAGUUAUAUCCAGUUCCUGGCUGCAUGACCUCCGGUGCCAUCCAGCAAGGAGUCCCCACAAAGGUAUUUCUCGAACGUUGUCUGUCUCCUGAAUCGAACAUGCAAGCUGAAACACCGAAGUCGGCGAGUUUAACUGUUCCAUUGUUAUCAAGCAGUAUGUUCCCAGCCUUGACAUCCCGAUGAAUAUGUCCUUGUCGGUGAAGAUAAUCCAAAGCCUUAAGAGUUUCCUUAAGAAUGGAAGCGAUAGCAGCCUCUUCGAAUCCAUCGGGAUAAGCCGUUUUCAUGCGAUGCAAGCAGGAACCCUCCGACAUGAACGGCAUGACUACCCAAAGGUUGCGGUCAACUACGAAGGAAGCAUAUGCCCGAAGAACAUUAGGGUGAUCGAUCAAUCUCAGUGUUUGAGCUUCCCGAUGUACGUCAUCCAGAUUAGUACCGCUGCAGCGAUCAAGAUCCAAACACUUGACAGCCACGACGUCCUUUGAAGGAAGAUAGAUUGCUUUGUAAACAGUAGCAGUGGCGCCAUGGCCGAUUUCUUCAAGAAGCUGGUAAUCGCUAGGGUUCGCUGAGUAACUCCGAGUCCCUUGCAUUCUCCCCACCGGAAAACCAGGCAAUCGCGAGUGAUGGAAUAGUCCUUCAAGGAUGGCUUUUUCUGUUUAGGAAAGAGUAAUAAGAGUAAGAGAAUAGUCCUUCAAGGACUGGCUUUUUGUGUUUUUAUAGUUUGAGUUGGUGAAGUUGUUUUGAUCGUGUAUCCUUGCUGUUAUAAAUAAUUAAAAAUUUGACAUUAAUUAUUAAAACUUUUAUAUAUUUAAAUAAUUUUUUAAACAAAUAAAUAAAAAAAAGACUUCAACCAAUGCAAUAACUUUUAUCAAGCCAUACUUGUGUUAUUUGAUUAAGAUCUAAACACUUGAGAGCCAAACAUCCUUUGAAGGAAGAUAGAUUGCUUUUGGCCAAUUUCUUGAAGAUCGAUUACAAUUGCUUUGUAAUCGCUAGAGUUCGCUGAGUCCAUUCCAUUCUUGCCAUUGGAACACCAACCAAGAGAAGAAAGCAGCAAGAAAGAGUAAUAGAAUGGUCCUUGUGAAGAUUAAAAGGGCUGGCCUUUUCUGUUUUUGUAGUUGACUUGGUGAAGUUGUUUCAAUCCUCCUUCACCGCCUUGAGUGUAUCCUUGUUGGAGUUAACUUUAAUUCAGUUUAUAUUAAUUUUAAAUUAACUUUAUUAGAUCAGUUUAAAUAGGACUGUGACACUCAUUUAUAUUAAUUUUAUUAUAUCAGUUUAAAUAGGACUGUAACACUCAUUUAUAUUAAUUUUAAAUUAAAUUUAAUUUAUUAAGAACAAUUGACUUUAAUUUUUUAUUACAUCAAUUUAAGUAGGAUUCUGACACUAGUUUAUAUUAAUUUUAAAUUAAAUUAUAUUUUAUUAAGAAUAGCUUACUUUAAUAAAGAAUUAAUGUUUAAUAAGGAUGUCAAUAUUAAUAAGAAGAUAAAUAAAAAUUAGUCACUAUACAAAAUGAGUAAAUAAGUUACGUGUAGUUUUUUAGUUUUGGUAUAUUAAUAUACCCUAACCGUUCAAUAUAAAUAUUUUUUUUAUAUUUAAGGAAGGAGGAUUCAAACUCUAUUUUUUUUAAAAAGGUAUACUAAUCAAUGAGCCAAAUGCUCGAGUACAACUAAAUAGAAAGUAUUUGUUUAUAAACAUAUUCUUAAAAAACUAUAAGAAGCCCUUAGGAAAUAAAAAGAAAGAUCAUUUCAAUUUUUUAUUAGACAUUUAAGCACAUUUAAUUGUGCAUAAUAAAAUAUUAUUUUAUUUAGGGGUAAAUCACGAUAUUAUAAAUGGUAGACUAAUUUUGGUAUAAUACUUUAAAAUUAAGUGAAAUGCCUAUCAUCAAGAGUUGAUGCCAUUUCUUUUUGUAUGGUUUAUGGCGCAACACAUUUUUUCAAUAAGAGAAGUUCAAAUGUCAAAUUGGUGCUGAAGCUAUCCAAACAAGGCUUGUCAUUGAGAAGCACCUUUAUCCUCUGUCUACUCAAAACUGUCUGCCUUACAAAUAGAUGUGAAAAGUUGAUCAUUAUCUUGCAAUAAUGAGCCAAGCAAAGUUGAAAUUUGCAAUCCUGAACUGCCUGCCACCACUGCUACUUUACAUAUCAUCCAUUUUUAUUAAAUGCUUACUGGCACCACUUUGCAUUCUUACGGCCCUUAUAUUUUAUUUUCCUGAACUGAUUGUGCUCUUGUUUUGGGGGCUUUUAAUACUCUUCAUCAGCUUCAGUUUGCGUCAAGUGCCAUUCUCAAGAACCUGAGGAUCUUCUUGCUAGAUACGAAACAUGCAAACAUACUGUGUUGAUCCUCCUUUCUUACCAUGGACCUGCAAGGAUCUUGAGAGGCUCCCCAAUUAUUGCUUCUAGUAUACAUAUCUUAAUACUGAUAAUUCAUCUAGAAGACAACCAUCUACCGCAGCGGCGUUUUUUUGACCUUGAAUUGUCAACAUGAUGCUAUAUUUUCUGUAUUCAAGUAUCCUUUGUAUCGCUGGUUAUGCUCGCCGGUUUUGGAACCAAAGGUUCUUGAUGCAUCUCUGCCAGAUUUGUCCUGUUUAUUCUUACACGACGGCACAUUCUGUUAGUACUACACCAUUAUAUGAUGUGCAAUCAUAAGUUUUAUAAGCCAUAUUUUUCACAGUAAGCUGCAGCCUUUAUUUUUUUUAUUUUUUGGAUAAUUGAGUUUUUAUUUCAACAUGCAAAGGAAGAACUGUGAAAAUGUUUACAAGCUGGGGAAACACCCAGAAAACAUCAGCUAACUAACUAAGCUGGAAUUAUGACCCAGCUCUUACAUAGAUCAUUGGAAAGUACAAUAGAAGAAGAACUACUACAGGAAGCUGCAGUCUUAUCACCAAGGCCUGAUUUCAUGCUUCGAUCAUCAUCUUUGCACUCGUGAAUAUCAUCAUCAUCAUCAUCAUCAUCAUCAUGCACCAGAGAUGCUUGCGCUUUCAAGUCCUCAAUAUCAAAAUUCCAGGCGCUAAUUCCUCUUUGAUACUGACUCUGCGGUGUAGCUUCUUGUUCUGCUGAAGGCAUUUUCUUUAGAGCUAGUUGUGCAGCAUCCUUAAGCUGAACGGGUUUCACAGGCUUCGACAGCCGUGGCAAAGAAGCAAAUAAUUUCUUCACAGAAAGCUCAGGAGGCUUUGCAUGCUUGAAAAACGAGUGCUUCAAUAAUUUCUCUGCAGUGGGCCUCUUUGUUUGAUCUUUCACCAGGCACAUCGCAACCAUAUCUUUGAAAGACUUGGAGAACUUCUUAUCACAAUCUUGAUCAAGUCGUGGAGGAGCAUUUUGUACGGUCAUCAAGAGAACCUUCAUGGGUGGAUAUUUGGAAAAAGGUGCAUGACCAUGGGCCAACUCCAAUGCUGUUAUGCCGAAUGACCAUAUAUCUGCCUUGGAGUUAUAUCCAGUUCCUGGCUGCAUGACCUCCGGUGCCAUCCAGCAAGGAGUCCCCACAAAGGUAUUUCUCGAUAGUUGUCUGUCUCCUGAGUCGAACAUGCAAUCUGAAACACCGAAGUCGGCGAGUUUAACUGUUCCAUUGUUAUCAAGCAGUAUAUUCCCAGCCUUGGAUCCCGAUGAAUAUGUCCUUGUCGGUGAAGAUAAUUGUAACACCCCAUAAUCUCAUAUAGUAGUCAACAUAAACGUAUCAAUAAGACGAAGGUGUUACAUGGUAAAUAAAGAAAAGUUUGAAGAUUCAUCGGUAAUUUUGAUAUUUGAAGUUAAAAAGGGAAUUUCCUAAUAAAGAAGACUAAGUUAUGAGUAAUAUGAGAUGUAAAUGUAAGUUGGAUGAGACAAUAAAUGAAUAAAUAAGUCAUAAAAUAAAAAUAAUAUAAAGAAUAAAAAAAAGGGGCUGACUUGAUCAGCCGCCCAUGUGUAAUAAAAGGGGAAAUAAAAGCGAAAAGGGGGUCCGGCCAAGAAAGGAAGGCAUAGAAAAGAAGAGUAACAAGUGUCAAAAUUGCCCCCACAUUAAAAGACAUUCAAGUGAUAUUUUUCUUGUCUUCAUGCAAUAGAAACCGUACCUUUGGUCAUAAAUAAAUGAGGAAAGUUAACUUGAAAGAAGGAGAAAGAAAUAAAAAAAUAAAGAACCAUGGGAAAUAGGCUUUAGUAAGAGCCAAGGGCCGGUCACUUGAGGAAGGAAAAAGAAGAGAGAAGUCUUGGAGAGGCCGGUCACUUGAGGAAGGAAAAAGAAGAGAGAAGUCUUGGAGAGUUAGAAAUUUGAGGAGAAGAAGGAAAAAGUAAAAAAAUUGAUGAAGAAAUAAGUUAAAAAAAAAAAAGAAAUGGACAAGACAAAUCAAGUAUGUUGCUGAUAAUUAUCUACACCAAGACAUAUUAAAUAAUAUUUUAAAUUUUAUCUCUUUUCUUUUUUUAUGAUGGAACGGCAGAGGCCGGCUGAGGGAAGAAACAAAAGAAAAAAGGGGCUGGUGCUAUCGGUUGCGAAAAGAAUAGGAAGGAAAGAAAGAAAGGAAAAUAGAAAAAGCUGGGGUUGUGGUGGUUGGCGAGAAAAAGAGAAAGAGUUGGGUUGUGUUGGUUGACGGAAAAAGAGAGAGAGUUUGGUUUUUGGUGACAAAAUGGCUGAAUAAAAAGAGAGAAAAUUUGAGUUCUUUGGACUGAUCUAGAGUUGACCAACGGUGGAAGUGGAGAGGAGGCUUUAAGCCACCAGUAGUGAAGGUUGAGAGCUGCUGGCGGUGAGAGAAAGAGAGAAAGAAAGUGCAGCCGAUUGGUGCAUGAAAGGAGGGAGAAGAAAGGAAGAGAAAAACGAGUAGAAGAGAGAGGAAGAAACGGGAAAGAAAGGUAAGAAAAUAAUAAAAAAAUAUAUAAUAAU
RNAcentral lists this long non-coding RNA (96750 nucleotides) under Theobroma cacao (cacao). Its description in RNAcentral is "long non-coding RNA (TCAC_LNC004299)". The record is from RNAcentral. Lineage: Eukaryota; Viridiplantae; Streptophyta; Magnoliopsida; Malvales; Malvaceae.